UCACUGAGUCUCAAAUCCUCCCACCCACCGUAACUCAGGGAUUCGGGCGAUGCAACAGCUUUGAUGGGAGAUAAAUCUAGAGUUUUAGGAUCGUAAAAACAUUUCGAGCGGGAAAAGGGAAGGAGUGUUUUAUUUUUUCGAGAAAGUAAUGGAAAAUGGGUGAGAAAAAUCGGAGAUGAAAUAAUCAAUGGAUUUGAGUAAUUUGGAAAUUGAGUUUACAAAACUUAAGGUUUUCAUUUGGAAAUGAAGGGUGAUCGGAAGGCCGCUUUGUUUGUUCAGUUACGUGGCAAGUGCAACAACGGUUUCUCAGGUGUUGCGCUGGUUAUCUGAAAGAUUGAAACACUAAGGGCAUCUCUAACGUGACACUUUUUGAAUUAUUUUUGAUAUAAAAUAUUUCUUCAAUAUAACAUUAAAACCAACAUUAAAAUGGUGCUAUGAAAAGUAUUACACUAAAAUAGUGUUAUGAAUAGUAUUACAUUAAAUAUGGUGUAAUAUUAUUCAUUUAGUGCUAGAAAAAAAAGUCUCAAAUAUUUUUAUUAUUUUUUUAUUUACAUAUAGGUCUUAUUUUAUAUAAUAUUUUAAGUUAUUAUUAUUAUAUUUGUUAUUAUUUUUAUUUCAUUUUUUUAAUUUUUGAAUAUUAUACUAAUAUUUUAAAUAAAAAAUAUUCAACAAAAAAUAAAAAUAAAAAUAAAAUGCCAAUAACAUUAAUUAAUAAAUUAAUAAACCCUAAACCCAAAAAUUAAUAAUAAAAAUAAAAUGCCAAUGUUGGUAAAGAGAGUAGUUUUCCAAGAAUAUUAGGCAGCCUAGAUUGCAUGCACUGGAAGUGGAAAAAUUGUCCAACAGCUUGGACUGGACAAUAUAAGAAUCUAGUGGAACCCCAACUAUUAUUCUGGAGGCUGUAGCUGAUUAUGAUAUUUGGAUAUGACAUGCACAUUUUGGUUUGCCUGGUUCAAAUAAUGACAUUAAUGUGUUGGAGACAUCCCAUCUUUUUGCCAACCUCGCUUCAGGUAUUGCUCCUCCUGCUCAUUAGGUCAUUAAGGGAACGAAUAUAAUAUGGGUUAUUAUUUAGCUGAUGGUAUCUACUCAAAAUGGACUACUCUUGUACAAACUAUCCAUGAUCCACGUGGUUCUAAAAAGAAAUUAUUUGCCAUGAAACAAGAAGCAUGUCGGAAAGAUGUAGAACAUGCAUUUGGAGUCCUUCAAUCACAUUUUGCAAUUGUUGCUAGACCAUUACAUUUUUGGAACAAACAUGUGUUACAUGAUAUAAUGACUGCUUGCAUUAUUAUGCACAAUAUGAUAAUUGAAGAUGAACGUGAUGUUAAUGCAACAAUUCAUGAUUGGAUGCAAUCGCCAAUACCAACUGUUGAUAUGAGGGUAGAUGAGAAUACUAGAUUUUAAGAAUUUUUUACUUGACACAAACAAAUCAAGGAUAAAGAGGCUUACAUUGCACUCCGAAAUACACUAAUUGAUCAUUUAUAGGAUGAAUUUAGUAAUUUGAAUAAUUAGAGUAUUAUUAUUGUUAUUGUAUUUUUUUUAUAUUAAUGUAAUGUUUAAUUUUCAUAAUGUACUAAUUUAAUUAAUUAAAUGUAAAUUUACUAAUUUUCUAUAUUUUUUUUGUUAAUUGAUAUAAAAUUAUUUAUUACUUAAUUAUCUAUAUUAAUAGUAAUAUUUAUUGUGUUAAUUGAAUUAAUUCUUGAGAAUUAAAAGAAUAAAAAGAAGAAUAUUCUUUUUGAUGUAAAUGGGUUGGAGAUGAAAUAGUAAUUUGGUGUGAAAAAUGUAUAUUUUUUGUGUUGGUGUUAUACUAAAAUGGUGUUAAGCAUUGGAGAUGCCCUAACUUUCAACCACAAGGAUAAUGUCGUCAAUUCCUAAAAUUGUCCCGGUAUAUUCAUCUAUUGAUGCGUAGAGAUCCACGUUUUCUCGCGCUUUGGACGACUAGACCCAAUUAAAGCCUAUAUAAAAUGAUUGGGUCGGGCGGCCUGAAUAAAUUGAGCCCACACCUUUUGACACCCCUAAAAACUCCAUAUAAAACCAAAAUCUCAUUGAAAUUAUCAAAACAACCAAGUAGAUUUGAUUCGAUUCCAAUAUUUUGUAUGGAAAUUAAGUUAAACACUGAAAUUAAUUAUUUUUUAAUAAAUAUUUCACAUCUACCCUAUUUUAUAAUAUAUAUUUAAAUUUUAAUAAAAAUAGUUUUUUUUAAAAAAAUUAGAGUUAUGAACUAUAUAAUAGGAAAAAAUAAUUUAAGGUUUUAAGAUUUGAAUAUAAUUUAUGAAUAAAAACUUAAAAAUAAUUUUUUAGAGUAAAGAACUUUAUAGAAAUAUGAUUAAUUUUAUUAUAUAAAUUUAUAUUUUAAAAACUAAAAGGAGGUAUUUUAGAAAAUAAAAUUUAAAAUAAAUGUUGUCAAGAUUUUGAGGGGGUGUCAAAAGCAAAAGCUCCCCCCCUAACGCAAUCGCAAGUAGUCACUACUAGCACAAUUCAACCCAAAAGAUCUAUUAAAAUCACACACCUCUUAUGAUAUAAAUCAAAAUUUUAUUUUAUAUCAAAAUGGUACAAUCAAAUUCGAUUUUAAUCUUCACUACGGUGGAAAUUGCCUAUAACAGACAAGUAACUGUGAGUACGUUAAAUUUAUUACAACUCAUUAUUAUUACUAUUAUUACUAUUAUUACUAUUAUUACUAUUACUAUUAUUAUUAUUAUUUAUAACUAAGAAGGAUCAUAACAUUGCCAAAAUAGAUAAUACCGAAGAAAGAAAAAAAUGCUGUCACUCUUUAACAGUCAACUCUUGAAUUCAUUUUCUAUUUCAAAUAAAAUAUCAUCAACAAUUGCACCAUUCUCAUCAUAAAAGCAGUUAAUAAUUGCAAAAAUAAUAAAUAUGAUGAGAAAAUCAAAGCAAGGUCUUGAAGGCUGUUUGGAUGACAUGUUUUAGUGUGAAAAAUCCAAAGCCUGAAGCCAAAGGCAAAGACGAAGGCAGGCACAAAGACAAAUCAUCAACUUCAGUGACAUCUUCACCGAUUCAUGAUAGCUGUUACAGUGCUACGAACUCUUAUUAUCGCUAUGAGGAUCUAAAAGCAAUCAUUUCCUAUUGCAAGAACUCACAGGGGCUGGGGAAAAAAAAAUGAAUUACAAUAGCAUUGGAAAAGACGAUGAAUCCUUUCGCUCAAAAAUUAAAAAAAAUGCUCAAUUACGGUAGCUGCGAAUGUCUGAUUAUGAUGGACAAACAUAUAUUUUAUUUUUUUAAAAAGAAAAAUCAGCAGAAAGUGAGUGGUUAGGCAAGACCCCUACUUGUAAUAUAAAUCAAAAAAUAAAAUAAAUACGUAAGGAGGGGAAUAUAGACCAAAACCUCCAAAAGAAAAUGAAAAUACACAUGAAUAGCCAAGAAAGAAUAAAGGAAUAGAAAACCAUCAAUUAAUGCUAACAUUUGACAUGAGGAACAGACUGAGCAUCCAAAUGGAGAAUACUAAAAAAGCCAGCGGGAAGAUCCUAGGAACAAGAGAAGUGCCUAUUGACAUGGUGAGAACAUGCCCAAUUGGCCAAAAAAUCAGCAACAGAGGUAGCCUUACAAAACACAUGACUGACUAGAAUAAGCGAAGAUGAUGUGAAAGAACACAUCCGACGCAGCAAGCAUAAUCCCAACGAAUAGGACCCCGGGAAUGUAUCCAAGAAACGACCGUAGCUGAAUCUGACUCCACCUCAAGCAUAGGAUAACCAAGCUGAGCAGCAAGCUCCAACCUCUCGCACACAACCAUGAGCUCAGCGUAAAGUAUAGGCUAGCGGCCAAGAAAGGAUCCAAAAGUAGCCAAAAACACAUCUCAAUGAUCUUGCAUAAUACUAGUAUUGUUAUUAUUACUACUACUACAAUUAUUAUAACAUUGCCAAUGAGGGACAACAAUGGUAUUACACGGUGGAGUGGUAAUAGAUUAGGUGUCGCAUGGUGGUGGCAGUGGAGCUAGUGUCGCAUGGUAGGUGAAUGUCACGCAAUGAGGUGACAAUGGAGUUGGCGUCGCACGUGGAAGGCAAAUGGCAUGGUGGUGGAGCGUUUAGUAGUUAGCGUUUGUUGAGCCACUGCAUAGAGAGAAUGACAGAAAGAACUACUUGAGCCAAUCUAAGAACGAGGGUGAGAACGAAAGGCAAAAAAUAAUUUUUUUUUAAUCACAAAAUAGUUACAAAACUUGCGUAAACCUGACCCUUCGUUGGGUUUAGUUUAUGCGGAUUUGACUGCAUAAGAUUUUGUGUUGACCACAUUAUGAUACUAUGUGGUGCAAUUGAUAAACAUUGGUAUUAUGAUACUUUAAUAUAAUGAGGAGUUCUAACACCUUAACCAAAUAAAGUUGUUCAAGUCAAGUAAAAAAAAAAAAAUAAAUAAAGGCCGACUUACAAAAUUGAAUUUUGGUCAAAUCGAUACAAAUUUUUACAAAAAAACUUACCAUCAAAAUUCUAUAAACUUCCAUCAUUCAUAUUUCAGUCAUAUUAAGUUGAAUUAAAGAUUAAAUAUACAGAGAAGAUAAGACAACAAUUUCCUCCUUUCGUUUUUUCUAGUGAUGAAAAUGAAAGUUUUGGAAAAUGCUAUCACAUUUUAUUCACUUUACAUCAUAAAAUACAAAGAAUUAUAUACAAAAUUCUAGUUGACUUCUAAAUACUAAUAAAGGAAAACAACUAAAUGCAAAGCUAUAAAAUCCCUAAAUUAAAGAAAUAGAAGUAGGAAAGUAAAUAAAAUCAGAGAACAAAAUGUCCGGUAAUUGAUAGGAAAAUCUGCAGUGGAUCAAGGUAAUUAAUUAUAUUCUCCAACACUCCCCCUUCAAGAUGGCAGGUGAAGGUCUUCAACGCCCAUCCUGGAAAGCAUUUGAUGGAAAGAAUCAGCUCCAAGAGGUUUAGUAAAUAUAUCUGCUAGUUGUUGUUGUGAAUGAAUGAAGGUUGUGUGAACAAUUCCUCUUUGAAUUUUUUUCUCGAACUAAGUGGUAUCAAUUUCGAUAUACUUAGUUCGUUCGUGGAAAGUGGGAUUGGCAGUAAUGUGUAAGGAAGCUUUAUUGUCACAAUAAAGAAGUGUAGGUGGAGGAUGAUUAACUCUAAGGUCUUUAAGUAAAUAUGGUAGCCAACUGAUCUCACAACAAGAUAUUCCCAUUGCUCUGUAUUCCGCCUCGGUAGAGGAGCGAGAUACGGUUGAUUCUUAAAUUUCCAUGAUAUCGGAGAAUGGCCAAGGAAAACACAAUAACCCGUGACAGAAUGCUUGAUAUUUGGGCAGCUUGCCAAAUAUGAGUCACAAUAUGCUUGCAAAUGCAGUGCACUAGAUGAUGAGAGAAGUAUGCCUUGUCCUGGACUCCUUUUUAAAUAAUGUAAUAUCUUGAUUGCAACAAGGUAAUGGGGUUAACGUGGUUCAUUAAGGAAUUGACUGAGAGUUUGAACACAAUAGGCUAUGUCUGGUGUAGUGACUGUAAGGUAGAGUAAUCGUCCAAUUAAUCACCAAUAAGAGGAUACAUUGGAGAUAAAUUCACCAUCUGAAUUAGUCAACUUUAAAUUUUGUUCCAUGGGAGUUUUGGAUGGACAAGAGCCAAGAAGACCAAAAUCCUCAAGUAAUUCCAGAACAUAUUUUCGUUGACUCAAAUAAAUCCCACUCUUAGAACGAGCAACUUUAAUGCCAAGGAAGAGCUUUAAGUUGCCAAGGUCCCUCACUUUGAAAUUGCUUUGCAGCCUCUCCUUGAGUUUUUGUAUUUCGACCGCGUCAUCACCUGCAAUGAUGAUAUCGUCUACAUACACAAGAAUCACAGUGGUCGAAUCACUCACUACCUUAGUAAACAAAGAAUAAUCCGCAUUUGACUGACAAAAUCCAGCAUCUAGCAACUUAUUGGAAAGUUUUGUAAACCAUUGGUGAGAGGCUUGUUUAAGGCCGUACAAGGACUUUUAAAGCCUACAGACUACAUCUUGAUUUUCUGAUUCUUUGUAUAUAGACUUCUUCAUUUAGGUCUCCAUGUAAGAAAGCAUUGCUAAUAUCAAGUUGGUAGAGACUCCAAUUUUUCACUGUUGCAAUAGCCAAUAAACAACGCAUGGUAGUUAGCUUUGCUAUUGGAGCAAAAGUUUCUUGGUAAUCAAGUCCCUCUUGUUGAUCAUAUUCUUUGGCCACUAAGCGAGCUUUAUAGCGUUCAAUAGUCCCAUAUGCUUUAUACUUCAUUUUAUAUACCCAUUUACAACCAAUAACCUUUUUAUUUGGUGGUAGAGAUUUAAGGUUCCAGGUCUGAUUAUCCUCUAGACUUUUGAUUUCUUCGGACAUUGCAUUCUUUUAAUUUUCAUCAAGCAUUGCUUGUUUAAAGCUCUUUGGUUCUAUGGUGGAUGAAAUUGAUGCUAAAAAGGAACGAUGAGAACGAGAAAAUUUGUCAUAGGAAAGAUAAUGAUGUAUAGGAUGAUGUAAAGAUUUACUUACAAGACAUGAAGAAGAUGCUGAAAAUGAUAUAUCACAUGAGGCCAACUUGCAAUGAUAAUCUUUGAGGUAAGAAGAAGAACGGGUAUCUCGAGUGGAUCGUCAAAUCAUUGCUGGUAGGUCAUCAACUGGCUGGUCAUUUUCCUGACAUACUGUUUCAUCAAUUACAGUGAUAGAUGUAGGAGUAGAGUCAUCAUGAUUUUGUUCAACAAGUGUUGGACUAGGGUUAUCAUGAUUUUGUUCAAUAACAGAAUGGGGCAGAACAACUUUAUUAGAAGGUGGGAACACCUUUUGAAGGAAAGGAAAAAUAUUUUCAUGAAAUUGUACAUCUCUGGAUAUGAAAAUUCUUUUGUUAUUUAAAUCAUAUAAUUUAUAACCUUUUUGAGCAUAUGGAUAACCAAGGAAAAUACAACAAGUGGUUCUAGCAUCAAAUUUUGUCUUUGAAGUAUUUUUAUUGGUAGCAUAACACAAAUUCCCAACGACUUUUAAAUGUGAAUAAGAAGGAAUUGCUCCAAAAAAACAUUUCAUAGAUUGUCUUACCAUAAAGAAGAGGAGUUGGUGUUCGAUUUAUAAGAAAAACGGCAGUCAAAACACAUUCUCCCCAAAAUUGUAAAGGAAGUGCUGCUUGGAAUCGCAAAGCACGGGCUACAUUCAAUAGAUGGCCAUGUUUUCUUUCCACAAUCCCAUUUUGUUGGGGUGUGUUAGCACAACUCUUUUCAUGAAUGAUUCCGUUCAUACGACAAAAGUCUAGCAUGUUAAAUUCCAACCUGUUAUCAAAACGUAAAACUUUAAUUUUCUUGUUAAAUUGGGUUUUAACAUAAGAAUAAAAAAAUUGUAUGAGUAAGCAAGUCUCACUCUUACUCUUCAUAAGAAAAAUCCAAGUACAUCUUGUAUAAUCAUCAACAAUAGUAAGAAAGUAACGAGCACCGGAUAAAGGAGCAACAUGAUAUUUUCCCCAUAUGUCACAAUGAAUUAAAUCAAAAGGCUCCAGAGAAUUUUUAUUACUUAAAACAAAAGGAAGAUGAGUUUGUUUAGCUAAUGGACAGACUUCACAAACUUAAUUUAGCGUAGAAACAUUUAAAUUAGAAAUAUAAUUGGAAAAUAACUGAAGACAUUGAUAGCUUGGAUAUCCUAAGCAUUAGUGCCACAAAUUAGAAGAAGACAUAGAUUGUAGAUAUUUUGGAUGAGUGACUGGUAAUUGAAAUGAGAAAAGGCCAUCAUGUAAUUUAACCGGAGCGCUCCAAUCACCUUCCUCGAGGACUGGUCUUGUAUAAGACAAGAAUUGGGUAAGAAAGUUACAAUGCAGUUUGCAUCAUAAGUGAGUUUUCCAACUGAAAUUAAAUUAAAUUGGAAGCUGGGAACACAAAGAAUAUUAUUCAAAACAAUAUUCGGUGUCAAUUGAAUUGUACCAAUAUCAGUGAUUGGGGCAUCUACCUCAUUAGGUAGUUUAACUGUCAUUGAACAGUGAGAUGUGAUGUAUGAAAGAAUUGAGGGAGAAUUGACCAUAUGAUCAGUAGCUUUAGAAUCAAUAAUCCAAGAAGUAGAGUGUGGUAAAUGAACAACAUUGAGGGCAUUACCUGUCAAAUUGCUUUGUGGAACAUUAUUACUCACUAGAUUUGAUCUUGGUUGAGUGUUGAUUAAUGCCAAGAUCUGCUGAUAUUGUUCUGGAGUGAAAGAAGAGGCUUGUAAUGCUAGAGGAUUCAUGGAAGUUUGGUUGGCAGUAGGCUGAUUUUGACCCUUAAACAACUUAUGGCCAGAAGGAUAUCCAUGCAACUUGUAGCAUUUUUCUUUCACAUGUCCCACCUUUCCACAAAAAUCACAAGUUGGUUUAUUAUAAUUAGAUGUAUUCUGCCUUGGAAAUUUACGUGAAGCAUUAUUUCCUUUGGUAGCCAAAGCAACAAAUUCGUGUGUUUGUGCAGGUUGCGUACUAAUGAUGCCGCACUGUUGCUCCUCUUGAAGAACCAAGGAGAAGACUUUAAUAUGGCCUCUCACGACUGUGUAUGUUUCAUUCAAGCCCAUAAGAAACUACAUGGUAUGAUCUCUGUCUCUAUAUGCCUCAAAGGUCUUGUUAGAAUCACAUGUACAAGUGGGCAUAGGAGAAUAUAUAUUUAAUUCAUCCCAUAAACCUUUCAACUUAGAGUAAUAGGCUGUAAUGGAGUCCAAACCUUGGGAUAUAGAAUUAUUCUUUUUUGUAGUUCAAAAAUACGCGACCCGUUAAUUUGAGAAAACCUUUCUUGAAGAUCAACCUAUAAAUCAUGAGUUGUCUCUGCAUAAAUAGUAUCUCCUGCAAGUUCUGGAGUAAUAGCAUUCACAAUCCAAGAGGCUACCUAUCGUCACAUUGUUUCCACAAUUCAAAGUUUGAAUCUGAAGUGGAAGGCUUUUUUAUUACACCAUUGAUAAAACCAAAUUUGUUUUUAGCACUUAGUGCUUUAAUCAUGGCUCCACUCCACAUGGUCUAAUUUUCUCCAUUUAAUGGAAAGGAAACUAAAAUGGUUACAAGAUUAUCUGAAGGAUGUAAGGUAAAAGCAGCAUUCUUACUGUCCUUUGUGGCAUUCGAUUUUUUAGUCAUGAUGACUGGUAGCCAAAGUUUGAAAAGAAGGAGAAAUGAAUAGCAAUAAGAAUUAUUUCUCUGAUACCAUGAUGAAAAUGAAAGUUCUGGAAAAUGCUAUCACAUUUUAUUCACUUUACAUCAUAAAAUACAAAGAAUUAUAUACAAAAUUCUAGUUGACUUCUAAAUACUAAUAAAGAAAAGCAACUAAAUGCAAAGCUGCAAAAUCUCUAAAUUAAAGAAAUAGAAGUAGGAAAGUAAAUAAAAUCAGAGAAUAGAAUGUCCGGUAAUUGAGAGAAAAAUCUGCAGUGCAUCAAGGUAAUUAAUUAUAUUCUCCAACAGUACAAUCGUACAUCAUCGCUCAAUGUAGGGAUCAGAUGACUUUUCGUGGACUUCAACCCCGCCUUCGUUUAUUUUAGGUAAAAAGAAUCUUUGAUUUCUUAUUUUUCCAUCUGGUUUGCAAUGAAUUUGGAAAAUGCCUCUGGUAGCUUCAAUGCAGUUAUGAACCGGGCAAGAAAAACUCCAAAUUAUGACAACCCUACCAUGCAAUGAUCCCAAGCAACACAUGGCUUGUCAUCCUUUUUGUUCAGUAAGUUCUGCAUGGCCAAGAAAACAUAUCAUUCUACUUUUUUUGACCACGAAGGAACUCACUUAUAUGUAUGUGAAUUUCUGCCUUAGUAACUAGACGCAUUUUCUUUGAAUCCUCCCAUUACAAACAACUUCAAUCUCUUACAUAAUCACAAGCAGCCUCAAAGACAUCCUACAAGAUUUAUGACAUAACUUUAAAAUGUAGUCCCUGAAAGAUGUGAGAUGAGAAACCAAUCCAAUUGAAAUGCUUAGAUUACCGUCAAGGGAAACUCAUCAUAAUAAUGCGCAGGGGUCAUUUCAACCCUAUUCAAAUUUGAUUCCCAUAAUCUUAUCUGUCAAGGAAACAUCAGAAUUUGAAACAUUAGAAAAUAAAUAAUCAUCUUCGUUAAUUGAUGUGUACUAUGUAGAAAAUAUCGAGAAAUUUGGUAUGGUAGGUCGGGAAGCAUUGAUACACGCGAUACAUCUGAAUGCAAGAAAGAGUUAUGACCUGAUCACAGACGUUUUCUAGUACAAAUGGUAUUCUGUCAACAUCCCGAGGAUGUGCAUUUUGUUGAAGAAAACUAAUGAUCUGCAAAACAAACAAUCAUGGUGUUAGAUGAGUCAGAAUGACUGCAAAAGUAAUUGAAAAAACAAAAACGCUACUUUGAAAGAAAAAACUAUUUCGGCUACAAGAAAAUCAGAAACAAUAUGUAAGUUUUGCAAAAAGCCUUCUGUACCCAAAACAAAAAAUAACAAAAUUCUAGGUUGAUGUAAAAAGCAUGUUGAGAUGAGGAUGGCUGGGACCCAAAAAGAGGUGUAAGGGGGCAAAUUAUUAAGAAUGUCAGAAGUAUACAAACUUUCUUUGGUUAUUGCUCCGACUAUAAGGUUUGGAAGUUGAUACUCUAUCCUGCACAUUGGCAAAAUAUUAAACAAAAGGUUUUAGGACUGACCAAUGUAGUUCAAUAACAAAAUGUAAUUAAGAACUUUAACCUAGAAGAGAAACAAUUUAUCAAGCAGAUGGCUGGCUUACUUUGAGAAAAGAUGCAAAAUUUCAUAGUGUAGCUUAAUGAUGAAGAGUAGGAAUCCAUAUUAUACUAGGAUUAGUUUCCUUAUUAACUAAAGUUUAAGACUUUUAAAUUCCUUUCUAAUUUAGAAUUUUGUUUCCCUUUCAAUUUAGGAUUUUGUUUUUACUUCAUGAAUUAGGAUAAUUACUACUACUAUAAAUAGCUCCCUCUUGUAGCCUUUGAAGGAAGAAUUUUGAGUUCAAUAAUAUUUCAAUUUUCAAAUCUCUUUGUGAGUAUUUGAACAGUUAAUUCUCGGUAUUCUGAAUCAACGAGUCUUAAUCCCUAAGUUCGCGGUAUUCUUUUGAAUCAACGUGAAUUUAGUUGUUCUUUUAUUCCGGUAUUCUCUAGAAUCAACGGAAUAUUUUGAACAUUAAACUUCCGCUGUAUCAGUUUGGUAUCAGAGCCAAAACCUGAUAUCACCAAUCUAACUCCAUCUACCACCAAAUCUUCCUUUUUUUUUUUUUUUGCCCUUUUUGAUUCUUCCGUUUAGCCCCACUACCUUUUUAAACUCGAAUUUGAUAAAAUGCCUCCAAGAAAAGCUCGUGAUGCUCAUACUGCAACUUACAAUCAAGAAGAUGUUUUUAAAGAUGAAGCCCUAGCUAGUAUGACAGCCAGAAUUGAUAUGCUAGCUGCACAAAUGGCACGAAUGACAGAGUUACUUGACGAACGCCAUCGUACUCCAGAACGUGAAGACAAAUCAAGUGGAAGCUUUGCUAACCCAUUCUCUGGGCGUCGACCUAAAACUGAGUCUACUGAUGACAGAAGAUGGGAAUCUGGGUUGAGAAUUGACAUUCCCGAAUUUCAAGGAAGUGGUCAACCUGAAGAAUUAUUGGAUUGGAUUAAUGCUAUUGAGGAAGUUUUUGAAUACAAAGAAGUUCCUGAAAAUAAACUAGUUUCGCUUGCUGCAACUCGAUUUCGUGGAAGAGCAGCAACUUGGUGGCAACAAACUAAGCUCACAAGGAUUAGGCAAGGCUAAAAGAAGAUUGAUUCUUGGGAAAAGUUCAAGAAGCACUUGCGUGGAGCAUUCUUGCCUCAUAAUUACGCCAAACUGUUAUACCAACAGCUACAGGAUUUAAGGUAAGGUAAUCGAUCGGUGGAUGAUUACACUACAGAAUUUCAUUGGUUGGUGGCACGCAAUGACUUGACAGAGACAGAAGAACAACAGGUUUCCCGCUACAUUGGAGGCCUACGAUCUAAAUUUCAAGACCAAUUAAAUUUACUUGACCCAUACUCUGUUUCAGAGGCACACCAACAAGCCUUGCAGUUGGAGAAGCAAUUUAGUCGACGUACUAAUGACUCAAGCUUUCGGGGUGCUCGAAGUGUUGUUCGUGAUAAUUCAAACUCAACUUCCCAAUUUCGUAAUUUCACUCCUCCAAAUCCUUCAAAUAAAACUAGUAAGCCUAGUGAAAUUGGUCAAAGCAGCAAAACCCAAUCCUCGGGUUCGGGAUUACGCUGUUUUAAUUGCGGAGAAAAUGGACACCGAAUGACAGAAUGUAAAAAGGGAGGAAAAUAUGGUAAAGGCUUAUUCGUAGGCACAGAGGAAAGCGAAGACUAUCAGGAGGAAGGAACUGAAGAGUUUGCUGUAGAGCCAACUUUUGAUAGUAGUGGUAGCGCUCAAUCUGUUGAAGAACAUGGUGAUAGCGGACCAAUGUUGAUCGUGAACCGUGCAUUCUUCACUCUUAAAGGUCAAGACAAAGACAAGUGGCUACGACAAAAUAUCUUUCAGACUACUUGCACAAUUGGGGCUAAAGUAUGUCGUAUGGUCAUAGACUCCGACAGUUGCGAGAAUGUCAUUUCGGAAGAAGCCAUAACAGAGCUAAAUUUAAAGACAGAACCUCAUCAAACUCCAUACAAGCUCACAUGGCUGAAGAAGGGAAAUCAAGUGACAGUAUCGAAACGUUGCUUAGUUUCCUUAUCCAUUGGUUCAAUUUAUAAAGACAAAAUUUAGUGUGAUGUUGUGGCUAUGGAUGCUUGUCAUCUAUUACUGGGUAGACCUUGGCAAUAUGAUCGAAACGUAGUGCAUGAUGGGAAGAGAAACACCUACAGCUUUAUGUUUAACAACACCAAGAUCGUUCUCCUACCUAACAAAGAGUUUACUCUCCAGCAAGACUUGGGUAAUUAUUUGUUAGGAAAGAAGCAAUUUAUAGAUGUUGUAGCAGAGACAAAGAGAGUCUAUAUUUUAUUGGGAAAAGAGAGUAACGGUGAUUCGAAGAUUCCUGAAGCUGUGACACCUAUUCUGGCGGAAUUUCAAGAUUUGUUCCCUAAUGAGCUACCACAGGGUUUACCACCUCUUCGAGAUAUACAACACCAAAUUGAUUUGGUACCAGGUUCUACAUUACCAAAUCGACCUCAUUAUCGUAUGAGUCCUACAGAACAUGAGGAAUUAAGGCGCCAAGUGGAACUAGAAAAAGGGAUUUAUCCGUGAAAGUCUUAGUCCCUGUGCAGUCCAUGCUUUAUUGACUCUAAAAAAAUAUGGUUCUUGGAGGAUGUGCGUGGACAGUCGAGCUAUCAAUAAAAUUACAGUUCGAUAUCGUUUUCCAAUCCCUCGAUUAGACGACUUAUUAGAUCAACUCAGUGGUGCAACAAUUUUUACCAAACUUGAUUUGAAAAGUGGCUACCAUCUAAUUCGAAUACGGCCCGGAGAUGAAUGGAAAACAGCUUUUAAAAUUUGCGAAGGGUUAAACGAGUGGUUGGUAAUGCCGUUUGGCUUAUCCAAUGCUCCGAGUACUUUUAUGCGAGUCAUGAAUCAAGUUCUUCGCCCUUUCAUUGGAAAGUUUGUGGUUGUUUACUUCGAUGAUAUACUUAUAUAUAGCACCAGUCACGAGUUACAUCUACAACAUUUGAGAAAAGUGCUUUUAGCCUUAAGAGCAACAAGUUUAUACACAGCAGUAAACAAGUGUAUUUUCUUGACUGAGAAAGUAUUAUUUUUGGGAUAUGUGGUGUCGAAGGAUGGUAUAUCUGUUGACCAAUCAAAAGUGGAUGCUAUUCGAGAUUGGCCUCAGCCAACUACUUUAUCCGCCACCAGAAGUUUCCAUGGAUUGGCCUAUUUUUACAGGCGAUUCAUUCCUCAUUUCAGUACUAUUAUGGCACCAAUCACAGAUUGCAUGAAAGGAGGACAAUUUUCUUGGACAGAGGCAGCUACUAAGGCAUUCAAGAUUAUCAAAGAAAAGUUGAUUACUGCCCCAGUACUUGCCCUACCAGAUUUUUCGCUCACUUUUGAGGUACAUUGUGAUGCUUCUAAGGUCGGCAUUGGAGCUGUUCUUAGCCAACAGGGUAAGCCUAUAGCUUAUUUCAGUGAGAAGUUGAAUGGAGCAAAGGCACACUACAACACUUAUGACGUGGAAUUUUACGCAGUAGUCCAAGCGUUAAAACAUUGGCGACAUUAUCUAAUUCAUAAAGACUUUGUUUUAUACACUGACCAUGCCGCGUUAAAGUAUCUCAAUAGUCAAGACAAGCUCUCUUACAGACAUGCCACGUGGACAGCAUUCCUUCAACAAUUUACCUUUGUGGUGAAGCAUACCUCUGGUGAAUCCAACCGGGCAGCAGAUGCACUUAGUCGACGAACUUCGUUAUUGACACAGAUGCAUAAUCAAGUUCUUGGAUUUGACACAUUUCGAGAGUUAUAUGCUUCUGAUCCUUACUUUGCUCCUAUAUUAGAAGACGUUGUUGCAGGGUUUCGCUCAGAUUAUCAUUUACAUGACGAAUUCCUUUUCAAGAGUAAUCAGUUGUGUGUUCCUGACUCAAGUUUGAGAUUGAAAAUCAUUUCAGAGUUACAUAAUGAAGGGCACAUGGGUCGUGACAAAACUCUGGCUCUAAUCGCCAACACUUAUUUUUGGCCUACUAUGAGGCGUGAAGUCUAUCACUAUGUUGAGACUUGUCGCAUUUGUCAAGUUUCCAAGGGUGCAGCAACUAAUGCUGGGUUAUAUAUGCCGCUGCCGAUUCCAACACAACCUUGGGCUGACAUUAGCAUGGAUUUUGUUUUGGGAUUACCCCGCACUCAGAGGGGUAUGGAUUCAAUAUUUGUUGUUGUUGAUCGAUUCUCGAAAAUGGCUCACUUUAUUGCUUGCAAGAAGACUACAGACGCUUUGACUGUUGCUCGCCUAUUCUUCAAGGAAGUCUAUAGAUUGCACGGUUUACCAAGUUCUAUAGUAUCUGACCGGGAUACACGAUUUCUUAGCCAUUUUUGGAAGACAUUAUGGAAGUUGACUAACACUCGCCUGAAUUUUAGUAGUGCUUACCACCCACAAACAGAUGGUCAAACUGAAGUUGUCAACCGCUCUUUAGGAAACCAUCUACAUAGUCUAGUUGGUGAUAACUUGAAGAUGUGGGAUCAGAAGUUAUAUCAAGUCGAGUUUACUUAUAACCGUGCAGUUAAGCGUAGUACUGGUUUAAGCCCUUUUCAGGUGAAUUACGGAUAUAAUCCACGAGCUCCUAUCGACUUGGCUCCAGUUCCAGAUUUAGUUCGCAAAAGCGGUAAAGCCGAAGACUUUAUUGAGCAGCUUCAACAGAUUCAUGAAACUACGCAAGAGUCUUUGAAGCAGAAGACCGAAGGUUAUAAAAUUAUGGCAGACAAAAAACGUCGAGCUUUGGAAUUUCAAGUGGGAGAUUUUGUUUGGGUUGUCCUAACUAAAGAUAGAUUCUCAGUUGGUGAGUACAACAUGCUUUCUGCCAGGAAAAUCGGCCCUUUGGAGAUUAUAGAGAAGAUAAAUCCUAAUGCUUACAGAUUAAAGCUUCCUAGUCAUAUCCGCACCGCAGAUGUAUUUAAUGUUAAGCAUCUUAUUCCUUACAGAGGUGAUCAUGAUGAAGAUGUUGUUGCUGACAAUCAGAAUUCGAGGGCGAAUUCUCUCCACCCUGGGGGGAAUGAUGAAGAGUAGGAAUCCAUAUUAUACUAGGAUUAGUUUCCUUAUUAACUAAAGUUUAAGACUUUUAAAUUCCUUUCUAAUUUAGAAUUUUGUUUCCCUUUCAAUUUAGGAUUUUGUUUUUACUUCAUGAAUUAGGAUAAUUACUACUAAUAUAAAUAGCUCCCUCUUGUAGCCUUUGAAGGAAGAAUUUUGAGUUCAAUAAUAUUUCAAUUUUCAAAUCUCUUUGUGAGUAUUUGAAUAGUUAAUUCUCGGUAUUCUGAAUCAACGAGUCUUAAUCCCUAAGUUCGCGGUAUUCUUUUGAAUCAACGUGAAUUUAGUUGUUCUUUUAUUCCGGUAUUCUCUAGAAUCAACAGAAUAUUUUGAACAUUAAACUUCCGCUGCAUCACUUAGACGUUGAAUAAGCAUACAUCUUGAAGUUUGUUUCCACUAUGACAAAUCCCUGAGGAGAAGAAAAUGUAGAAUGAACUAUGUAUUUAGAGAAUGUAAAAAUGAGACCUCAUUUUGGUUUCCGACAAUAAUAAUGUGACAAGAUUGACCUAAACUAUUAGAAAAUUAAUGCAGUUUGCAAAAUAAAAUUAUAAUUUUUUUUAAAAAUUAAUCACACAAUUGUCUGCAACAUUCGACAUUAAGGGAGAUUACAAUUAUUUUACUUCUUUUAUAUUCGUUAUUCAGAGUGAGAGCCAAUGAUUUCUCAAACAACAUACCUCUUUCCGUGUUGAUGAAUCAGUUAAGCUCAUUUGAAAGAUUGGUAGCUAAUUUAGUAGGUACAAACCAACUUUCUUUCCAGCCCUGAAUAGCCAUGGAAAACAUAUGAGAACUCCAACAAAGUAUUGCUAAAUUAACACAGAUAACUAGCAUUUUCUGUAGCACAGACUAGUACAACCUGCUGAAGUUUGACCAAUCCCAAGUCUGCAAAGUCUUUGAUCAUAGUAUUUUGUAUUUCACUCAGUGUAUUUAAGUUAUAUGCCUAUAACAUGAAGAAGCAAAGAGUAUAGCAAUAAAGUGAGAUCUCAAACCACUUUGAGAAUUCCUUAACAUAAAAAUUUUAAGAACCUCAAGAUGCUGAGAAGUUAAAAGCAAUACUAGGAUAGACAUAAGCUUACAAAAAUGGAUAAGAGAACAAAAGACAAUAUUAAAUGUGACAAUGGUAUAAAAAAAAAUUUGAAAUUCUGUUAAAACCAAAAGUAUUAGCCAGAAAUCAAUCAAACUUCUUGAAUAAAUGGAAUAACUGAAUAAUAAUGUAUAUGUGCUACCUCACCAUCGACAUGGAAACUAAGCUCCAUAAGAAAAGAAAUCAGAUCUGCUUGAUUUAUGCCUCGUUCCUGCAAGAAAAUGAGAAAAGCUAUAUGAUAUAUUAUUGGUAUUGUUGACCAUAAGCAAGCAUAGAGUCGUGUUAUCCCACAUAUAAUUAGAUCACCAGUGAGCUUUUAUCUCUAUUAAAUAGUCCAAUGAAAUACCAAAGAAGAAAAUCUUUUAGUUCUACUUUGCGUUAGCAGUAAUUAUUGAUUAGUGUUAAAAAUUGUAUGUUUAUUAAGGGAUAAACUUGUUAUUUUGUGCUAUUAAUAUAAUUUAUACUUGUAAUUGUCUAACAUAUUGUGAAUUUCUAAUUAUUUUUCUAAAUAUUUGAUUUUGUGUAUUUUUGUGUGUUUAUUAGGUAAAAAUAAUAAUUUCACGCAAUUUGAGGCUCUAAACAAAUGUAUGGAUGUCAAAUUUGGAAUCCGGAAGUUCGAGAAAUUAUGUCAUUGUCGAGGAGGAGCCAAGACUUUUGUUGUAAAUUUUUACGUUUUUACCACGGUAAAUGUGAUAAUUGUAAAAUUAUAAGUUUUUAUCAUAUUAGGUAUGGUAAUUUUUAAUGGAAUGUGUUGGAUAUGCUUGAGUGGAUAAGUUAGUGUUAUGUUUUAUUAGUGAGACAAAUGUAAGGUUAAGAUGUAAUUAGAUUUUUUUAUUUGUGUGGUGUGGAUUUACCAUGUAUUAGUAUAAACAGAGAGGGGGGUGAACACACCUCUACACACCUUCUCUUCUCUUCUUUCCCCCAAAUUCUUCUUCUCAUCUCUCCUUGUAAUAUAUUUUCAAUAAAUAAAAUUAGUUUUAUUUUCAAUUUUCAAGCAUUUUUUAAUUAUGUCUUUUUUGUUUUUAAAGAAAAUUCCUUUUAUUUUAAAUAUGUUUAGCUAAAUAUUAGUAGUUAAGGGAAGGUGAAACUCUUAGUAAAAAAUAUGGUUUAAUCAAAUUCUAUUUUUAAUUUUAUAAAUUAAAUUGUUUUCUAUUUAAUUUUAUCCAUAUUUUAUAUUUUGAAAUUUUGAUUUAGUGUAGACAAAAAUAGGAAUUUGGCACAAUAAAUUGUUAAUAUCUUAGUAUAAAAUAUGGAAAAAUGGUAUUUUGAUUUAGUGUAGACAAAUUAAGUUUUGGCACAUUAAUUUCUUAAUCCACAAUCAAAUAAAUGGGAAAAUAAUUUUAAUUUAUACAAUUAGUUUUUUGGGAAAUAAAAUAAAAAUAAAAAGAAUUUGUUAAAUUGUAUUUAUUACUAAGAGUGGAUCCAUAACCCUAACUAAUUCAAUUUGAUACUUUUUCUUAAAUAAAUUACAUAUUUAUAAAUUUUAUUUUUAUUUGGAUAAACUUAAGUAAACAAAUUAAAUUAUUUCUCUGUGGAUCGACCUUGGACUCACCGAGAUAUAUUAUAACUAGACACUCUUAUAUUUGGGAAAAAAUCAAACACUUUUAAGUCGUGUCAAUUAUACAGAUCUAUUGAGAAAUAGAAUAAAAAUCAAAGAAGGCAGUUAAUAUUCUAAAAGUAAAAUGAUAUACAUACAUCUAAUUAUGAACUCUUUAAUCACAUAAACAUGUGCAUAAUAUAAAAAUCAAAGUUCUAAAAUGAACAAUUGGGUAUCGUAAUGAGAUUUAAAGAUAAGUCAAUCCGUUCUUUUGUCCUUUGAAUACUUCACACAGUUUAGUUUUUACAAAGAGAGAAUAAGACGGACGCGCAGAAAAUUUGAUGUAGAGAAAUCACUGAAAAGAAUAUCAGAAGCCACAACUGGGAAUUAGAGAUAUAUUCUCUAACAAUGUACCAGAGCUGUGCAUUAGUACAGGGCUGGCUCAACCAUAUUUGAGGCCCUAGGCAAAUGAUUUUAAUUAGUUCUUUUAAAAAUUGAGGGUAAUCCAUGAAAUUUUAAUUUAAUUAUAACAUUUUCACUUAUUGUUCUUUAACUCAAAUUACAUCUUUUUUACUACUCCUUUUCUAAAUUAAACUAAUUUUUCUAUUCUUCUAUUUUCUACAGUUUUUCGAUAUAGUUUUAUUUCAAAAUAGAUAAAACAAGCAUACAAAAAAAAAAGUAGAUGAAUAAAAGAAUAUAUUGAAAAAAAAUAAGAACAAAUAAAUAACACAAUUAAUUAAGAGAAUUAUAAAAAGAUAAAAUCUGGAAUUUGAGAUGAAAUUAUGAAUUAACUUUAUCUUUAUAUUAAUUGUUUGAGGAUUCGAGUAAUGACCAAUAGUCAUAGAGAAUAGAGAAAAUUAUUAGAUCUUUUUCUUUUUCUUCUUGAGUGGAAAGUAGAGGAAGUGAUACACCAACUGUAAUUAAUUAUGUCAUCGCAUCUCCUAGAUGUUGGCAUGAAAAAAUCCUUAAACAUGAAAGAAUAGAACAGGUAAAGUUCACCCCUCCCAUUGUCCAAUGGCAUAGGCCUCAAGCUCCUCCAAGGUUGGAAGCCUUGCAGUAAUACUAGAAGGCAAUGGUUCCCUUGACAAAGCUCCACUGCAAGUUUAGAAUCAUUAAUUUUAUACAUAAAAUAUGAUCAAAGGUGCUCAAAAACAGACUUGGAAGUAACUACAAAACCAAUGCAAUCUCAUAUGUUCAAGUUUAAGAUAAUGAAAUGUAUCACUUAGGUAGUUUAAGAUAAUGAAAUGUACCACUUAGGUUUCAAAAGAUAAUGAAAUGUAUCACUUAGGUUUCAAAAUUUUAAAGGACAGUCAAUCAAUAAAUUAUGUGUUGAAAAAAUCAACAUUGGGCACGCGCGGUAUCCAAUUUUUUUUUAAAACAUGCAAUUUUUAAAAAGGCCACCAAACAAAUGAAGAAAAAUGGAAAAGUUAGCAAAUUUGUCAAAUGUGCACCAUUGACAAAUUGCUUGGGUUAGGUGGAAUAGUGCAAACUUGAAGCCUAUAAAUUGAAGCAAUUUUUUCAUUCUAUGGCAUCCCAAAAAAUUGAGAGAAAAACAAUUCAAUUGUAGAAUUGUUAAGAGAGUGAGCAAUUGGAGAGUUUUUAAUUGAGAGGUUUUUCUUUUUAAGUGUGUGAGAGUACUGGGUGUAUUUGAGUUUUGAGAAGUGAGUUUUCUUUACUCAAAUUUUGUACUCCAAUAAUUGUUAAUUAUACAAUUAUUUUCUCUUACUCCUGUGGACAUAGGCAUAUUGCCGAACCACAUUAAAUUUUGUGUCUUUUAUUUUUCUGUGAUUAUUUGGUGCGCUUGAUUCCGCAUUCCGCGCACAACAAGUGGUAUCAAAGCCGAUGGUUCGUACUUGGAGGGAUAUGGUACUGUUCACAUAUACGAUACUAUUCUCAUAUAUGAUAUUGUUCACGUCUAUGGUACUAUUUACGAAUACGGUGGAGAUGAUCAUUUGUACUUGGGAGGUAGUCUAUUGUAAGUAGUGUUAUUUAUGCAUGUCUAGGAAAGUUUUUUCAAUAAGACGAUAAGAGUCUAAGGAGUCUAGCUUUAAGUGAGACCAUUGUGACCUCUCCAUUCUCUUAGUUUCCUGGUGCAUUUAUUUACGUGAAAUUAACAUCGUAGAUGCUGUUUUUCAAGUGGAAAUAGUUCGUUGAGAAAAUAGUAGAAGGUGAAACAUCUAGAAUUGAGGAAAGAUUUGUCAAAUAUACCCAAGCUAUUUCAGGAGAUACUUCAGGUGGGAGGCAAGAUUUGUCAAAUCGUUAUUCAGCACCUAUUAUAGGAGGCCAAAAGAUUGAUGCUAAAAAUUUUGAUAGGAAAAUCAACUUCGUCAUGUGGAGGCAUGAAGUUAUAGAUGCCCUUAUUCAAAUCGAUCUCAAUAUUAUUAUGAAAAAUAAAAGACACUUGUAUGACAAAGAAACUUGGGAUCGUAUGAACGAGAAAGCCUGUGGUCAGAUCAGAUCUUGCUUGACCAAGGAGGUGAAAUAUCUGGUGAAAGAUGAGGAGUGCGCGAUGACUUUAUGGCUUACAUUGGAGGAGAAGUACUUGCUGAAAAGUCCUGAAAAUCACCUUUAUGCAAUGAACAAAGUAUAUGACUUUCGAAUGAAGUCUGGGGUGUCAAUGCACGAUCAAGUCUCAAGAUUUGAAAAGUUACUUGUUGAUUUGAAAAAUCAGGAUUUGAAAAGUUACUUGCUGAUUUGAAAAAUCUUGAUGAAGAUAUUAAUGAUGAAGUCAAGGCUAUGAUUAUGUUACACUCACUGCCAAAAGAAUAUAACCAUUUUGUGACUACCCUGAUAUAUGAAAAAAUCGUGAUUAUCUUCAAAGAUGUCUGCACAAUAUUUACCAAUUUGGAAAUUCAGAAUAAUGAUAAACAUUCCGAAAGAGCAUCAUCUGAAGCUUUGUUUGCCAGAAAAAGGACGAUGGAGAAAAAGAAGAAUUCUUGAUCCAAAAUCGAAAAGCAGAAAUAUAGCUCGAGAUGUGUGUGCCUUUUGUCAUGAAAAAGGUCAUUGGAGGAAAGAUUGUCGCUCAAAAGAGAGAUGAGAAGAAACCAGUAGCAACAAAAUGGCACUUAAAGAUGAAGACUCUGAUUAUUCACUAAGUAUUAUGCCUACAACAUAUGUGGUUAGUUCGAGUGAGUGGAUACUUGAUACUGGAGUAACCUAUCAUUUGUGUCCUAUUAAGGAAUGAUUUACAAAUUUUCAUAAUUUGGAAUUCGGUGCAGUUGUGAUGGGGAAUGAUCAACCUUGUCGUACAAUGGGGAUAUGAAUAAUUCGACUCAAAUAUUUGAUAGAAUGGUUAGAGAACUGAAAGAGGUUAGAUAUGUUCCAGUUUUAAAGAAAAAUCUAAUUUCUGUGGGUGCUCUAGAAGCUAAAGGGUACAAGGUUACUAUUGAAAAUGACACAAUAAAGUUCACGUAUGGUGCUAUGAUGAUUCUGCAAGGAGUUCGACAUCACAAUCUGUACUAUUUGAAGGGAGCUACAAUUGAUGAAGUAAAUGUUGCUAAGGCAUAUAGUGACACCACCAAGCUAUGACAUGUACGACUAAGACAUGUUGGAGAGAAGUCUUUGCAAACUCUGAUGAGGCAUGAACUCUUAAAAGAUACAAAAACCUAUAAAUUAAAGUUCAACGAGCAUUGUGUAGUAAGUAAGAAAACAAAAGUCAAAUUUGGUACCGCUAAUCACGAUACCGUAAGAUCCUUAAAUAUGUUCACAGUAAUGUAUGGGGACCAAUUACGAUAGCAUCAAUUGGUGGAAGCCAUUAUUUUGUUACAUUUGUUGAUGAUUUCUCUAGAUGUUUGUGGGUGUACACCAUGCGAGCGAAGGAUGAGCUUCUAGAGAUUUUUGUGAAAUGGAAGAAACUAGUGGAGACUCAAACUGGCAAAAAGAUCAAAGCAUUAUGAUCUGAUAAUGCGGGUGAGUAUAUUUCUGAUCCAUUCUUGCAAGAAUGCCAGAGUGAGGGUAUAAAAAGACAUUUCACGAUGAGACAUACUCUGCAACAGAACGAUGUGGCUGAGCGUAUGAAUGAUACUUUGCUGGAGAAAGUAUGGUGUGUUAUCUAAUGCUGGUUUAGAUAAAAAGUUUUGAGCUGAGGCUGUGAGCUAUACAAGUCCUUCAUAAACCGGUUACCUUCUGUUGCAAUUAGAGGUAAAACUCCAAUAGAAAUGUGGCCUGAAAAGUAUGAACAAGCCUAUGACUCCAUUCGUGUGUUUGAAUGUUCAGCUUAUUAUCAUGUAAAAAUUGAUAAGCUCGAUCAUUGUACAAGAAAAUAUAUUUUUGUGGGAUUUAAAGGUGGAGUUAAAUGUUUCAAGGUUUGAGAUCUUGAAGAUAAAAAAUUUGUGUAUAGUAGAGAUGUUACUUUUGAUGAAGCUUCUAUACUGAAGGCUUUAAGUUCUCAAUAGGUGGAGAACAAGACCAAUGAGACAUUGCAGCGGGUGGAGUUUGAUGCAGCUUUAUAUGUACCAGUUAGUUCUACAUCAGAGAAGAGCUCAACUUUAGAGGAGAUCCCAAGAGUUGAAAAAGAAGUUGUUUCUGAUGAUGUCCUACAAUAGGCAAAAACAACUAAAGAUGUAGAAGAUGAAAAUGAUACUAUAGCAACAAGGAGACCAAAAAGAGUGAUAAAGAACCCCGGAUAACUUACUAAAGACAUGGUGGUUGCCUAUACACUUCCAGUUAUUUUUUAUGACAUCCCAACACUUUCAACGAAGCUAUACGUAGUAGUGAAAGUGAUCACUGGAAGUUAGCCAUGGAGGAAAAGAUGAAAUUUCUCUAUCAAAACCAGACCUGAGAACUUGUAGAGUUACCAAAGGGAAAAAUGGAUAUUGGCAAUAAAUGGGUCUACACUAAGAAGUAAGGAUCUCCAAAUCAAUCAACUCUUUGAUACAAGGAAAUGCUCGUUACAAAAGGUUUUGCUCAGAAAAAAUGUAUUAACUACAAUAAAGUUUUCUCUCCAGUCGUAAAGCAUCUUCCAUUUGUAUCAUACUUGCCUUAAUAGCUGAAUAUGAGUUAGAGUUGGCUCAGUUGGAUGUUAAGACGACGUUCUUACAUAGAGAUUUGGAGGAGGAAAUCUAUAUGACUCAGCCUUGUGGUUUCAAAGUUGCUGGAAAGGAGAAUCAUAUGUGCAGAUUGAUUAAAUCUUUGUACGAAUUGAAACAGUCACCAAGGCAAUGGUACAAGAGAUUUGAUCAAUUCAUACAAAGGCAGAAAUUCACCAAAAGUGAACACGAUCAAUGUGUUUACUUCAGAAGAUUACAAGAUGGAGCUUUCAUCUAUUUGUUACUCUAUGUCGACGAUAUACUUAUAGUUUCGAAGAAUAGAGCUGAGAUUGAGAUACUAAAAAAGUAGCUGGCUUCUAAGUUCGAGAUGAAAGACUUGGAUGAUGCACAGAAAAUACUUGGGAUAGAGAUUUAUAAAGUCAAGAAGAAUAAGAGCGUAUGGUUAACAAAAAAAUCUUAUUUGAAGAAAGUGUUAGAAAGAUUCGGUAUGGAUGACAAAACUAAACCAAUAUGUACUCCUCUAGCUCUUCACUUCAAAUUAAGCUCUUCUUCAUGUCCUUCUUCCCAAGAGGAGCGCGAUUACAUGGCUUAUGUUCUAUAUGCUAGUGCUGUGGGUAGUCUUAUGUAUGUUAUGGUGUGUACAAAGCCUGAUAUAUCUCAAACCGUCAAUAUGGUUAGUCAAUAUAUGCAUAAUUCGGGUAAAGACCAUUGGCUUACUAUGAAAUGGAUUCUCCGAUAUUUGUAUAGAACAAUUGAUGUUGGACUUUUAUUAAAGAAGGAUUGUGGUCAACAAUGUGUUGAGUAUUGUGAUUCUGAUUUCACUAGAGACCUUGACAAGUGAAGAUCAACAACGGACUACGUAUUCACAUUUUACAACAAUUGCUCUUUCCACUACAGAAGUAGAAUACAUGGCAACAACUGAGGCUGUAAAGGAAGCUAUCUGGUUGAAAGAAUUGUUAGGUGAUUUAAGAGUAAUCUAGGAGAACAUUGCGGUCUUCUGUGAUAAUCAAAGUGUGAUAUUCCUUGCAAAGAAUCAAACAUAUCACGCUCAGACAAAACACAUAAAUGUGAAAUAUCAUUAUGUGAGAGAGAUUAUUGAAGGUAGUGAUGUAUUAUUAAACAAGAUCAGUACCAAAGAUAGCCCAUCAGAUAUGCUGACAAAAGUUAUUUCUGGAAUUAAGUUUCAAUAUUGCUUGAAAUUAAUUUAAAUUCUUUGAAUGCAUUGAGUUUAGAAAAUUUUAAACUACGGUUGGCUUGAUCCCAAAUUUUGGGUACGUAGGCAGUUGAAGCGACGCAACUGUUCUAGAUCCUUAUUGAAGGAUUACUUUAGGGAUGAUAGUUCGUAGGUGGUUGGGUCAAGUUUGGACAAAUCUUUGCUGAUGUGAAGAAUUGUUGAAAAAAUCAACAUUGGGCACAUGCACGUGGUAUCCAAAAUAAAAAAAAAAAUGCAAUUUUUCAAAAGGCUACCAAAUAAAUGAAGAAAAAUGGAAAAGUUAGCAAAUUUGUCAAAUUAAGAUAAAUUGGCACCAUUGACAAAUUGCUUGGGUUAUGUGGAAUAGUGCAAGCUUGAAGUCUAUAAAUUGAAGGCAUUUCUUCAUUCUAUGGCAUCCCAAAAAAUUGAGAGAGGAACAAUUCAAUUGUAGAAUUGUUAAGAGAGUGAGCAAUUGGAGAGUUUGUAAUUGAGAGGUUUUUCUUUUCAAGUGUGUGAGAGUACUGAGUGUAUUUGAGUUUUGGAAAGUGAGUUUUCUUUACUCAAAUUUUAUACUUCAAUAAUUGUUAGUUAUAUAAUUAUUUUCUCUUACUCUCGUGGACGUAGGCAUAUUGCCGAAUCAUGUUAAAUUUUGUGUCUUUUAUUUUUUCUGUGAUUAUUUGAUGCGCUUGAUUCCGCAUUCCGCGCGCAACAUUAUGAUAAUCAAACCUCUUAAUAGGAUGAUCCUACAAAAUACACACAGAAGAGAACCAUCAAAAUCUCCUUGCAAAAAAACUCAGCCAUAUAUUAAAUGCUUCCGGAUGUAAGACUGGAAUAUUGAAUUUAAUCUGUAAGUGGUUUCCUUCUUCCUGUCAUUAAAAUAUGAAGAACAUCAGUAAUUCAGCAUAGGGCAAACAGUACAGAAUUAAAUUCAAUUUUUUUUUAAAAAAAAAAGAGUACUAGUGAUAAUUGGAAGACAACAUUCAAGCAUAUAGAUAUACAUCUGACUAUAAACAUAUAAAGCUGUAAAAUUUAAUACUUUAUAAAAUAACUUGCCAAACAACAACAUAUUAACCAGCAGUACACAACCGAUGUGUGAAACGAUCAACAAAUAUAUCCCCAUUCCUAAGUGAGCUUUGUAUUUUACAUCCUCACAAAAGAAACUCAUGAUGACAAAUCGAGAUGUUGUAGCAACUCUCUUAGACUAAAUUAAGCUUAACGUAUCUUAUAUCAUUUCGGCCCCUUUGGUUCUGCCAGUCAGUAGACAAAAUGCUUAUAGUCGCGAAAUUUUCAGUGAUUUAGCAUUCUUCUCAUUUUCUAGCAGUCAAUAUUGGAAAUUAAAGUAAAAAUAUUUUAGUGAAAUUACGUACUUUUCGUCUGAAAAUAAUCUCAACUGAACCAACCGAUCAAUGGCCACUUUGUGCUUAGUAAACCUAUCUGGAAGCACCCACUCCUCUAUCGUCUUAGCCGGUAUUGCACCAUCAAUAUAUAACAUUUGGAAUACAUACUUCUUUGCUAGUGGUGGCAGUGACCGGAGAUCCAAAAAAAAGGAAAAAUAACAAAAAGCAUUAAUGUAUCAUAACUCUUGAAAGAAAAAAUUGGCACUUAAUUCUUAAAAUAUAAACAAUAUGAUGCUUUGACUACAUGUACGUUCAUCCAAAAACAGGAUGAAAAUUCACAAACAAAACACAAAUUUUUUUUGCAUUGCCUCGAGCAGUCCCAGUAGCUUCAAUGAGGGCCCAGAGGUUGUGCACUUGCUAAGUUGUGAAGGCUCUGGAAAGUCAAUUUUAGGCUUAUGUUUGAGUUACUUCGGCUCUUAAUGUGCAGGUCUAAACAUCACCUUAAUUUUGUUGUUUAUUAUUUAGGAACAAUAAGCUUUGAUUGUUUAUUAUUACUUCACUCGUAGGCUGCUGCUACUGUUGCCAAGUGAUAGCUCAUUUUGGUUUAACUGAGGGGAAAUGAUUGUCAUCCAAAAACCCAUAUAUAUAUAUAUAUAUAUAUAUAUAUAUAUAUAUGUAUGUAUGUAUGUAUGUAAAACCCAUAUAUGUAUGUAUGUAUGGUUUUUCUGAUUUUGAGGUGGAAUCUGAUUCAGCCACUGUGGUUUCUUGGGCUAUUUCAAGUGGAUUCAUGGGAUGAUCGAGAUUUUGCUUACCUCUUUGGUCGUGUUUGGGCAUUGGCUUUUAGCCCAUCUAUUAUUAUCAAGCAUGUUUUUCGAGAAGCUACAUUUGCUGCUAACUUUAUACCAACUGGGCUUGUACUCAUCAGACUUGUCAGAGAUUUUUCAAUCCUAGAGACCUUCCGACUGGUUUAUUGGGCAUUCUUCAUUUGAAUACUCUCAAAAUUCCAUAUAUUCGUCAUUAAUCACCUUAAUUUGGAUUGGUUUUAUAUUGAUCACUAAAUUAUUUGCUUCUCUUGGGAGGUUUUGGUUUAUGUCCCUCUCUUUAUGUUCAUUCAUUGAUUGAUUUAUUUACAGGUAAGGGUCUCGUCUAAACCCCACCAUCUUAGUGGAUUUUCAUUUAAAAAAAAAUGUAUGUAUGUAUGAAGGACCAAAAUCUUUUAUUUGACCAAAGUUUAACAAUUGUAAAUAUUUACAAGCAGAUCUCUUCCACUGGGACUAACACAAAUAAGUUAUUUUUAAUUGCUAGAAAUAUAUGGGUUCUUAUCUAAUUUUUUAAGCUAGCAAAAGCAAGACAUUAUUAAACGUUCAAUUUAUAAUAAUUUUCUCGCUAAAAUUAUGUUUGGACUUUUAGUUAGGCAAAAACCAUGCACUUAGGACCUUUAUCUUGCUUUGAACUUUACAACAAAACUGUGCUUUCAGUAUACUCAUCUAUUUUUCCGACCAAUUUAUUCUUUAUUAGCAAGGGUAAUUUUCUCUUGAAAACGUUAAUGGCUUUUUUAAUGUAUAUCCGACGGCUCUUCCCUGCCUUUAUAAAAAGUACUUGGUAAAUGAAGCCCUUCGAAUAUCUGGUCGGUAAUGGUGUUGUUUGUUGAAGUGGGGAAUGAUAUGCGGUCAUUAUGAAUAUGCAUAGGUAUUGCAUGCACGUCUUUACAGCAGGAGAGGGAGAGUGGAAGAUUUGAUCAUCAUUAAGACUUGGUCAACUUUGUUAAUACCCUCUUAGUGGAGGACCUUAGUGGUUUCCGUUGAAUAAGCUUUGGGUGCUGAAAAUCAGCACAACUUAGUUAUUUCCCAGAUUAUUUUGCUGUUAUUGUUCUAUUUUCUAGCUUAAUAUGUUAAGUGUAGAGACUAUUUAUGUAGUCCGGAAUGAAUGGAAUAAAGCCGCGGAAAGUGAAAGCUUACUGCAAUAUUUCUUCUCCUUUCUCUUCUUCCAUCUUGGUUCACUUCUUGUUACAAAUUCUCAUUUAAUAUAAUUUGUAUUGAUCUGCCAAUAUCCGAAGAGAAAUGAACCAUGUCAAUACCCACUUGGCAAAACGUGCCUGUGUCCACUUCAUCAUUUAUUUAUGAAAUAUUCUUAUUAAAUGGGUAAAGUCCAUAUAAUACAAUAACUUUCAUUUGCCCAACAUUUGGAAUACAGAUAACAGAUGCUUUGUUUCUUUAGUUAUAAAUUUUUUUUUCACCUCCUUUUUUGUUGUUGAGAGAAUUGGUAAAACCAACUCUAUAAUGCUGCCUCUUUGCCAUAAAAGCUGCAUUUUUACGGCAUCAGCUUGCAGUCAUGUGUGUUAAAUUGAAAAAAGUGAAUAUUACAUCAAUUGUUUAUUGAGAUAUUUUCUUCCUUAAGAAAAUAUAUGAGCAGAAAGCAACAUCAUUAUUGUGAUUUCAAUACAGCAUCAUCCAUCAAUUUCAUAUAAGCUUUAGAAGGCCGGAUACUGAAGCACAAUCAGUUGCGUUGUUGUUGCAUUUCUCACAACAAGACUGCAACAACUUAAUGGCUUUUUGGUACUUUUGAAGGUUUGCAGUCACCUGUGUAAUUUUAUUUUUGUUCAAGUCCAUCAAUAUUAAUCACUAGCUUGUCCAGUAAAAGUAAAAACAACACCAAAACUUUAUGAUUUUCGCACCAACUGCCGAUCGUGUUUUGAAAUUCUAUCCCGGAUGUUAUGGGAGUCGGAAUUAAUCUUCUAAAAUUGAUUUGAAAUUGGUCAAAAUUUCGGACAAAAUUUUAUCCCGAUUAAUUAUACGGAACCGGAUCGUCGAGAAAGUUUAUAAAGAUUGAAGAACUUGUUGGCAAUCACAGGCUUAGGUUAUAAUACUUUUCCUUCCUUCUCUUUUUCUUUUUCUUUUAUGUUACAUGAUAUGAACAACAAUAAUAAUCGAAGCCAUUAAACCGAAACACUUGUGUGUGCAUUGUGCAUGUGUCUUGGUUAGUUCAAGUAGCGCUCAAUAAUCGAUGGAAGUCUUUGGACACUGGCAAUUGAGUCAUUGUAGUGGAGAUUGUCCAGAAAGAAAUAUUAAGGAUGAGAAAUGCUUAAUAAUCUUUUUAACAAAAAAAAAAAAAAAAAGCUUCUGCACAUCUUCGACUCAAAUUAAUUUCUCUUUUAAAUGUCUAUUGUCUAAUUUUUUUUUUAAAAUCAUAUAACUUUUUUUUUAAAGAAAUGUGCAGUAAGAUUAGGCCAAUCAUAAAUGUCUAAAUAAAGGCCUAAAAGCCACAUGUUUCCCCCCUUCCCCCCCCCCCCCUCCAUCUCGAACCACUCUCAUUCAGACCCUCCAUCUCAAAUCCAACCCCAUGCAAACCAACCACCAACGUCCACUGCCACUAUCCUCUCAAAACUUUAGCAACCUUCAAUCCCACCUAAUGCAAUAAAUGAACAAAAAGAAACUGGCAUCUUAGGAGGUCCCAAAGGCAAACUCGCUCAAAAUACAAGAGUCAAUCGCCAGCCCAACCCCAACAGCCCCCAAAUUCCACAAAUACACCGCCAUCAUCAUCCCUUCAACAGCCAACUCCAACCGCCAUUGUCAUCCCUUCAACAGCCAACUCCAAGCUUUCAUCACCAGAGUUGCUGAAUGGGUUUUCAUCUCAAACCAACCAGCCACCAGCCUCUAGCCCGCAACCAACACAAACCACACACCAUUCGGGAGAUCACCCUACUGUCACAGCCCAUAUGCACCAUCAAAACCAGCCCGCACCCCAUGGCCAUUUGUCUCAAGAUUUGGUUCAAGAUACAACCACCAGCCAGCCACAAUCUCCACCUACACAAAGAACUCCCUCACGACAGAAAAUCUCAUGCAAACCACAAGCUAGCACACGGGAAAGUGCUCACGGCCAGCUGUAGCUGUUAACCGUGAGCCAGCUGCAUACAACCAUCACCGAACCCAACCAAGGUCAACAAAUAUCCAACACCAGCCAGCCACAAUCAACACAUACACAAACAACUCCCUCACGACAAAAAAUCCCAUGCAAACCACAAGCAAGCACAUGGGUAAGUGCUCACGGCCAGCUGCAGCUGUCAACCGUAAGACAACUGCAUGCAACCAUCAAUGAACCCAGCCAAGGUCAACAAACAUCCAACCAACACCAGCUCAAAAGUCUGCACGCAUGUGAAAAUUCCCAUGCUCAUGAGACACUUUCGGCAGCACAUGAUUUGUGUUCCCCAUGUGUGUCUCCCACUAGCACCUCCCAUACCCCACUAGCUUUUACCACUAGUCAAACCCAAGCCCAAUCCAUUUCCCAAAUAAAUCCCAACACCCAGCCCUCCCGAAUGCCCUCCACACUUUUAUUAAAUAACCCCCAAAAAGAUCUGUUAAUCCAAAAUACCACUCAGCCCACGUCCGUACCCUCUUAUGCCUCGAUGUUGAAAUUUGUCCCCAAUCUGAAUCAAAAUAAACUCACAAAAAAAUCGUUGGUGGAUAUUAUGAACGGCUCAACCAGCUCAACAAUUCCGAUCAAGACUGUCACUUUGUUCGAGGGAGAGCCUAAUGUGUAAUUUUUCACUGCGGAAAUUCAAGCGAUGGCCAUUCCUUUCAAGCUGACAUUAGUAGGUAAAUUUUCCUACAAUAGACCCAGUAUGGAAUUAAUUUGUAAAUUUUUUAAUACUUUGAGAUUGAAAGGAACUUCCAAGGUAUUCCUUUUAGAUGAUCGACAUGUGUUAAUUCAAUUGGAUGUUGAGGAGGACUACUCACGCCUAUGGGUUAGGCAGACAUGGUACAUCAAUGGUAGGGAUGGCAAAAAUCCCCAUGGGGACGGGUACCCUCGGGGAUUUUCCCCAUUCGGGGAGGGUACGAGGAUAAUUUUAUACCCAAUUUUUUAUUCGGGGAGGGGACGGGAAAAAUUUUUUACCCAAUUUUUUAUUCGGGGAGGGGACGGGGAUGAGGUGGAAUCCCCACCCCCUACCCAUUUCCCCAUUUUAAUUUUUAAUUUUAUUUUUAUUUUUAAAACUACUAAUAAAUAAAUAACAAAAUUAUAAAUAUUGUUAAAAAUAAUAAAUAUCAAAAUAUUUAUAUUAUUAAAUGCUAAUAGGUAUCCUACAUUAGCUCGAAUUGCUAGAGAUAUUUUGGCAAUUCCAAUUACAACAGUUGCUUCUGAAUCAGCUUUUAGCACCGAUGGUAGAGUUGUGAGCCCACACCGUAACAAACUUCAUCCAAGCACAUUGGAGGCCUUAAUGUGCUGUCAAAGUUGGUUACGAGCUUACAAUAGCAGUAUGAGUUUAUUUUACAUUAUAAUUAUAUUAUACAGUUAUUAAUAUUUGCACUUAUAAGUUACUUUACUUAUAUCAUUUUCAUUGUUUUAGGUUUGAAAUAUGAGACUAUCUCUCAAUUUGCCACAUUUCUCGAGGAAGAACAGGACGAGCAGGAGGUAAAUAGUUUUAUUAAAAAUAUUAAUUAAGUAUCUACAUUUAUUUCAUUUAUUUUAUUGCCGAUAUAAAAAUAAUUUUUUUUCUUUUUAUUGUAGGAUUAUGAAGAUUGAGUCAUUGACAAAGAUAAUUAUUUUAAUAAUUUAUAUUUUGAAUGUGACUUUGUAAUGGAUCAAUAUUAAUGUAAUAUAUAUUUUGAACUUUAUUUUUAUCUGAAUUUUUUUAUUUUAAUAUGAUUAAUUUAAAAUAAAAAAAAUGUAUUAGACUAUUAGUUAUUCGGGGACCGGGGACCCUCGGGGAUCCCCUGUUAUUAUUCGGGGAGGGGAUGGGGAUUCUCUCAAACAAUUCUGACGGGGACGGGGAGGGGACGGGGACAUACGCAAAAUAUCAGGGAUGGGUAUGGGGAGAUUGGUCCCCUCCCCUCCCUUCCCCUCCCCAUUGCCAUCCCUAAUCAAUGGGAGUGACAUGAGAAUUUCUAAAUGGACCACCGAUUUUCGAUGUUCCGAGGAGUCCCUUGUAGUUCCAGUAUGGAUUUCAUUUCUUUACUUGCCUGUCCACUUCAUGCACUGUAAGGAAGCAUUAUUUUCUAUUGCAUCUGCUAUUAGUAAGCCAUUAUGAAUUGACCAAACUACUGCCUCUAUAGCUCGCCCUUCUGUAGCUAGGGUGUUAGUGGAGUAUGAUGUCACUCAACCUCCGCUGCCGCGGAUACGAAUCAGUGUGGGAGAUUCUGGAUUUUGGUAGAGUGUAAUUUUUGAGAAAAUCCUACUCUACUGUGCUUCCUGCAAGCACCAUUGAGAUGUGUUACGUGGCCAAUCUGGGGCUCUGUCCCCAGUGGCCCAAUGGGAAUUGGCAGACCAGAGUAGAUAAUAAGAAGUCAUAAGUUCUGCAGUCAGAUACUCCACAACCCCUGGAUACUCCAUGACCUGAGCUUUCCAUCACUAAGCAGAUUGCAGAUGCGGGGUCUCCGAUUGUCUUAUCUACGGAGAACCGAACUAACGCUACAAAAUCUACUCCCAUUCAGGAGCCAAUUGGCUAGGAUAUCACAACUCAUGAUUCUAGGAUCCGAGAACCUGGUGAGUAUAAUCCACAUCUUCAUCGAGCAUCCAGCAUAUAUUUUAGGUAUUACAAUUCUCAUACUGAUAAUGAUGAUAGUUCUGACGAACAUUUGGCGAAUAAUGAUCAUUUUCUGUCUGCUCCUGAGAAUUCUGAGAGAAUUGACUAUAACCCUGAUUUUAGCAUUGUCGGUCAUUCGAAAAAGGGCAUUAAAUUACUUGCCGGCCGCAAGUAUCGUAAGAGAUAUUAUCACCGUCUGCAUUAGUCUUUUUCCUCUCAUAUUAGGCUAUGCCUAAAUCAUAUCUUUUACUGUUAUAUUUAUUUCUCUUGAUUGGAGGUUUUGGUUUAUGUCUCCCUCCUCAUAUAAUUUUCUUUGUCUAUUCUAAAUGAUAGGUAGGGGUCCCGUCUAACCCCCACCAUUAGAGUAGUAUUCACAUAAAAAAAAAUACAAAGUUUUGACAGAGGAGGACAAAGCUACAUUAUGGGCAAAAAAUGACGAUUGCUCGGAACUUACAAGUGAAGAAUGUGCAAUCAAGGAGUAUAACAAUCAUUAUAAUGAUCACUACCUCUUAUUUCGUGGAGAUCUUGACAAUGGCCAUCCACGAUCCCCGUGAAUUUGUUAAAUGGUUAUUUCUCUUAUGUCGUAUCAAUACUUUUUCAAUAACCAUCAAUUGGAGAAAUUGAUGCUAUAUUUUAAUAAAAGAAGGAAUUAAUCCAUUAUGAGCAUGUGAUAUGUUGUGUGUGUUAUAUGGCACUGAUUUAUUAUAAAAGUACUUUAUUGAUUGUUGAUGAUAAUCGAGCGAUUAUAAUUACUUUAUUAGGACUGUUUGUCCUUUUUUUUGUUUUUUUUAUCUAUCGCUUAUGAGGGAUGGGGUAUUUGCGCUCUUUAAAAAUACUUUUAAAUCCAUCUUUUAUCAUUUAAAAAAAAAUUUAAACUGUUUUUUAAUUUUUUAAUUUUUUAUUCUAAAAUUGAAGAGGUAGGUGUAAUUUGUCUAUCUCAGUAAUUUAAUUUAAGGACAUUGUGUAAUAAAAUAUUUUAUGAAAGGUUUCAUAGAAAUUUUAGGAUGCAUAAAUCAAAAUCCUUUGAUGAUGUGACAAAAAUAAAUAAACAAAUGAAUAAAUUAAAAAAAAGUAUUAACAUCAAACCAACAAACAAUUACAAUGAUUUAAAAAAAAUUUAAAAAAAUGGUACAAUUGCAAAUAGGGUUGCUAAUCUCGAAUUGAUGGAAUAUAAUAAACAUUGGUGGAGGGAAAUUAGGAAAUUGAUGUAAAAGCGGUGCUCUCAAUAUAGUGACAUUGGUGACGAGAAGUUAGGAAUUUUAUUAAUUUCUUUAUAUGGUCUGGAUUUUAACAUCGGACUAUUAUUAUAAUUAUAAUUUUAUAACUGAAUUUUUUUUUUUUUUUUGGUGGAGAACUGUUUCGGAAUUUAAUUAACUAUAUCUUGCAGGUAAAUGAGUGCUAUUCGUAAAACGUAUGAGGAAGUUGAUUGAGGAAUUCUCGACAUUAAUUGGUGAUGCUUAGUUAACUACAACCCAGGCAAUACAAUUACCAGGUGUCAAAUGAAAUUUACUAAAAUGUGAGAAGGAAACAUAUUCAUAUGUUAUUAUAAGGAAUUGGGCGGCCAGUGUUUAUGAAAUAAUAAAUUUAUUUGUUUGUUUAAAGGGAUAUUUUUAUAAAAAAUGGUUUUAUGUGGAAUUUAAAGAGAUAUCAAUCAUUCAACUCUUUUUAAAUUUAUUUAAAUAAAUCUAAACACACACGCCACACACAAACAACAUAUUCACAUUUCACAAUACAUACACAAUACACACAAACACAAGUCAAACACAAAUUGGGCACACACACACAAACGAUUGCAACUACACACAAAGGGCACACACACACACAAACGAUUACAAAAACACACACAAAUAACACAUUAACAACAACACAUGCAGUACGGUGGCAACAACAGUCCACUGCUGACAGCCAACCCACGUACAAGGCCACUCACCCACCACCCACCACCCACAGCCUCCCUCGCUCACAACCCACUGCCGACAGCCAACCCCCAGCCUCCCCGAAAUAAACACAAACACACACACAACCGAAGCUGACGCCAACCGAAGCCAAGAUCCAACGCCAGACGCAAGAUUCGACGCCAACCGAAGCCGAGAUCUAACGCCAGACGAAAGAUUGGACGCCAACCGAAGUCAAUCUACUGCUACGAAGUACCCGAUCUGCUGAUCUACUACUACGAAGUACCGGAUCUGUUGCGCCACCUCCAUGUCUCUAAUCCUCCACCAUCACCCAAUCCGAUUCAAUGUUUAUUCGAACCCGGCAAUACCCAUUCGAACCCAGUAAGCUACAACCUGAAUUUUGGCUGUUGAUUUUGGGUUUUGGAAGUGAUGCUGCAAUACCCAUUUGAGCCUUUGACAGUGAUGCUAUAGAUGUCUAUUAUAUAUAAUGUAUGUGUGAAAGAUUAAUGUUUAAUUGGUAUUUGGUGGUUGUUAAUAAUAGGUAAUUAUGUAUUGUUGAAUUGUACCAGACCCGAAUAGACCUAAAUAACCCAAAUUGAUUCAAAUCUAACUCGAACCGUAUCCGAUCCGAUCCGAACUCAACCCGAAUUUAUAACCCGAUCUGAUCCAAAUAUAAUUUGGAUCGGGUAUUCGGAUCGGAUCGGAUCGGGUUGAGUUCGAAUGAAUUUUCAUCCAACGCGAUCAAUCCGAAACCCGAUCGGGUUGAUCCAAACCCGAUUUUACCCACCCCUAAUAUCAACAAAGCAAGCAAGCUUAUGAAUUUCCUUUCGUGGCCUUUCUAUGCAAUUGAAUUUUCUUGCUGUGAAGAUUCCUAAGUCAGAACCUCUUCUUCAUCUUCGAUCGAUGGAGAAUCACUAUCCGUCACAUCGACACUAGUUGGGUCAUUUUGAACCUUUUCAAACUCCAUAUGCUGCAAAGUGCUACUGGUCAUGUCAUUUUUUUUAGAAUAUCUUUGUUUCAACAUGGCUGAUUCAUCAAAAGUCACAUUUCUGUUGAAAAUAAUUUUCUUUGUAAUAGGACACCAGAGACGGUAUCCUUUUACUCCAUCAGUCAUACCCAUGAACAAUGCUUUCUUUGCUUUUGGGUGUAACUUAGAUUCCUUUACACGAUAAUAAGUAGUGGAACUAAAAACAUAUAGAUAAUCAUAAUCAGUAGAAGGUUUACCAGUCCACAUCUCUAUGGUUGUUUUGCCCUCGAUUACAGCUGAUGGAAAACGGUUGAUAAGAUGGCAUGCAUAUACAACUGCCUGAGCCCAAAACUUGUUGCCUAAUCUAACAUUAGACAACAUACACCAAACUUUCUCCAAUAUAGUUUGGUUCAUGCGUUCUGGUACCCCGUUCUACUGUAAUGUAUCUCAAAUAAUGAAGUGUCGCACAAUGCCCUCAUCUUGACAUAUUUGUAUAAAUAGAUCAUUCUUGUAUUCACUACCAUUGUCUAAGGAAAGUCUUUUGACUUUACGACCAGUCUUAGUCUCGACCAUUUUCUUCUAUUUCAUAAAUAUACCCAAAACUUCAUUCUUGUUCUUCAUCAAAUACACACACACUUUUCUUGAAUAAUCAUCAAUAAAAGUAAUAAAAUAGUGCAUACCUCCCAAAGAAGCUGUUUUGGUAGGUCCCCAUACAUUACUGUGAACAUAGUCCAAAAUUCCUUUUGCAUUGUGAAUUAUUGAACCAAACUUAACCCUUGUCUGCUUGCUCAGAAUACAAUGUUCACAAAAUUCUAAUUUGCAAGAAUUUGCACCUUUCAAUAAGCCUUAAUUCACUAGAGUAUGCAAAAAAAAUUUCACCAGCAUGUCCUAAACGCAUAUGCCACAACUUGGUUGCUUCUGAAUCUACAUCUCUUCCAGAAACUGUUGAUGCUAAUCCAAUAAUUGUACUCCGUCAGAAAUAGUACAAAUUAUUUCUUCUUCUGCCUUUCAUCACUGUUAGUGCAUCAGCUACUACCUUCAACAAUCCAUCUCUCAAAGUGAUUGUGAGCCCUUUAGAUUCUAGGACUCCUAAUGAGAUGAGGUUUUUCUUCAAGCUUGGUACAUAAUGAACAUCCAUCAAGACUUGGUUUGAGCCAUGAUGAUUCUUUAAUUGGAUUGUAUCUAUUCCCAUGGUUUUACAGGCAUUGUCAUUGCCCAUAGAAACAACUCUACUGUCCUGCUCCUUAAAGCUAGUGUUGUGCAAAUUUUAUUGAACUCGCAAGUGCACGAAUCUAUUGUAGAAUAGACUAAUGGUGACGAGUGUUGAUCCCACGAGGAGGUGGAUUUUAAUUGUGUAGAAUUAAUUUUGUAAAUGGGUGGUUGGAUUUCUGGUGAAAUUGAUUUGGAAUAUUCUAAAACUUAAAUUAAAAUGGCGAGAAUAAAUUGAAGAUAAAUCUAUUGAAAUGAAGCACUUGGGUAUCUGGAUCCGUAUCAACAUGCACCAUGGGCUAAAUAUUCAUUAUUAAUGCCAAUUAAAUCAUGAGGGGGGAAUCCACACCUCAUGAACCACGCUCUAAUCAAUAUGGUGCUAAGGGCUUAUCGUGCCAAAUAAUAAUAACCUUGUACUAGAGAGCCGGUGUAACUAAAGCGGUAUCUAGACAAGAUUAUUAUUAUUUGUAGACGAAAAGUCAAAUUAUCCACAAAAAUUAGAGGGGAAAAGAAAAUAAAUUUACCAAAUAAAGCCCAUGACACAUGUUGAGACUUCACCUUCAACCCAAGCUUGAAAGAAAAUUAGCUACUCAUAAUUGAACUAGGGGCAAAAUGGAAAUUUAUUAAAAUACGUAGAAAAUACAAGAUGGAGAAGGAAUUACAAAAAAUGGAUCCCAAAAAUGGAUUCAGAGAUAUCAAAUUAGGGGGGGAGGCCCACUUUUUGUAGAUACAUUGAGUAAAUCAUGGCCAUCGGAUUAAAAACAGUUUGGACGCUCAGGAUUGCGCCACGUCAUCAGUCAACAGUACGCGGUUUGACCACGUGGGUGAACAGUAAGACGGUUUGACCCCGCUUUGAACAGUAACGCGGUUUGGUUGAAAAUAAUCAUGUGUAAUGCAUGUACCGUACGCCCAAGUUUUGGUCCACUAAUAUGCUGCCACGUCACAAUCAACAGUUCAUAAGAAUUUUAGACCAAUAGGAUCAUGACACCUCAUCAGUCAAUGCCACAUCAUCGGUCAAUGCCACAUCAUCGAUCCGUCUAUGUGAACGGUGUCAUGAACAGUAACGUAGACAAUACCGUACAUGUGAAUAGUGCCGUACAUGUGAACAAUGCUAUUUUUCCUUUUAUGCUGCUCCUAAGGUUUUCGACCAUCCUGAGUUCAAAACUGAUGUCCGUUUUGCCGUUUGAUCUCUCGUUUAUUGUGAAAUGACUAUAAUGCCUCUAAAAUACACAAAAUACUUAAUUAAAAUAAAACACACAUAAUUAAAUUAUGUGAACGUUAAAUACAUAAAAGUAAGGGUUGUUAGUAAGACUUGAAAUGUAAAAUGACGAUUUUCUCAUUUAUAAAUAUACAUUUUCUAACACUCAACACACCCCCCAACCAGCUUAUUGCUAGUCCCUAGCAAAUAAAGCGAAAACAAAAUUCAAACACAAUUUUUUUUUUAAAACAAUCUUGUUUAUUCAAUCAGACUAAUGAUAGCAAUCAAAUAAAAGUAUAAGCAUUAUCUCCAAUCUAAAGCAACAUCACACCCACAUCAGCCAUCCACAUGAAUUAGCCUAGUAGAUUGUCAUAGUUACUUUCAAGAAUGACAUGUCAAACCCCAAAAUCUCACUGGAAGUAGUGACACUCUCACAAAGAAAUUAAACCUAAUAAAAAUAAUCACUCCAAUGAAUGGUACUUGAGAGAGAAAAUAAUAAAAGUGGGCACCACCAUCACUGAUUAUUGCUCGAGGGAAUCCAAAGCGCGAAACAAUGUUGCUUUUCAAAAAUCCUAUCACCACCUUAUGAUCAUUGGUUCUACAUGGAAUUGCUUCUACCCAUUUCGAUACGUAGUCAACAGCAACCAAUAUGUAUUGAUGGUCAAAAGAAGGGGGAAAGGGUCCCAUAAAGUCGAUACCCCAUAUGUCAAAAAUCUCAACCACUAAAAUUGGAUUUAGUGGCAUCAUGUUCCUGUGUGUAAUGCUCCCCAUUUGUUGACACCUAUCACAUGAAGAACAGAAAGUGUAAGCGUCUCGAAAUAUAGUUGGCCAAAAGAAACCACAUUGUAAAGCUUUAGUCGCUGUUUUCUUAGCACUGAAAUGGCCUCCACAAGCUUGUUCAUGGCAGAAUGAAAGGAUAUUCUGAAUUUCACUUUCUAGGACACAUCGGCUAAUAAUUUGGUCUGCACAAUACUUGAACAAAUACGAGUCAUCCCAAAAGAAAUUCUUUAUUUCUGCAAAGAAUUUAGCCUUGUCUUGCUUGGUCCAAUGCUCUGGAAGUUGACAUGUAACAAGAUAAUUCACGAUGUCAGCAUACCAUGGUAAUACUUCCACACUCAUCAAUUGUUCAUCUGGAAAUGACUCAUUCAAUGGUAAUAUUUCCAUAAUUGUGUCAAAAUGGAGACGAGAGAGAUGGUCAGCUACAACAUUCUCUGUGCCUUAUCUUUAAAUUCCAAGUCGAACUCCUGCAAAAGUAACACCCAACAAAUUAGUCUAGCUUUUGCAUCUUUCUUUGUGAGAAGAUAUUUAAGAGCAACAUGAUCAGUGAACACAAUUAUUUUACAACCAAUGAGAUAAGAUCGAAAUUUCUCGAAUGCAAACACUACUGCUAGCAUUUCUUUUUCAGUAGUUGGAUAAUUCAACUGUGCAUCAUUGAAUGUCAUACUAGCAUAGUAAAUAACAUGGGAAAUUCGAUCAACUCUUUGUCCUAAUACUACUCCUACUGCAUAAUCAGAUGCAUCACACAUGAACUCGAAUGGUAAGCUCUAAUUUGGGGGCUGGAUGAUGGGUGAUGAUGUCAACAAUUGCUUUAAUUUUUCAAAAGCCACAAGACAUGAAUCAUUAAAGAUAAAAGGUACAUCCUUAGCAAGUAAAUUGCAUAAGGGUCUAAAAACUUUGCUAAAAUCUUUAAUGAAACGUCUAUAGAAACUAGCAUGCCCAAGGAAAGAUCUUACUUCUCUGACUGUUUUGGGUAGAGGAAGAUUAGAAAUGAGAUCUACCUUGGCUUUGUCAACCUCAAUACCUUUGCUCGAAAUAAUGUGACCGAGAACAAUACCUUGUUUUACCAUAAAAUGACACUUCUCCCAAUUUAAGACUAAGUUCUUCUCGAUACAUCUCUGCAGAACUAGUGUUAGAUGAUGUAAACAUUGAUCAAACGAGUCACCAAAGACAGAAAAAGUCAUCCAUAAAGACUUCAAGGAAUCGUUCAACCAUAUACGAAAAAAUGCUCAACAUGCAUCGUUGAAAUGUAGCAGGUGCAUUACAUAAUCCAAAUGGCAUUCUCCUAUAUGCAAAUGUACCAAAAGGGCAAGUGAAAGUAGUUUUCUCUUGAUCUUUUGGUGCUAUGAGAAUCUGAUUAUAUCCUGAGUAGCCAUCUAGAAAGCAAUAAAAUUCAUGGCCUGCUAAUUUAUCAAGCAUUUGAUCGAUAAAUGGUAAAGGAAAAUGGUCUUUACGUGUGACAGAAUUCAACUUUCUAUAAUUAAUGCAUACACGCCAUCCUGUAGUUACUCUAGUUGGUAUCAAUUCAUUAAACAACUUGUACAGGACUGACCCAUGAACUAUCAGAAAUUGGGUAAAUGAUACCUGCGUCUAAUAGCUUAAGGACUUCAGUUCUAACAACUUCUUUCAUGUUAGGAUUUAACCGACGUUGCAUUUCCCUAGUAGAUUUAGCAUUUUCAUCAAGGUGAAUGUAAUGCAUGUAGUCUACUGGGUUUAUACCUUUUAUGUCUGCUAUGGUCCAUCCUAAUGCUCAUUUGUGCUCUUUUAAAACAUCCAACAACUUACCUUUUUGUUCGUCAUUUAGGGAUGAUGAAACGAUUACCGGUAGAGUACUUUUUUCUCCCAAAAAUGCAUAUUCCAAAGUGUUGGGUAAUGGUUUGAGCUCGAGUUUCAGUGGUGAUUUUGAUGAUGGGAUGAGUUUCUUUUCUGAUGGUGCUAGUUGUUCAACUCUUGACUUCCAUUUAUUAGUGUCCAUGGAUGGUGCUGAGUCAAGUAGGGCGUUGACCUCAUCGACCGAUCUGUCAAUAUCAUAAUCCAAACCAAAGUGAGUUAAACAUGUUUGUAAAGGAUCAUCACUAAGGUUUGAAAGAAAAGUAUUAUCAACUAUUGUUUCUAUUAAAUCCACAUCAACAAUUCCAUCAUCUGCAUUAUGAAGCUGUUUGGCAAUGUUGAAAAUGUUUAGCUCCAUAGUCAUGUUGCCGAAGGACAACUGCAUAUUUCCAGUCCUGCAUUGAAUGUGAGCAUCCGCAGUUGCCAAGAAAGGUCGACCUAAAAUAACGGGGAUGUGCUUUCUUGAAUCCUGUAUUGGUUGAGUGUCAAUUACAAUGAAAUCAACAGGAAAAUAAAACUUGUCUACCUGAAUAAGCAUGUCCUCCACAAUACCACGAGGUAUUUUCGUGGACCGAUCUGCAAGCUGUAACACCACUGGAGUUGGGUGUAAUUCUCCAAGUCCAAGUUUCAAAAAUACUGAAUAAGGCAACAAAUUUACACUAGCUCCUAAAUCCAACAAAGCAUUCUCAAUUGUGUGGUUCCCUAUACUACAUGAGAUAGUGGGGGAGCCUUGGUCUUUGUAUUUUAGAAGAAUUUUAUGUUGGAUGAUAGAACUAACGUUUUCUGUUAAAAAUGCCUUCUUUUGAACAUGAAUGUUUCUCUUUUUAGUACAAAGGUCUUUAAGAAACUUGGCAUAAGAUGGAACUUAUUUUAUAGCAUCAAGCAAAGGGAUGUUAACACUUAACUGUUUAAAGAUUUCGAGAAUCUCACCUGUGGAUUUUUCCUUCUUUCCUUUAGCUAACCUCUGAGGAAAUGGAGCUUUGGGAACAUAUUCUCGUGGGUUGGUUUUUUCUUUCUCCUCCGGUAAUAAGUCUUCAACAUUCACAGGUACAAUUUUAUUUUCUUUUGUCACCGGCAUCUCCACUUUGAUGUCGACUUCUUUUCCUUUUCGCAAGGUCAUGACUGCUUUGACUUCUCCAUGCUGUUGUGGUGAACUGGUACUUGCUUCAUGUAUUCUUUUAGGAUUAGGCACUGGUUGACUUGGAAACUUGCCUUUCUCAACGGUCAUUGCCAAGGUCCGAACUGAAGAAGCAAGCUGUCCCACCAUCUUCUCGAGGCUUGAAACUGAUUGGGCUUGUGAGUUGAAGCCCGCUCUCAACUCAUUUCGUAGUCCAUCAAUGGUGCGGUUCUGUUGCUCAAUCAUGGAGUGAGUAACAUUCUUGAGAUUCUGGAAUGAAUCCUCCCAUGGUAUGGGUUGAGAGUAGUUUUGGUUAUGGUUGUAUGGUCUAAAUGGUGGCUGAGAGGCUUGAGGUACUUGAGGAAUUUGUUGCAUUGGUGGAGCUGGAGCUGUUGGUCUAUUCUGUUGGAAUCCUUGAGACCAUGAAAAAUUAGGGUGGUCUCUCCACCCAGGGUUAUAUGUGUUGGAGUAUGGAUUGUAAUUUGAUGGUUUUCUCAUUACACCUAUGGCAUUGACUUGAUCUGAGUAUGAGUUAUGGUCAUGUGGCUCUGUUGAUUUAGCAGUCGAUAACGAUGCUAUUUGUCGAGCAAGACCUUCAACCAUCUCCUUGACUUCUUUGAUUCCCGAAGUUGACUCUCCAAUGUGAACCUCAUUCACUCCUUUAAUUAUUUUAGUAUUCCUGAGUGAUCGACUCCGUUGUUGGGAAUUAUCCGCUUGUCGCUGGAAGAAUUCCCAAAUUUCUGAUGCACUUUUUGACAUUAGCUCUCCUCCACUUGUUGCCAUUAGCCAUUCUUGCACAUUCGGCAAUAAUCCCUCCAAAAAGUAUUGGCAUUGGUGCCAUUUCUUGUACCCAUGAUGUGGACACUUCAAGAGUAGCCCAUUGAAUCGCUCCCACGUUUCGAAAAACUGCUCGUCUUCUCUCUGUGUAAACUCUGAAAUUUCCCUGCGAAUAACAUUGGUUUUAUGCACUGGGAAAUAUUUAUUCAAAAAUUUAGUUACCAUUUGUUCCCAUGAUGCAAUGCUAUUAGCAGGCAAUGUAUUAAUCCAUGAACGAGCUCUAUCCUUUAAAGAAAAUGGGAAUAGUCUAAGUUUUACAUCAUCAUCUGAAAAAUUUUCAUAUUUAAAUGUUUGACAAAUAGCAUGAAAAUCAUUCAAAUGAUUAUAUGGGUCUUCAUUUUCUAGGCCAUAGAAUGUUGGGAGACAAUUUACCACACUAGGUUUUAGUUCAAAACUCCUAGCAGCUACAUUUGGGUAUCUUAUACAUGAUGUGCUCAAAUUAACUAAAUGACUAAAAUAGUCCUUAAAUGGCCUCUCCUGUGGUGCUUGUAAAUCCAUUCCAAAUUUAUUUUUAACGUGCUUGUGUGUGUGAAGUGUUUUUUCUAGUUCAAGGUCUAUAGGUUCAAGAUUAGGUAAUAAUGACCUACGACCAUGCAUGCAAAGAACAAAAAAUAAAUGGGAACAAAAAGAAUAAAAAUAAAGAAAAAAGAGAAAUUACGAUACUAACCUUAUCACGCUGUUACAACCUUUUUAUAAAAAAAAUACUUAAAAAAAUACGUGAAAUAAAUUAACUAAAAAUAAAUUAAUAAGCUAAACAAAAAAAAUACAAAGAAAAUUAAAUUGAAAUUAAAUUACAGAAUUUUAAAGAAGAGAAAAAGACAAGAAAUACUAACCUUUAAAUGUAGAUUCACUUUUUUUUUUUAAAGAAAAAAAAUACAAGAAAACAAUUAAAUGGAAUUAUUCACAAAAAUUAAUUCUAUGAAUUAAAAUUACUUACCUCCCCGGCAACUGCGCCAAAAACUUGUUGUGCAAAUUUUACUGAACUCACAAGUGCACAAAUCUAUUGUAGAAUAGACUAAUGGUGACGAGUGUCGAUCCCACGAGGAGGUGGAUUUUAAUUGUGUAGAAUUAAUUUUGUAAAUGAGUGGUUGGAUUUCUGGUGAAAUUGAUUUGGAAUAUUCUAAAACUUAAAUUAAAAUGGCGAGAAUAAAUUGAAGAUAAAUCUAUUGAAAUGAAGCACUUGGGUAUCUGGAUCCGUAUCAACAUGCACCAUGGGCUAAAUAUUCAUUAUUAAUGCCAAUUAAAUCAUGAGGGGGGAAUCCACACCUCAUGAACCACGCUCUAAUCAAUAUGGUGCUAAGGGCUUAUCGUGCCAAAUAAUAAUAACCUUGUACUAGAGAGCCGGUGUAACCAAAACGGUAUCUAGACAAGAUUAUUAUUAUUUGUCGACGAAAAGUCAAAUCAUCCACAAAAAUUAGAGGGGAAAAGAAAAUAAAUUUACCAAAUAAAGCCCAUGACACAUGUUGAGACUUCACCUUCAACCCAAGCUUGAAAGAAAAUUAGCUACUCAUAAUUGAACUAGGGGCAAAAUGGAAAUUUAUUAAAAUACGUAGAAAAUACAAGAUGGAGAAGGAAUUAUAAAAAAUGGAUCCCAAAAAUGGAUUAAGAGAUAUCAAAUUAGAGGGGGAGGCCCACUUUUUAUAGAUACAUUGAGUAAAUCAUGGCCAUCGGAUUAAAAACAGUUUGGACGCUCAGGAUUGCGCCACGUCAUCAGUCAACAGUACGCGGUUUGACCACGUGGGUGAACAGUAAGACGGUUUGACCCCGCUUUGAACAGUAACGCGGUUUGGUUGAAAAUAAUCAUGUGUAAUGCAUGUACCGUACGCCCAAGUUUUGGUCCACUAAUAUGCUGCCACGUCACAAUCAACAGUUCAUAAGAAUUUUAGACCAAUAGGAUCAUGACACCUCAUCAGUCAAUGCCACAUCAUCGGUCAAUGCCACAUCAUCGAUCCGUCUAUGUGAACGGUGUCAUGAACAUCAACGUAGACAAUACCGUACAUGUGAAUAGUGUCGUACAUGUGAACAGUGCUAUUUUUCCUUUUAUGCUCCUCCUAAGGUUUUCGACCGUCCUGAGUUCAAAAGUGAUGUCCGUUUUGCCGUUUGAUCUCUCGUUUAUUGUGAAAUGACUAUGAUGCCCCUAAAAUAUACAAAAUACUUAAUUAAAAUAAAACACACAUAAUUAAAUUAUGUGAACCUUAAAUACAUAAAAGUAAGGGUUGUUAGUAAGACUUGAAAUGUAAAAUGAUGAUUUUCUCCUUUAUAAAUAUACAUUUUCUAACACUCAACAGCUAGAACACCAGCCUCUACUAGGACACGUAUGAUAAGUACAACCCGAAUCCAAAAUCCACUUAUCUGAGUGACAUGUCAAUGUCAUGCCAACCAGACUAAAGUCUGACUUCUCAUCGUGUUAUGCUACACAUGCAUCAGAAGUAGCCUUGCCCUUUUGUAACUUAGGACAAUUAUUUUUCCAAUGCCCUUUCUCGCGAUAAAAAGCACACUCAUCUUUGGCAGGCCUCCCUUUAGACUUGCUCAUUUUCCAAGUUUGCGGCUUUGUGAACAACCUCUCGUUGUCAAUACUUUUGCAACUGUAUCUCUGUGAUUUUUUUUGUCUUUCUUUAUGGUCUCAGAGUUAUACAACGCAUUGCAUAUAGACACUAUCCUUUUCAUGAAGCAAAGUGGUGGUGAGAUGAUCAUAUUCAUUAGGAAGAGAGUUCAACAGCAACAAUGCCUUGUCUUCAUCUUCAAACUUCUUAUCCAAAUUUAGCAAAUUUGCUAAUAUCUUAUUGAAUGAGUUUACAUGGUCAUUCAUUGGCAUUCCAAGUGCAUACGUGAAUCGAUGAAGUUUUUUUUUCAUAUAAAACCUAUUUUUAAACAUUUUCUUCAUGUACUUUUCUUCUAGUGCCUCCUACAAUUUCUUUGCUGAUGUCUCCCUCAUGACAAAGUAUUUUUGAUCUUUAGCCAAACAUAGGCGAAUAGUAUUAUAUGCCUGUUUAUUAAUCUUUAUCUACUCCUUAUCAUCUAUCAUGUCAGGUUUUUCUUCAAGACCAACGUCCAACUCUUACUAACAUAAGACAUUCAACACCUCACAUUGUCAGAUACCAAAGUUAUUGGUACCAUCAAAUUUCUCCACUUCAAAUUUUAUAUUAGUCAUAGUAGUCCUUGCUGACGAAAAUGACGACGAUGCCUCUGCCAUCCUUUUUAACUCAAAUGAUUAGUGUCUUCAACAACUAUUUACACUUAAAAAACAACCUCUAUGAUGUUUAUUUCGCGUGAAUAAAUGCACAGAAAAGUUCCCAAGAGAAUGGAGGCGUUACAACGGUCCCACUUAAAACCCAGACUCCAUAGGCUCUUAUCGCUUUGUUGACAGAACUUUCCUAGACAUGCAAAAAUACACACUACUUAUUAUAGACUAUCUCCCAAGUAUAAAUGGCCGUCUCUACCGUAUUAGUGAACAAUACCAUAUACGUGAAAAAGACUGUAUCUAUGAACAAUUUUGUAUACAUGAAAAUUAUCUACUUUUUGAAGUUUGAUGAUGAGAAACAAUGAGUUCCAGUUGUUUGGUCGUCUUCCUUUAUACCUCACUAGGCAUUUGUAGUAGCAUCAAUAAAUUAUAGGCAUCAAGAUUCAAGAACAUAAUGAUGCUUGUCAGCUUCACUUAUUUCACUUACAUGUUUGGUAUCCCUUUGUUUUUGCUUCAAGAGUUUUUUCAGCUUUAUACCACAAAUUUAUUUUGUACCCUGCCUCAUCCUGCCUGUCUCCGUUCCUUCAUUCCUCUCUAUUUGUCUUUUCAUGUUUGCAUGAGAACAUGUACCCAUUGUUCUCUACACUAGCUGUACCUUCGACGAAGAAGUAACUUUGUUACAACUUUCAUAUUCUCAAAAUGUGGAAUUACCUUGAACCAAAAAUUGAAGCACUAACACUUUCCAUCAUUUACAAGUUUAAGCUAGAAUGUAUGGCCCUUUUUUAUUUUUUAUUUUUCUAAUUAUUAUUAUUAUUUUUAUUAUUUUUAUUAUCACCAGGUAGAAUUUGGAUACUUUAUAUGUGAAUUAGUUGACAUAUCUUUCAAUAUGGCCAUUUUAUUAAAUAAUGUUUUUGUUUCUUUUCAUUGCUUUAAAUUAAAAAAAAAGCAAAAGAAAUUUUGUCUACCUUUUCUCAUUCUCAGAUUCUUGUUCCUGGACUCAUUAUGUCACAUGUGUUGUUGUUAUAGAGGUAGUUGUACUAAAACCCAAAUGCUUACCAUUUUCUUUUCUUUUUUUCUUUUUAGAUUUGAAUUUGAAAGACUUUUUCUUCCCUAUUUGUAUCUUUUUCCAUAGUCUUGCUAUCUUAUUAUUAGAAAAUUAAAAAUUCUCUGUUGAUUUCAAGAAAAAAAUUUCUCUAUGGUUUUAUCUAGUUCUGAUGGUCAUGGUUUUAAGCAUUUGCAGACAUGGUACGUCAAUUACUUCAGAAGAUAUCUAUUACGAAACACAUUCAGUUUGUACUGAUGUGAUAUCAAAUAUCCCUUGGCCCAUCUUGCAAGUAUAAAAUAUCCUAAAAACAAAUCCAGGUUUGCAAUUUAGUACAUUAUAUAUUGGUUUUUUUAAUAAGAAUGAUGAUUUAAUUAUUGAUAUAUAUAUAUAUAUAUAUACACACACACACAUAUAUGAAUUUUGUUAGUGGUGAUUGUGGAGCAUUUUUAAUGGAGUACUUGGAGGUCCUAACCCAAGGCCUUAAUGUCAGCAUGAAUUGCCAAUAGGAUGAUGUUACAUAAUAUCGAAAACAUUAGCUAUCAAAUUAUUUGGCCAUAGGUUGUGGAAACCAACUAUAUAGGAUCACACUCUCAAGAACUUCAUUACUCUAAUUUUGCCAAUUUUUUGAUAAGUUAUUAUGAGAUGUAACAGUUACAUUAAGGAUGUAGUUGACAUUUGAUGUAAUUAAAUAUAGUUUUAUUUUUUAAAAUAUAUUAUUGAAAGAAUAGAGGAUAGUUUUGUGUUAUAUUUGUGAUAUAACAGGAUGAUCAAAAUAAUUAAAGAAAUGCUCAGCCCAAAUACGCGACUCCAGUCAAGUAUCUAUGAAGAUGCAUGACUAAAGUCUAGUAUCUAUGAGGAUACAUAACUACAAUAUCUUCAUAGAUACACACACCUCUCACUAGAAUUCAUAAUCUUCUUGUACUUUUAUUAAUCAUUUGACACUUAUAAAUCAUUACUCAUCACUUAAACAUCAAUUGCUCAUCUCUUAAUAAAUGGCUGUAGUCGAGUAAAAUCAGAUAUGCAUGACAACAGUAGGAUAACUUCAUAAAUGUGUGACUGUAGUCGAGUACAUGGGUAGAUAACUGUAGUCGAGUACAUGGGUAGAUAACUGUAGUCGAGUACAUGGGUAGAUAACAAAAUUACCUAAAACACUCAUCAUAAUGAUAACACAAUCAAUAUAAGUUUUAACAUAUCAAACUUUAAUUCAUCAAACAACAAAAUCUUGUUUACAUCAAACAACAUAGGUCUAAUGCAUGUCAGCAUCAUAAAUAAGUUUCAAGAGAAACAAGUAGCUACACAAUCAUCAUAACUAUUAAUUUACUCCAAACACUCCGCCCAUCUAUUAUGAUCCCAUUUGUUUCAAUGUUAAAUUUAGAAAUAUGAAUGGAAAUAACUCGAGAUACUCUUUCUAUCAACUGUGCAUACGUUGUAGAUGGGGCACUAUGAUUCAUUUUGCAUUUGAACCAUUAAGUUUAUGAUGGUUGUUUUGCUCAAUCUAUUCACCAUGAAACAUAUUAAGCACACGUACUGAAGUCAUUUCCUAUAAUAAUAUAACGAUUAAUUAUACAGCAAGUACAAAAAUAAAAUCAAACAAUAGAUAUAAUGACAUGAGGAAUUGUCUACCUAUUUACAUGACAACAGUCGUGUAACUUGUUAAAAUACACGACUAUAGUCCAGUAAAUAGUCAGAGGACAUUUAUAGUGAAAAAAUAUAUAUUUUUGCACUAGAAGAAUGCUAUAGUGUCACAACAGCUACAACAUUUUUCACAGUUGCACGAUUGUAGUUGUGUAAAAUCAUACAUACACAACAAAAGUCGUGUCACUUUAAAAAAUACAUGAUUACAGUCUAGCGAAUAGUUAGAGGACAUAUAUCUUCUCCAAAAAAAUACUUCUGCACUAAUAACACACUAGGAUCUCAUGGCAGUUGGAACAUUUUACACACUUUUACGACUGUAGUCACGUAACUUUAUAAAUACACGACAACAGUCUUGUAACUUAAAAAAAUACACGACUACAAUCCAAUAAAUAGUCAGAGACAUAUUUCUUCUCCAAAAAAUAUAUUUUUUGCACUAAUACAACACUAGGGUCUCAUAAUAGUCGAAAUAUUUUACACACGUACACGAGUGUAGUUACUUAAAUUAAUACAUAUACUACAGCAGUCAUAUAAAUUACUAAAAUACAAAACUAUAGUCCAGUAAUAGUCAGAGGACAUAUUUCUUCUCCAAAAAAUAUAUUUUUUGCACUAAUAGAAUGCUAGAGUAUCAUAAUAGCUGGAGUAUUUUGCACACUUGUACGACUACCGUCGUACAAAUUCACACACACACACUAUUGCAGUCGUGUAAAAUGGGUUUAGAGUUAAGAAUUUUAAGAACAAAAUUAGAUUUCAACAAAUGUAGUUAGAAAAUCCAUCACUUAGCAUGAUACAAAUGUAAUGAAAAUGUGAGAUGUUUUGUUGUUUAUCACAAAUCAAACAAAACCCUAAAAAUAAUAUAAUGUUAAGAAAAUACAUGAAUAAACAAAAUAAAUGUAAAGUUUAAAAUAACUAAUUCAUUGGAUGAAUAAUGUACCUAGUUACAAACCAAAAUCUCAUACAUUGGCUGUUAAUUAGUGAUUUUGAGAGUGUGGAGUGAUUUUUUGUUGUGUAGAGUGAAAUGAUGUGAGGAGUGAAAUGGUUGGGCGUGUUGGAGGGUGCUUUUUUGUGCUUUAUAUUUUUCUUUUAGGGAUAUUUUAGUCAAUACACACACCAAAGUGGCAUAUCUAUAUAAUUAUAAACUAUGGGGCAUAUUUACAUAAAUACCCUACUUUUGGGGUAUAUUUAAUUAAAAACCUCUGUAUAAAUGGAGGGAAGAAGAGUAUUUGAUUUUUAUGUUUCAAUGAGAUGUACGUACAACAAAUUCUAUUCAAUAGUCAGCAUCGUGCCUUUUUAUUAUUUUAUUUUAGUAUUUUCAUUUCAUUUUCUGUCACUUUUUUGUGCUGACAUAUGUUGUGCUAAUAUAAUUGGCUCUAAUUAAAAUAUAAAGUUUUAAAAUAUUAAAAAUUUUAAAAUUUUAAAAUAAUAUCCAGUUUCUGUGCCUUUUUAUUAUUUUAUUUUAGUAUUUUCAUUUCAUUUUCUGUCACUUUUUUGUGCUGACAUAUGUUGUGCUAAUAUAAUUGGCUCUAAUUAAAAUAUAAAAUUUUAAAAUAUUAAAAAUUUUAAAAUUUUAAAAUAAUAUCCAGUUUAUUUUCACUUUGAAAAAUAUUUUUAACACCCAUAUUUUAACCUUUUUUAUUUCUAAACUUCUUUUAAUAUACUUUUAUUUUCUAUUCUAAUACUUGAGAGGUGGGUUUCAUUUAUCUAUUUAUAUAAUUUGUGAUUUUCUAUUGAUUAUGUUCAAGUACUGUGGUUUUUUGCUAGUUAUUUUUAUUUUAUUUUCUAUGUCACUUUUUUGUGAUGUCAUAUUUUGCCCGCUAUGUUUAGAGUUUAACAAAUUUAUUUAAAUCCAAAAAAUUGGAAUAAUGCUUUCACUAUAAUGAUAAUACUCUGAAUAGGGUUAAACAAAGAGAAAAAAAUCCAACACAUAAAUUAAAUAAAAAUAAUCAUUCUAAAAAUGACAAAAUUAAUUAGUUGCACAAGUCAAUAAUUAAUAAUAAUAUAAACAACAUGUUAUGAAAUAAUUAUAAUUAUGUGGAUGUUCAUCAAAGCAACUUUUCAUCUCUCCGCCAAACAACUUAUCAUAUCCUAUAACUCUCACUAUCUCGCAAGAAGUUAUGACUAAUGACGUAUCUAUUUUCUAAUUAUUUAUUUCAUUUAUAUGGUUAUAGGACUGUAAAAGGAGCACUCAUCUCCUUCCUUGUAUUUAUUGAAUUAAAGUUGUCUCUAAAUUAUUGUUGUGCCUCCUAUUUUCUUUUUUUGUUUCUUUUAUAUAUAUUGUUGUGCUCCUAAUUGAUAAAUAAUAUAACAUGUUAUUAGCAUGGAUCUCUAGCCACUAAGAGGUAAUAUGAUAAUAUCUCUCCUUUGAUCUUACUCAUGGAGGUAUGAAUGAAACUAUCUUGAUUUGUCUAAAAUCAUAUACAUAUUUUGCUUAUGUAUUUCUAUAAUUUAAGAAUAAUGGAUUUAUGAAAUUGUUCCUUACUUCCUUUAUUAAUGAUUACAAAUAUUUUAUGACAAUUGGAUUGAAACAUUUAUCUAAUGUUCUGUUAAUUGAUAUUGUUAUUGUGUAAUUCUUCUUAUUAUAAUAUCCUAUUGCUAUUAUAUAUUUUCUAUUCUUGAAAUUCAAAAAUUUAUCCUAAAGUGUGAAUACUGUAAUAUACAAUGAAAGAAAAUUAAGAAUGCAUCCUUGAGGGAUUGCACUACACAUAAUAAAGAUUCUCUUUCAAAAUAUGUUCCUAAAGAACUAUUUCAAAAUUAUAAUGUCAUUUCACCAACAUCAUGUUCAUAAAGGAUUCAAUAUAUAUGGGUAUAUUUUACAUGUCCUUGAAGGACUAUGAGUUCAUGUUGUCAGGCAAAACUAUAUUCAAAAUUCCUUCUCCAUAUCUCCCAGAAGAGUUACAAAAUGAAAAUAUAAGGUAUAAUUGUUUCUUUGAAACAAUUUGAAGGAAAAAAAUAUGAAAAUCAAAAGUGUUUGAAGAAAUACGGUCAUUUAAAAAAAAUUGUUCAUUUUUGUUUUGAACAACUUCUCAACUUCGUUGGCUCAUUGUUUUGUUUUCAAUCUAUUAGAUUUUUAGUGAUAGAUUUUUGCAUACUUAUUGAUAUAAUAAAAUAUAUGAUUGAGUUGUAAGUAGUGUAUAUAUGUACUUGACCCUUUUAAUUGAUUUAUAUGUUUAUAUUGCAUUUUUUAUGAAUGAUUUUUUUUAUGAUUUCUUGAAUUAUUGUUCACAUGUUUGAGAUAAUGAAUAGUACUAAAAUAAUUUUGUGGAAGAAAUCAAUCCCUAAAGGGUUGUAAAAUAUUAUGGUUUUCUUUUGUUAUCAUCUCCCUGAACGAACGAAAAGUUCAUAUAUAAGUUUAAUUAUAAUUUCAAAAGCUUGAUUGAUUCUCUCUUAUUUGAAAUUAUGUAGAGAGAAUAAUAAAAUAAAAUAAAAACAUAUUAGAGAACACAUGAUUUUAGAGCACAAAUAUGCUCCUGCUAUAGCAAAUCAAGAGUGUGAAUAUAAAUUGAUGUUAUAUUUUCUUUUGUUAAAGAUAAAAUAUGAGUUUUUGAUUAAAAGCAAAUCAUAACUAACUCAAUUCCUUAAUGGAUUACUUGUGGACUAGUAAUAGACAUAAUUGUUAUCACAUAACUUUUCAAAAUUAUAAUGAUUAUAGAUCUUAUCAUAAAAAUCAACAUGUGAAUAUUAUACCAUCAAAAGUAGUACAAAUUGAAUCAAUAUUGGUGAUGGAUCAGAAGUUCAAAUUCAAAAUCUUCACUAAUUUGGCUUAGUAAAUUUGCUAUGCAAGCUUAAAUAUCUUAUAAAAGUUCUCUUACGAUUAAGGAGAGCAAAGUGAUAUAUAUUUAGUGGAAAAUAUAAAUUAUUUGUUUCACCUUUAUCCCAUUUUGAUCUUUAUAUGAGUUAAUUUAUUUGAACUUGAAGUUCAACAAGAUUAGUGUACAAUGGCCACUAUUGAUCAAUUAUUGAAUGAAUUCAUUGAUAUUUGAAAGUGAAAAAUCACAAACAAAAUAUGAUUGUUGGUUGAUAUGAUGUCCUUCAAGGAUGAAAUAAUGAGACAAAUAAAUAUAUGAAUGCUUGAAGCAUGUAAUAGAUCAACUGGUGCAAAAAUUUAAUUCUUGGGAAGUUGAAGUGAAAUAAUUUGGCACUCUUGAAAAGGUCAUGUUUGCAUGUAAAGUAAAAAAUUUUAUUUGUAUUAAAUUAUUGAAUAUAUUACCUCUAAAAAGGUAUAACGUACCAACUAGAAAAAUGAAUCUUAAAUAUCUUUGAAGAGGUAAAUGGUAAGAAAUAAAGAGAUUCAAAUUGCCCUAUAAAAGGCACAUAUGCAAUUUAAAAUAGAGAGAUCUUUAGCCCUUGUAGAGGCAUAUGUAUUAAAAACUUCGAAAGAUCUCAUUGGUCAUAUAUAUUGAAAAAUAAAAAAAUAUAUGAUCAAUAGUGUGUUGAUACUUGGUGCAAGAGAAAAAUUGAUAUUGACAUAAGAUUCUUGUCAAUAAAAAUUUAGUUAUUAUGGUCAAACUUUCAAGGUCUUGAAUAAAAAAAAUAUGAAGAUCAUGAAAUUAUAUGAUUGGGCAAAAUUGUAAAAUAUUUGAACUUGUAGUCCAUACGCCAGAGGACGUAAAAUUGAUUAGUAAAAUUUGAUGAAUUUUGGACUUGUAGUACACACGCCUGAAGUCAUAAAACUUAUUAAUAAAAUAUGAGUAUGAGCUAUAGUAUGUCAAAAAUUAAAUUGAAGAAUUUAUGUACUUAUCCUUGAAUGAUAAAAUGCUUGAAACAAGUACUUGAAAAUCAAAAAGCUUGCACCUUAUAUGUUCUUGAUAAAGCUAUAGUCAUAGUUGUUUAUAUCAUAGCAAUCUAGACUUAUAAAGUAUAAUCACUUGAGUAAAAAUUUAUUAUAAGUGGGAUAUAUCAUUAUCCACUUUGCUUUGCAAUUUUUAUUAAAAAUUAAAAAUUACAUUUGCUAUCUUUGCAAAUUGUGUUGAUGAGUUAAUGAGAAAACUUCUAAAGAGCUUAUGAAUUUAUUUCUUUUAAGAAUGGAAUUCAAGAUGAAAGAUUUUGAAAUGAAAGAAUUUCUUUGAAUUUGUAGAUUGAAAUUUAUCAAGUGAAAUGUUGAUAUUAUUGAAAUGCCAAAAGUAUUUCAUAUUAAAAAAUUGAUCUACUUUAAAAUAUAUUGUAAAUGUCUCGGUCCUGAAGAACCAUAUUUUAUUCUAACUUGUGCCUACAAAGGCAUUGAAAAAUUACAUAAUUAUAAAUUAAAUUAUGUUCAACAUAAACUUGAAAAUGUUCAAAUAAUGUGAAAAGUUUAUCACACCAUUUCCUUGAUAUGGACAUUAAAGCUUCGUUUUAUUUUAAAAGAUCAACAAAAUUAUGAAGAUAUAUGCAUAGCGAUAUUCUUCAAAUUCAAGAUGUUGGUAUCUAUAAUUUAUUAUACAUUUUCAAGCUUUCAAAGGAUGGUGUUGAUCCUAUAGAUUGUUUCAUCAAACUAUUGUUUAUUAUAACUAAUUAUGAUUGAUCUUUGAAGCAUCCGUGUCAUUUUGAGGGGGAGCAUGUUUAAAAAGGAGAGUUAUUGAUAUGAAGGACUACAUGGACUGUGCUCAUUUUCCUUCACUAGGCUUUUGUCCCACUGUGUUUUUCCUAGCAAGGUUUUAAUAAAGUAGUUUGCACCUCUUUAAGAUACAAAUGAAGAGUAUACUUUUUUUCCUUCGCUUUUUUGUUUCUUAUAGGAUUUUUACUAGCAAUGGUUUUAAUGAGGCAUAUUCUUUGUAAGAUGAACAUCCAAAGAGGAGUGUUAUGAAAUAAUUAUAAUUAUGUGGAUGUUCAUCAAAGCAACUAUUCAUCUCUUCACUAAACAACUCUUUAUCUCUUAUAACUCUCACUAUCUCAUAAGAAAUUAUAACUAACAAUGUAUCCAUUUACUAAUCAUUUACUUUGUUUACAUAGUUAUAAGACUGUAAAAGAAGGGCUUAUCUUCUUCCCUAUAUACAUUUGAGAUUGAAUAAAAGUUGCCUUUAAAUUAUUGUUUUGUCUCUUAUUUGUUUUCUCUGUUUCUUUUUUAUAUAUUGUUGUGCUCCUAAUUGAUAAAUAAUUUAACACAACAUGAUUUAUUUAAUGCUCAUUCAUAGAAUCAUCAAUAUUUGAGCUAAGACUGAAAGGAAAUGAGUCUAGGUCUAAGUCUGAAAAGAGACAAUGAGGUGGAGCAUUGUUGCAUAUGCUUGAAUUAAAUGGAAAUGGAAUUAUUGACUCCAUUACUUUUCCUUCCUUCUUUCUCUUCAUUCUUUAUCUUUUUUUGAUUACACACACACACACACACACACACACACACACACACACACACACACACACACACACACACACACACACAUAUAUAUAUAUAUAUAUAUAUAUAAUGUUUGAGUGCCGUGCUUUUUGUUGAUUAUGUUCGAGUGCCAUGCUUUUUUAUUAUUUUAUUCAUUUCAUUUUCUGUGUCAUUUUUUGUAAUGUUAUAUUUUUUGCUUGCAUUCUAUGUCGAAAGAUUAACAAAUUCAUUUACAUUUGGAUAUUAUUGCACAUAAUACCAAUAUAUAUAUGAAAAAAGGUAUUUCACAAUUGAAGUUGCACAACACAGAGUAGAAAGUAAAGAAGCAAAAUUCAGCCUCCUCCCUAGAGAAUCCGGAUUUGGCGCAUAAUGUUGUGUUGAUUUGUUUUUUUAUCUUCUUUAUUCAAAGUCUUGUAAUAAGACUAUUUCUUUUCAUCUAUGUGAAGAGUUUAUGUGGAUCUUAGAUCACUAGACAUUAGAGAAUUGAAGAAUUGCUAUUGAUCACUUUGUAAAGUGCCUUGAGGAUCGUGGAUCAAGACGAGUAGUAGUUAUUCAAGAAAAGUAUAUUCAAUCUAAGGUUGAGUAAGUCGUAUGGUGAUAAACUGUAAGUGAGAGUCUUAAGUUUGGUAAAUUCAUAGGUUGUAACAUCUCAAUUUAAUGAAUUGUUUUUUUUUCAUGGGCGUGGCCUCAAAAAUAUAAGAUUGAUUAACUUGAACUGCAUAAAAAUAUUCAUGUCGUUUAAUUUCUACAAUUUAUUGUAUAUUUGAAAAUUAAUAUUUUUCAUGAGGAUAAACAAUAUCGGUGAACAGUAACCGUAAAUAGUAACCGUAAAUAGUAAUAGUGAACAAUAUUUUUUAAAAUUAAUUAACUUGUUAAUUUUAGGGUUUUAAUUGCCUACAUCUAUUUGCAAUAGAUAUAAAUUCCUUUCAAUUGGUAUCAUAGUGGCACACUAACCGUUUAUUUGGUAAGAAUCUUAGAACUUAGAUUUAUUUUAUAGGUAUGGGUUUGCAAAGAAAGGGAGACUCUUUAGCUCGUCCACUUAUACUGGAUGGGACAAAUUAUGCUUAUUGGAAGCAAAUGAUGGAAAUUUAUCUAACAACUAUUAAUGAAAGAGUUUGGCAAUGCGAACUUAUUGGAUAUACUCCACCCACCAGAACUUAUUGGAGUUAUGUUACAUGAUUAUGUAUAAGCACUAGUACACAUACUUUAUUAUAAUUAUUACUAUUAAUAUUUUUAAUAUAAUAUUACAUCCACUCACUGACCCGCAAGCUCACUAUUUUCCUAUUUACCCAUUUCCUCCCAAGAUUUCGUGCAGAUCAGUUCUAGUUAAUUAAGGUUAGGUCACGAGACGCAUUGCUGCAUGUCUUGCAUUUUAAGCACGUUUAUGUUGCUUAUGUUUUAUAUGUAAAUAUGCAUGUAAUGUCAGUAUGUAUAAUGAGACAUAAGUUAUGCAUGUUUUGAAUACAUUUAUGAUUUCAGAAAAGGCACAGAGAUGGUUAUGUGUUUAUAGGAAAGGCCAUAUUAUAUACAUAUUUUCCUGAAUUAAAUUUUCUGCCACAAGUUUUAGUUAUUAGUCCGCACGAUUCGCCUCAAUUCUAACAUGUAGGUCGGGGCGGGUCGUGUCAUUUUGGUAUCAGAGCCUAGGUUAUAGAUUCUGCAGACUAUUACAUGAUGCAUAUAUAUCCAUACAUCAUAUAAUACUAUCAUGACAUUUUAUAGAUAUCAGCAUGCGUAGACGUGGCCGACCUCGCACAAGAUCUGUAGCGGAACUGGGUUCACCUCCACAAACGGAGAAUAAAGAGGAACCCUUAGAAGAGACUGUAGGUGAAUCAGUAUUACAUGCACAUGAACCGCAGCCUCAGCCCCAGCAAAAUCCAGAUAUUCAUCAGGAGCCAGUAGCGAGACUUACUGUGGAUCAGUUUAUGGAUAUAUUUGAAGGGUUUGUUGCUAAUGUUGCUCGGAGGGAGGUUGAAGUUCGUACAGGUACACAAACCACCAUUGAACGUGCUCGUGAUUUGAGGGCACGACGAACCCAGUGAGUUCAGAGUCAUGGUUAAUCAAACUGCGGAGGAUUUUUAAUGUGAUGAGAUGUACUGAUGAAGAAAGGUUAUCCUUCACUGAGUUUUUACUAGAUGGUAAUGCGUAUCACUGGUGGAUGUUUAUAUUACGUCGAUAUGGGGGACAUGGAGCUAUUACUUGGGUAGAUUUUCAGAGAGAGUUCACUGAUAAAUUAUUUCCCAUUGUUUAUCAAGAAGACAUGAUGAAUGAGUUUAUGACGCUUGUACAGGGAUCUAUGACAGUAGAAGAGUACGAGCGUAAAUUUUCUGAGUUAUUGAGAUUUGCCCAAUUCACUGUACCGAAUGAGAGAGAGAAAUGUAGGCGGUUUGAACGGGGUCUUUGAGAAGACAUAAGGACGAUAGUAAUCGGAACAGAAUGUAUAGAUUUUGGCACCCUAGUUAGAGUCGCUACGAGAAUCGAGAGGAGUCGUAGAGAAGCACAAAGGGCUGAGCCGCAACAGCAUAAGCGGGGCCCUACCUGGGCAGUCAGUGAACCUAGUAGCAGAACUCAAAGGAGAAAGGUAGAGCAUAUAGAUUUCUCAAUUAGUCAGCAGUACAAUUGACGACCAGAGUUUCUCGGAGGGAAGAGACCUUUUAGUAGUCAUGAUAGUGUUCAGCAGAGUCCCAAUGUAGGUAGAGGAGAUUAUCCUAGGUGUAAUGUUUGUGGGAAACUUCACAGGGGACAAUGUUUGAGUGGUUCAUCAUGUUGCUUCCAGUGUGGACAGCCAGGACACUUGAAGAAAGAUUGUCCAAAUUUGACGUCGAGCGGCAGUUUUGUGCCAAGUCGAGACCCUCACUACCCUCAGAGUGGCAGUAGUCAAUUUCGAGGGCGGGGAGGUUUCCAAAGAGGAGGACAUACAUUUUUUGGCAGGUCCCAGUCUAAUGCAGGAGAGACUAGUGGUAGUCGACAGAGGAGCCAGCCAAGCAGACCACAUACCCAGGCACAUGUAUUUGCUCUAACCCAGCAGGAGGCCCAUGCCACACCAGAUGUUGUGACAGGUAUUUUGACUAUUUUUUACCGUGAGGCAUAUAUUUUAAUUGAUCCAGGGCCUACAUAUUCUUUUAUUUCUUGCACAUUUUCCAUGCAUGUGGAUAGAGAGAUGAGGCCAUUAGAUUGUACUCUAGUAAUGGUUACACCGGUUGGUAAUUCUCUAUUAGCUGAGAAUGUAUUUCGAGAUUGUGCGGUAAGAGCGGGUAAUAAAGAUAUGGUAGCAGACUUGAUUCUGUUAGACAUUCAUGAUUUUGAUGAUAUAUUGGAUAUGGAUUGGUUAGCAAAUCAUCGUGCUAUAAUGGACUGUUUUCAGAAAGAAGUAACUUUCAGGAAAUCUAGAGAAUCUAAUAUCAUUUUCUAUGGAGAACGACAGAUCUUACCUUCUUCUGUGAUAUCUGUUAUUUCUGCUAGACGAUUACUUAGAAAAUGUUGUUUUGCUUAUUUGGUUUAUGUUAUUGAUAGCCGAGUCAGUGAUGUGAAACUAGAAGAUAUUCCUGUGGUGAAAGAAUUUUCGGAUAUGUUUCCUGAUGACCUUCCUAGUUUGCCACCUGAUAGAGAUGUAAAGUUUACUAUUGAUUUAGUUCUAAGCACAACCCCUAUAUCUAUGGCCCCAUACAAGAUGGCUCCAUUAGAGUUGCGAGAGUUGAAAGUACAAUUACAAGAAUUAGUCGAUAAGGGUUUCAUCAGACCUAGUGUAUCUCCGUGGGGAGCACCGGUGUUAUUUGUGAAGAAGAAUGACGGAACUAUGAGAUUGUGUAUAGAUUACAUGUAGUUAAAUAAAGCCACUAUUCGUAACAAAUAUCCACUUCCUUGGAUUGAUGAUCUAUUUGAUCAGCUACAAGGUGCGACAAUUUUCUCAAAGAUAGAUUUAUGUUCAGGUUAUCAUCAAUUAAAGAUUAGAUAUGCCGAUGUACCCAAAACCGCAUUCAGGACCCGUUAUGGACAUUAUGAGUUUUUGGUGAUGCCAUUUGGGUUAACUAAUGCUCCCACGGCAUUUAUGGAUCUCAUGAACAGGGUGUUUCAUCCCUAUUUGGACAAGUUUGUUAUUGUAUUUAUUGAUGACAUCCUGAUAUAUUCACACAGUAAAGAGGAACAUGCAGAACACUUGAGGAUUGCUUUACAAACCUUGAGACAUUGGCGGCUUUAUGCUAAAUUCAGUAAAUGUCAAUUCUGGUUAGACAGAGUUACAUUCUUGGGACAUGUGAUUUCCGCUGAUGGUAUUUAUAUGGAUCCCCAGAAAAUAGAAGCUGUAGUGAAUUGGGAGCAUCCGACCAGUGUAUAUGAGGUUAGAAGUUUUCUUGGCUUGGCAGGUUAUUACCGCAGAUUUGUUGAAGGUUUUUCCAAGAUAGUUUUACCUCUAACGAAACUGACGAGGAAGAAAGCGAAAUUUGAGUGGACAGAUGAUUGUGAACAGAGUUUCCAAGAAAUCAAGAAAAGAUUGACUUCAGCUCCAAUUCUUACACUUCCAUCAGGUACCGAAGGAUUUUUAGUUUACAGUGAUGCAUCCAGACAGGGACUAGAUUGUGUAUUAAUGCAGCAUGGAAAGGUAAUUGCUUAUGCUUCCCGACAACUCAAGCAACAUGAACUGGAUUAUCCGACACAUGAUUUAGAGCUUGCAGCACUGGUGUUUGCAUUAAAGACCUGGAGACAUUAUUUAUAUGGAGCUACUUGUGAGAUUUAUACAGACCACAAAAGCCUAAAAUACUUGUACACACAGAAGGAAUUAAAUCUGAGACAACAUAGAUGGGUUAAGUUGAUUGCAGAUUAUGAUUGUACUAUUGAUUACCAUCCAGGCAAGGUGAAUGUGGUAGCUGAUGCUCUCAGUCGAAAGUCUUUAAGUUUGAUCUCCCACAUAAAAGUAUCUUAUCUUCCGUUAUUAAUUGAUUUGAGGUUUUUGAGUACAGAUUUGGCAGUAAGUCAGAAUAGAGCACUUUUGGCACACUUUCAGGUUAGGCCUAUUUUGAUUGAUCAGAUUUGAGAGAUGUAUGAUUAAGACCCAAAGUUGAUUGAAAUAAAAGAAUAUGUGAAGAGUAAACUGCGGACUGACUUUUCACUAAGAGAUGAUGGUACUUUGGUUAUGGGUAGUAGGAUCUGUGUGCCGAAUAAUUCAGAUUUGAAGAACCAGAUUUUAAAAGAAGCACAUAGUUCAGCAUAUGUUAUGCAUCCAGGUAGCACAAAGAUGUAUCAUAUUUUGAGGGAGCAUUAUUGGUAGCAAGGGAUGAAGAGAGAAAUAGCAGAAUUUGUAGCGGGUGAUAAAGUUUUCUUACGGAUUUCUCCCUGGAAGGGCAUACUUCGAUUUUGGAAACGUGGAAAAUUGAGCCCUCGUUACAUAGGCCCAUAUGAGAUUAUUCAGCGCAUUGGUCCAGUUGCUUACCGUUUGGCCUUACCUCCAGAGUUAUCACGAGUCCAUGACAUUUUUCAUGUUUCGAUGCUACAGAAGUAUAUUCCUGACCCUUCUCAUGUCUUAGAUGCAAAACUCGUUCAGAUGACGGUGGAUUUGACUUACAAAGUGGAACCCAUUCAGAUACUAGAUUGGAAACAACAUGUGUUGCGUAAUAAGACGAUCUCAUUGGUUAAAGUGAUGUGGAAAGGUCACACUGCAGAGGAAGCCACUUGGGAGCAUGAAGAACAGAUGAGGACACAUCAUCCAUAUUUAUUUUAGCCAAGUAUGUAAAUUUCGGGGACAAAAUUUUUAUAAGUUGUGAGGAAUUGUCAUGCACCGCUGGCCAUGUGUUGUGUAAAUUUUAUUGAACUCGCAAGUGCACGAAUCUAUUGUAGUAUAGAUCAAUAGUGACGAGUGUUGAUCCCACGAGGAGAUGGAUUUUAAUUGUGUAGAAUUAAUUUUCUAAAUAUGUGGUUGGAUUUGUGGUGAAAAGGAUUUGGAUUAUCCUAAAAUUCGAAUUAAGAUGGUAAGAAUAAAUUAAAGUGAAAAUCUAUUAAAUUGACAUACUUGGGUAUCUGGAUCCGUAUCAACAUGCAUCAUGGGCUAAAUAUUCCUUAUUAAUACCAAUUAAAUCAUGAGGGGAGAAUCCACACCUCCUGAACCACACUCUAACCAAUAUGGUGCUAAGGACUUAUCGUACCAAAUAACAAUAACCUUUUACUAGGGAACCGGUGUAACCAAGGCGGUAUCUAGACAAGAUUAUUAUUAUUUGUCAACGAAAAGUCAAAUCAUCCACAAAAAUUAGAGGGGAAAAGAAAAUAAAAUUUACCAAAUCAAGCUCAUGACACAUGUUAAGACUUCACCUUCAACCCAAGCUUGAAAGAAAAUUAGCUACUCAUAAUUGAACUAGGGGCAGAAUGAGAAUUUAUUAAAAUACGUAGAAAAUAUAAGAUGGAGAAGGAAUUACAGAAAAUGGAUCCCAAAAAUGGAUUCAGAGAUAUCAAAUUAGGGGGGGGAGAGCCCCUUUUUUACAGAUACAUUCAGUAAAUUAUAGUCAUCGGAUCAAAAAUAUUUCGGACGCUCAGGAUUGCGCCACGUCAUCAGUCAACAGUACGCGGUUUGACCACACGGUUUGACCCGGGUUGAACAGUGACGCGGUUUGGUUGAAAAUAAUCCUGUGUAAUGCAUGUACCGUACGCGAGAUUUUUGGUCCACUGAUAUGCUGCCACGUCAUCAAUCAACAGUGCAUAAUAAUUUUAGUCCAACAGGAUCGUGACACCUCAUCAGUCAAUGCCACAUCAUCGAUCUGUCUAUGUGAACAGUGUCGUGAACGGUAACGUAGACAGUACCGUACAUGUGAAUAGUACCGUACAUGUGAACAAUGUCAUUUUUCUUUUUAUGCUCCUCCCAAGGUUUUCGACUGUCCUGAGUUUAAAAGUGAUGUCCGUUUUGCCGUCUAAUCUCUCGUUCAUUGUGAAAUGACUAUGAUGCCCCUAAAAUACAUAAAAUACUUAAUUAUAAUACAACACACAUAAUUAAAUGACAAGAAGUUUAAAUACAUAAAAGUAAGGGUGUUAGUAAAACUUGAAGUGUAAAAUGACGAUUUUCUCCUUUAUAAAUAUACAUUUUCUAACACUCAACACCAUGCACCACUUAAAAAAAAAAAAAAAAAGGGAAGCCAAACGUGGCAAUUUUCAAAAGCAACAGCCGGUUGCAUGCUUCAUCAUUUCAGCUGCUUGCUUCACCUCUUUGCGUGGCACAAGCAUGUCCCUCCCAUUUGCUUCAAGCGGUGGUUAUAUAUUUAACAAUUAGAGAGCUGCUUGCUUGAGUUGGUGGGCGUAUAUAAAGUGAAGUUUGAAGCUGUUCUUAUCAUUUUCACCAUUUAACCAAAACAGUGCAAUUCGAAAGGAGAAGAAAAGAAAAGAAAAAGAGGGAAAAGAAGAAAGCCGAGAGAAAAUAGAAGAGAAAAUAGGGGAAAGAAAAAAAUAGAAAGAAGCCGAGUGUGAGAAAUAAAGUGGAAUUGGGAGGAAAUAAUACGAAAAUUAGAACAGGAUAGUUAGAUUAAAUCCAGUUGAACCAGUGGGUAAUGGAUUUAUGAAAUUUGAGCAAUUAUGUUACAGUUUGCAUGAUACAUAUAAGUUAUUAUAUCAAUUCUAACAGUUAAUUUUCGAACCCUGUAUUUUAGGAGGAACUCGAGAAUUCAGGAACCCACAAGAGCCCCAACGAACCCCAGAGUGAAACAGGAUCUGUGAGUGGAUACUAGUAUUACUAUUAUAUAUUCUAUGAAGCAUCUAUAUUUUGAUAUUAUGAUUUAAUAUCAUUUUAUGAUUAUAUGUAUGCAUAUUAUAUUUUGAUUGAGUCAUGAGAUGUGAUUGCUAGUCACCAUAUAUGUACCCGUCCCUGUAGACUCUGCGCAUACGUAUUGAGAGUUAGGUUACUCUAUCCGAGCGAUGUAGCUAAAUUCCGCUGGGUAUUGAGAGAUUUUUCCCCCGCUCUACUUGUGCGAUGAUGAUCCCGACGAAUAUUGAGAGUUAUUUCCCCUGGGUACUAUUUGGUGCAGUUUGUGAUGUAUGUAUGUAUAAAUUCCAUGUUUGCUGAUGUGUGGUAUUCAAUGUGGAGUUAUGUUACAUGAUUAUGUAUAAGAACUAGUACACAUACUUUAUUAUAAUUAUUACUGUUAAUAUUUUUAAUAUAAUAUUACAUCCACUCACUAACCCACAAGCUCAUUAAUUUUCUAUUUACCCCUUUCCUCCCAGGAUUCCGCAGGAUUUCGUGCAGAUCAGUUCUAGUUAAUUGAGGUUAGGUCACGAGACGCAUUGCUGCAUGUCUUGCAUUUUGAGCAUGUUUAUGUUGCUUAUGUUUUAUAUGUAAAUAUACAUGUAAUGUCAGUAUUUAUAAUGAGACAUGAGUUAUGCAUGUUUUGAAUACAUUUAUGAUUUUAGAAAAAAGGCACAGAGAUAGUUAUGUGUUUAUAGGAAAGGCCAUAUUAUAUACCUAUUUUCCUGAAUUAAAUUUGUGCCACAAGUUUUAUCUAUUAGUCCGCACGAUUUGCCUCAAUUCUGACAUGUAGGUCGGGGCGGGUCGUGUCAGUCUAGGUCCAGUUAUUAAAACAGCAACCUAAUUAAAAUCCUCUUCUUUGUUGUUUUUAUUAUUAUUAUUUUUAUUAAAAGGAAGAACUAAUUGGGCAGGUCUACAUGCUAUGUUUUUGCAAACUUUUCUAAAGGGUAUCAUUCUUUCAAAAAACAAUUCAAAGAACCUACUCCCUAUACCAUGGUGUUUUUCCCUGCUUCACCAUUAAUGCCCACUACCAUGCAGCUAAAUUAUUAAUAAAUAUAUCUUUUAAAUUUAUUUUUCGUAUUCAUCUUUUAAACUAUCAGGGUUUGAUUUUGGCAAGUUUUACAAUUACCACUUCUACUUGAUGGUUAGAGAUUCUAUUGCAUACCCUCAAUCACACACAAUUUAGAAACGCCCAAGUCACACACACAAGAACUAAAGAAGGCAUAACAACUGAAAGGGGGGGGGGGGGUUCCAAUAUAAAUUCAUGAUCCCCAAACCCCUAAAGUUGCCACACCUAGCACAAACCACUUCCCUCUGUCAACUGAUAGCAUACCACACUAGGAUAAAUUGACAUGUCAUCAUAUUGGGAAAAAGAUAAAAUAUAGAUCUAUAAAACUAUCAUUGUCCGGUAAACAGUAAAACACUUCCAGACCUUAGAAUCGCAAGAGCGCACAAAAGAUGAAAAAAUGUAGACCUAUAAACCUAUCAUAGCCUCAGCCAAGCAUAAUUAUACUAAAGCAAACUGGCAAAAUCCAAUACUAUUACAGAAUUAUAUUAAAAUUAGAUAGUCAGGCAAAAGUGUGCAAACCAUCUCUACGGACACUUAAAUCCAAAGAAUUAUAUAUAUACCUAUAUCUUAUACAUAUAAAAAUACAUAUAUUUAUUUUUUAUUUAUGUAUAAAUAAAUAAAUAAAUCAUUUGAAUAAAUUAUUAUUUUAUACACACACACACACUCUAAUAUAUAUAAGGCAAAGGCUAAUCCGAUCAAUUUGUCAAUUUUGUUUAGGUUCAACCCAAGCCGAAGUAAAAACUAAUCGGUUCUUAAGCUGAAUCAAACAGAAUUGAAAACGAAUUGAAUCGAACCCAAAUUAAAUUUAAGGUUCUGUUCGAUUCGAUUUAAUCAGAUCCAAUAACCCAAUUCAUUGUUUGCUUCUUAUCAAUUCUUAAAAUAAAAUUGCACUUUUAUAUUAAUUUAAUUAAAUUGGAUUGAUAAUUCAUAAUUACAUUAUUCCAUAUAACAAUUUAUAUUUUAUGCGGAUAUUAUGUCAAAAUACAUUUUUAUUUCAAGAUUAAAUGGUAUUUUGUGUUAAAAAUAAAAUUAACUACAUUAUACUUGAUCAUAAUUUUAACUGUAUAUCAACCUUAUGGGUCAAUUUUAAUUUUAACUUUAAAAUACAUUUAAUAUUUUAUACUCUCUCAUAAUUUUAAUCAUAACUUAUGCAAGUAUUCGAACUUUGUGCCAAAUUGAACUGCCUAUCAUUCAAUCAAUAUAUUCAAAUAAGAAGCGUGCAAUUGAAUGAGCCAUUCGCCACUUGUAGUUUAAAGUUUCCUAACAUGAGUAGUUAGAAACCACUCAUCAAAUUAUAUUUGUAAGUUUUAAUAAAAAUAAAAAUGAUGGUAAUAAGAAGUUAAUUUAUUAUUUAAAAAAAAAAAUUAUGAUUUUUUAUUUUUCUUAAUUUUUAUAAUAUUAAUACAUUUUUUUGUUAUUACAAUCAAAAUUAUAUUACUUGUUAAUUAAUAAAAAAAUCGACCAUGAAAACUAAUUAAAACAAUUAAAAUGCACUAUAAUUUACAAAAUUGUAUUAAUUUACUCGGUCAUUAGUGAAGAAACAAGAAUUUCGUUGUAAAAAAGGAGCAUUAGUACAAAUUGAAGGCAGUAAAGAAAAUAUAUCAUAUGUUAUAUUAGAGAAGCAGCCAACGCAGAGAACGAGAAGAAACCCUAUUUAGCCAUAUAUGAUGUUCCAUAUCUCUAUGAUGUUUUAAGACAAGGGAGUCAAUUUUUUUUUAUUAAUAGAGUCAAUGGGUAUUAUAGUAAAAAAGGGGACUUGGUGGCCCUAUUUGAAAACUUAGAGUCCUUGUGAUUGUGACCAUAAUACCCUUUAGAUCCAAGUUUUCAAAAAGAGCCACCAAGUCUCCUAUUUGACCAUAAUACCCUUUGACUUCAUUAACUGAAAAAAUUCACUCCCAUGUUUUAAAACAUCAUAGAUAUAUUUUCCUAAAUCUUGGGUAGUAGAUAUCAUUUUCCCUACUAAAAAAUGAUAAAAUUGAUUAGAUGUAUGUUUCAAUUACCUUGCAUGAUAAGACAUUGAGAUAUUAAAGUCAAGGGAUAUUAUCAUUUUCCUGCUUAAGCUUUUAUGAUAUAUUAAGUCAGUACCAAGGUUUAGUGAAAACUGCAUUUUACCACCAAAUAUUUAUGUUGUUAUCAUUUUACCACCAUUCUAUUAAAUAUAAGUUAAUAUUUAACGGAAUAUAAGUUAAAAGUUGAUUUUCUCCCUAGAGCAUAAAAGAUGAUUUGUUCCUUUGAAAAGAAAGAAAUUACCCUAGAAAAGUAGUCAUUAUAUUAAAAAAAUAACUUUUUUUUUAAUUAUAUAAACAUGUUGUUUUACAUUCAAAUAUCAAAAUUCCAAGUAAUAUGAGCCAAACAUUUCAGUUUUGAUAAUAUCAUUCAAAACCAGUAAAUCUAAUCCAUUUCAAGCACUAUAAUGACAAGCUAAAUACUCCAAAUUUAACACUUUAUCGUUCAACAAUUGUGUUGAUGUUUUUUCCUUCAAUGCAAAAUUCCUUAAAUGCCCUUAUGAGAUCAAUUUAUUUUUAACUUAUUAAUGUUUUGGUCAUAAAGUGAUAAUAACUUAAAUAUUAUGCGGUAAAAUAUAGGUUUUAAGAAACCUUAGUAUUGAAUUGAUAUGUCAGAAAACUUUUGGUGGACAAAUGAUAAUAUCUUUUUCACAAUUGAACGGUACAUUUUGACUUUAAUGUGAAAUUCUUUAAAUGUCUUUAUAUCAUCAAUAAAUUUUUAACUGCAUUAAUGGAAUGGUAGUAAAAUGCUAACAAUGCAAAAUUUGGUGAUAAAAUGUAAUUUUUACUAAACCUUGGUAUUGAUUUGAUGUGUCAGAAAAACUUAGGUAGGAAAUUGAUAAUAUCUCUAAAGUCAAUAUUCAAUACAAAUAAAUGCUCUAUGACUUAUUUAAUACUGGUAAAUGGAAUCGACAAUCUUGUAACGGCCACAAUAGCUCAUUUCUCAAUAUUCAUUCAUAUAUAUAGAGCCUCAUGUGUUUCUUAUUCUUCACCUCUCUUUUAAUUAUAAUUAUGUUAUUUUUAAUUCAGUAGAAAUUAUAACAUGUCGAAGAAUCUUAGGUUCAUUAUCUUUGCUUUGCUUGUUGUAGCAAGCAUUGAAAAAAUACAUAUUUCGAGCACUAGUACUUACCAAGAAUCUAAUUUGGCAGCAUCACCUGUGUCAUGACCCAACCUAGACUUGACAAGAUAUUGUCCGCUUUGGGCCUUAAUAAGGCCCGCACGGUUUUGUUCCUAGGGCGCCCAUACACCAAAAAACGUGUCUUGCCAAUUAAGGUGUGGAUUACCCAUAAUAAACCCAUCAUCUCUCUCGUGCUUUGCCGAUGUGGGAUUUGCCUAGGAUGUUACAUACACCCCCCCUGGGGACUCAGUGUCCUCGCUGAGGUUUACCCCACCAUCGCUCAAGAGGACACGCGGAGCCGCUCUGAUACUAUAAUGUCAUCACCCAACCUAGACCUGGCAAGCUAUUGUUCACUUUGGGCCUUAACAAGGCCGCACAGUUUUGUUUUUGGGGCGCCCAUACACCCCAAAACGCGUCUUGCCAAUUAAGGUGUGGAUCACCCCUUCUAAACCCAGCAUCUCUCAUGUGCUUUGCCGAUGUGGGAUUUACGUAGGGUGUUACAACCUGAUGGUGGCAAAUGCUCAGGACUUACAUUGGAAAAAUGUUUUAAAAAGUAUUAUACUGAAGACUACACCAUCAUCUAUAACCAGUGAUUUUGUUAAAUAGCUUUCCUUUUAUGCCAUAUGAAUACUUUUGUAAUAAGCAUCAAUUGUAAAGAAAUUGAUGCCAUAUUUUAAUAAAGAAGGAAUUAAUGCAUUAUGAGCAUAUACUAUGUUGUUUUGUGUUAUAUGAUAUUGUUUUGUUGUAUGUAAUUUGUCUAUAUCUUUAAGUUUUUCUUCCCAACACCUUAACAAAUAAUUACAGAGGAGCAAAUCAAUAUGUUUGAAGAUUUUAACUUCAAUGAGGUAUGGUGAUCCUUUUGAUUUCUAGCUUAUAACACAAAAAUUGUUAAAUUGUUAUAACAACAUAACAUAGAAAAGUACAAUUGUUUAUAAUCUUUCGGAUGCUAAUUUGGUGCCUUUUGUUUGUCUUUUCAAUUUACAACAAGAACUGUUAAAACCAAUGUGAUGCAAAGUGAUAACUAUUUUUGGUUAAUUGAUAUAUUUGUUUUGCUUAUAAUGUUUAUUUCUCACAAUCUUCUGAUUGGUGAAAUCUUUUGGUGGGUUUUUUUUGGUUACUUCAGUUUUGUUGUCGAUCAUUCUUUGUUUAUUGGCAAAAUUGAUUAUCUGACCAAAUAAUUAAAUUUUAAUAAAAAGAAAUAUUUGGAGAAAUUUUUUUAGUGUGAUUUUCAUGAAUGUGAGAAUAAAUAAAGAUAAUUCAUUUAAAAAGUUUAAUUCAGAAAUUUUUUGGUAUUUUAAAGAGUAUACAAUGCAGAAUUUAGUUUUUUUAAAUUAAUCGAUGAGUGUAAAGAGUAAUGAAGUAUUCAGAAUAAUUUUUAAAGUGCAAAUACUCCCACUCUUUUAUAUUAUUCUAUCUACUAUUAGGGUGGGGCUAUUUGCACUCUAGAAAAUAAUAUUAACAAUCAUAUUUUACCCUUCUAAUUUUUUUAUUUUAUAUGUAAUUUGAUUUAAGGGCAUUUAUGUAGUAAAAUAGUUUACAAAAUGAAAGGUCUUCAUAGCAAAUUUUAAGGUGCAUAAAUCCAAAUCCUUUGACGACAUGACAAAAAUAAAUUAACAAAUAAAACAAUGGAUUAAGAUCAAAGCAACUUGCAAUAACAAGUAUUUCAAAAAACAAAAUUAUUAUAUUUCAAUAAAUUCUUGUUUUUACUAGUUAUUUUACUUUUAUGCUAUUUUCAUUUCAUUUUUGUGUCAUUUUUUUAUGAUGUCAUAUUUUUUGCUUGCAAGUUAUGCAUAGAGAUUAACGAAUUCACUUAAAUCUGAAUAAUAAGUGGAAUAGGGUUAAAUAAAGAGAAAGAGUCCAAGACAUAAACUAAAUAAAACAUAAUACUAAAAAUGAUAAUAUCAAUUAGUUGUAUGUUUCAAUUAGCAUGCAUGAUAACGUAGUAAGCCAUUAAAGUCAUUAGUAAUAAAAAUAAACGCAGCAUCAUUUAUUCAAUAUUUAUUUUUGGAAUUGGCAGUAUCAUAAAGGCCAUUAUAACUCAUUUUUUUAAUAUAUAUAUAUAUAAAGCUGGGACUAAAAGAGCUGAUGUGAUAUCAUUAUUUCUCAUCUUUUUAUAUUCUCUAUUAUCUAAUAUAUUCAACAAUAUGUAACCAUUAAAAUAAUUAAUUAUAAGCCUUAGAAACAUAUUUAAUUACACUUAAUGUAGCAUUUUUUUUUUCAUAGGAAAAUCUAAUGCAUGCAAUAAUCAUGAAAAAUUUAGUGACAAGGUUUAUGCACAUGUUGAGUGAGGGUUCUUUUUACAGUGUUAAGAAUUUGAAAAUUGUUUCAACUACAGGCGAGUACAGACUACUUUCAAAUCAGUAUAAGAUUAUUUUCUUGAUUAUAACUUCGCUUAAGAGGUUAGAAGAAGAAACUAUUAAGAUUCCGAUCAAUGGAUUCCAAUUCGUAUCUUCGAAUUUGAUUGAUUUACGUGUGAAUGAUAACACAAUCCUCUCAGGUAUUUAUUUUAAUUAUUAAUGUUUGUUAAUCUUUAAGUGUAUAUUAGAAAUUAUUGAUCCUUAUGUUUUAACAUGUUUAUGUUAUUUUUCCAUAAUAUUACAGAUAUUUUCAGAAGUUUAUGUGGUGUGGGUGAUAUUGAGAUCGUUGAAGCUGGUUGAAAAAAAAAGAGAUAUAAAAGUUCUAACAGAUUAGUAAGUUGAAUAUAAAAUGAUAAGGAAUAGUGAUGCCAUAUCACUAUUAAUAUACAUGGUUUAUAUACAUAUAAAGAACAUUUUGGCACCAGAUGUUGCUGAUCCCCAAGGAACUUGCUAUAGUUGCAAUCUUGAUAUAAACAACUGCUCACCUACUCAGCGAAAAAUGAUGCAAAGUAACUUAUAAAAGCCUUUAUAUGUGUUUUAUUUAUUUCUUUUAUAAUUCAACGCAUUGCUAAGAAUCCUCAGUUAUAAAAUUUAAUUUGGAACUUAUAAAGAACCAUAAAAGGUAUAAGGUCUGUACACUCAAACUAUACACAUUAAUAUAUUUUUUUUAAAGUUAACAAAAAAAAAGAUAACUUUCAUAAAUAACAUUGGUUUUAUAAGACAGCCUAAUCUUUAAAAAAAAUAAUUCAUAUUUUUUUAUCAAUUUCCUCAAGUGCAAAGCAAGAAAAGGGAUAAUACUAAAUAAAAUAUUUUCAAAACCGCGCAAAGGGCGGUUCUAUUUCCUAGUUCAUUGAUAUAUACAGCACCUCUUGUGUUUAUUUUAGAAAUUAUAAGGUCAAAGAAUCUUAAUUUCAUCCUCUUGGCUUUGGUUGUAGCAAGUACUAAGAGUGUACUUAUUUCAAGCACUAGUACUUGUCAGGAAUCUAAGCCAUUUUGCAUUGAAUUCUGCAACAUCACCUACUAGUGGCAAUCGCUUGGGACUUACAUGGGUAGAGUGUUUGAUCAAGAAGAGUUUUGAGAAUGAUUAUUUAUUAUUCCCCUCAUAACUUCGCAUUAGUCCAACAAGAUUCAUAUGAUUUAGUUAAAUAAUCAUUUAUCCGUAUAGGGACAAAGUCAAAAUGUUAUUUUAUAGGGAGAUUCUUAACUCAUACACUCAUUAAAACUCGAAUUUAAGACAUGAUCCUUAAUAAGAUUGUUUUUUACCACUGGAGCUAGACUUUGUCUUAAAGUAAAAGGGCAAUGUUAACAAAUAAUUAAUUAAUAAAUAAGAAUUUAUAUCUUCAGAAUAUAUGUAAUUCAGUCACAUCAAUUACAACUGCCUACAAUGCUUUCUCAUGAGUUGUUCAAAUAGUUUUAAAGGGUAAAGGGACAGGGCUAGAGAUGGCAAAAGUCUGGGUCGGGUCCGGGUUUGGGGCUGCCCGGGACCGACCCGGAUAUCAAAUGUAGCUACCCGGACCCGUACCGUGCCCGGAAUUUUUCUAUGCAGGCCGGGCACAUGCCCGGCACUAUCCGGGCACGGGUUUUUUCUGGGUUUUCUCUACCCGAAUUUGAGUGGUGAAUGGUGAUGCAUUUGAGUGGUCAUAAUAUAUGGGACAAACUCAGAAACGCACAUAUUACAUAUAGCUUCGAAAUUCACUGCAAACCCAACUUGCAAAAACCAUCAUUUCUCACAACACACAAAAAUUAAAAGGCAAAUCACACACCAAAAAAGAAUAAAUAAAAGGUGUCAAAACAAUUGUUUACUUCUAAAUUCUAACAAACCAUAACAGUCCAAAAUCAAAACAUCUUAACUAUAAGCAAACAUCUAACGGAAUUAUCAAAAUUAAAAAAGGAAAAAAUUCUAUAAUAAAUUAUUACAACAUCUUAACUAUUUCAAUUUCAAUCUACUUUAUAAAUUUAAGUAAAUAACAAAUAAAAAUAAUUUCAAUCUAUUAUCCACUACCUAAAUUUAUUCAAUUUCUAAACUAAAUUCAUUCAAUCCCUAUCAAAAAUUUAAAUUGAACAUCACAAUAAUCACCAAAUAAAUCUAAAUAAAUGUAGCAUACUAACACCCAACAUAUUACAUAAUACAUAUCAUAAUAACUCCAAUAUCAAUAACCAACAUCACAUAUAAAAAUCCCAAAAUAUCAAACACACAUAAUUCAUAAAAGAGUUUAAAAUAACAGAUUAUGUCAAACAGCUCGACGAUUGUGCCCCAUCAUCAUCAUCAUCAUCUGAAAUUAACUCCUUCCCAGCAAAAAUCUCAUUUUCCGGAACUCCACCUAAUAACAAAAAAAACAGAUUAAGAUUUAAAAACAUUUUGAGCAAACAAAUAAUACGAUAACAUAAUUCAAAUAACUUUAUACCUCGAGAAGAAGCCCAAAUCCAAUUUUGAGCACACAUUAAGGAUUCCAAAGUGUUAGGAUGAAGUCUACUACGAUGCGGACUCAAAAAUCUGCCCCCGGUACUAAAAUCGGACUCAGAGGCAACAGUGGAUACAGGAAUGGCUAAGAUAUCCUUGGCCAACUCGCCCAAAAUAGGAUAUUGGCCUGUGUGCAUCUUCCAAAAAGCUAAAAUAUCAAAGUUCGGAAUAGUAUCCAAUAAUUCAUCAUCUAAAUACCUAUCCAACUCCGACUUAGUCACCUUAACACGCUUAUUUCGACUUCGAAAUGUUUCAAACUCAUCUACAUCCCAAUACUUAUUCGGAUUCGAAGAAGAUUCCAAAGGAACAUCAUCCAACCCAACAUCCUGCCUAUCACUCAAAACCAUAGCUUUCAUUUCAUAUUCUUUCACUAAAUCAUGACAAAGCUUAUGUGCACGCUCAAUAUGCUCAUCCGCUGUAUCACCAUAGAUCUUUGGGAAAUAAAAAUCAAUCAACAACAUCUUAUAUCUCGGAUCAAGAACUACAGCCACAACUAACAUCGGAUGAAUUUCAUUCCAAUAUUUUUCAAAUUUUUCAACCAUUUUAUCAUCCAUAAUUCUAAUAGCAAGAUUAUCGGAAGUGCGCCACCCAUUAAUCGACAUUUUCAUUUUACAUAUUAACGGAAAGAACAAAUUAGCAGUAGGGUAUUUUGUACCCGAAAACAUCUCCGUUAACAUGUAAAAUGAUUUCAAAUGCUCCACCAUUGUGGCUGCCAAAUCCCACUCACUAUCACUAGGCAAGCUCUUAUAUUGAGACUCGCGCUGUUGUAGCCGAGAAAAAACACUUUUAUACAUUAGUGCUACAUCAAGCAUGGCAUAAGUAGAAUUCCAACGAGUUGGACAAUCUAACUUCAAACUUUUUUUACAAUUAAUUUUCAGUUGCCUAGCAGCUAGCUCAAAAGAUUCAAAUCGUUUUGGUGUUUGUGUCUAGUAACUAACACUCUCUCUAAUAUUUCCAACCCCGUUUUCUAUAACUUUCAACCCAUCCCGCACAACCAAAUUCAGUAUAUGAGCAGUACAUCUCAUAUGAAAAAAUUUACCAUUGGAAAUUAAGGUACCGAGAUCAAACCUUAAUAACAAUUUCUCCACCAUCGCGUCAUUAGUGCUACAAUUAUCCAAGGUCAUUGAAGACAACUUUCUAUCCACGUUCCAAUCCAACAAACAUUGCACCAACUCAUUAGAAAGGGCCUCAGCAGUAUGAGGGCUCGGAACAUAAAUAAACCUAACAAAUAUUCAAGUGAUAAUAUUAAAUACACAAACUUAAAAUAUUAUAACAAUUUAAACUUUAAAAGAAAUCAAAUAUAAGUAAUAAAAAAUUGAAAGAAAAAUUAAGCAAAUAAAAAGUUAUAGACAAAUUAGAAAUUACCUUAAAAUUCGGCUAUGCAAUUUCCAAGAGUUGUCAAUAAAAUGUGCUGUGACAACCAUGUAUCAUUUUUUCUGGUUACUUGCUGUCCAUAAAUCCAUAGUAAUAGCCACUCUACCUUGAUUUUUCUCCAACAUAUGCAAAGUCUUAAUCUUCUCAAUAUGAUAAAGUUUCGAAAUCUCACUCUUCAAUGUAUUUCUACUCAUUGGUUUAACCACGGGGUUGGCAUGUGCCAUCAUUUCUCUAAAGCCUUUAUAUUCCACAAAUUUAAGUGGAAGCUCAUGCAUCACCACCAUCCUUGCGAUCAAACUCCGUAAAACUUUUGGAUCAAAACUAUCAAAGCCAAUGUCACAACUCCCAUCCUCUCUUUUGAGCACUUUGAGACUUCCUUGAAGUGCUUCUUGUAUUUUCGGUUGACUCCUCGAAAAACAAGAUAUCACGUGUCUAUUCAAGCUCGUGGUCCCUGAUGUGUAUUUGGCUUCUAAAAUUGCAUUACAGUGCAUGCACUUUGCCUUUUUUUCUCCAUUAAUACUUUCUUUUGUAAAGUGAUCCCAAGCUGUAGAGACUUUCUUUCCCUUUUUGUCUUUAAGAGUUGAUAGUGAAAUCUCAUCAACCUCAUUAUCAUUGCUAUCUUCAACAUUCCGAGAUAAAUUUGGAGCAUUUGACGAAUUAAUUUCUAUAUUGUCUGACUGUGACUGUGACUGUGACAUCGCACUGCUGUUUAUUAUAAAAAAAAUAAUGAAUAAUUAUAAAUAAUCAUGCAAAUUACAUAGUUAUAAUAUUAUAUAACAAAAUUAACUUACAAGCAACCUAAAUUAACUUACAAGCAACCUAAGCAACCUAAUAAAGCAAAGAAGAAAGACCAGACAGAUAAAUAAAUAAACAACUGAGAAAUUUCUGGAGCAAUUGCAUGAACAGGACCACAAUACAAAGAAAAUAAACAGGUUUAAUUAAUUAAUAGACUGAAGCAAGUAUUUUGUCACUGUCUGAUUAUAAUUAGAAAAUAUUGUAUAGUUUUAAAUUUGUGUUUUAAAACAUAUAUACAUGCCUGCACAGAUAUCAAACUUAUCUCAUUCUCAGCUAAGCAAACUUGUUAGUUUGGUAACAAUCAUGCUUAUUUCGCCACUAGGCCGUAGUUGAGUGGUGAAUCCAUGUCUUUAUACUAGUGAAGGUAUAUAAGGUAAGGAUUAAAAAAGAAAAAAGAAAAAAAAACAAUAAACACCAUUUGAAUAUUCCCCUGGUCACAAGUCUUUUGGCUGCGAUUACAUUGUACUUUAGUCCCAGUAGCUGAAAUUUCCCACUUUACAGAAAUUCUUAAUGUGAGCCAAUUCUUUUUUAGUUUUUAGAUGGCCCCUGGUGCAUAAUCACAAAUAUGCAGAAGAGAUACUUGCCAGUACUACUCACUUUGCAAGCUUAUGAAAUGAACAUAUAUAAUUUAUGUUAUCACAAUAUUAAAGUAAUUAUCACUACAGCUCAUGAUCACCACAUGCAAGUUACUUAUCAUUUCUUAAAAGUGCUGCUCACAUAGGAAAUAGUGUUCCAUUUGAGGUUCAUAGCCUCUUUGGUUCAAGUCUAGCUAGCUGCAACUUAAACAGGAAUUAAUGCCAGAAAUUGUUCAAUUGAUCAGCUGUAAAUUGUGAAUUGUGAGCUAUAUCAAAACGAUUGCAGUUUGCAAAUAAAUGAGAUCAAACGUAUUCCAAACGAAACACCCAUAUGAAAUAGAAAAACUACUACAAUAGCAUAAUGAGGGUGUUUAACAUUAGCUCUUUCUUAUUAUGUUCUAUGCUCUGUGCAGCCAUUAACAACGUAAACACUUCCAGCAUCCAAGAAAAUAAUUAAGCACAUAUUGAAAGCAAUUUCAUCAUUUUUUUUUUUAAAAACAGCCAAAAAAAAAAUUACCUCGUGGGUCGUGGCUGUGGGUUGCAGGCUUGCAGCUGAUAUGGUGACAAAACAAUGGAGUGAGAGUGUGAGACCAGCUAUGGUGGCGGACGCCGUCGCGCGGUGGCUGCCGCUGAGAAGCUAACCAAACAGUGAAGAGCUCUUUGACGGACUGACGAGUGACGACUGUGCUUUGCGGUUCGUGGCGGGAAAGGCGCGGUCACUGUCAAUACUGCAUCGCCAUCGAUGAAGGAUAGGUGGUGGCUGCUGGUAAUGGUGGAGAGACGAAGGAAGGAGGUGCCGAUUCUGAUUUCUGAGACUUGUCUCGAAUUCACGAUUUAGGGUUGGUUGGCCGGUUGGGUUUGGGGGAAAUUGGGUAAAGGAAAAAUGCAAUUUUCGUUUUAUAUUUUCCUCUUUUUUUUUUACUUAAUAAAAAAGCGGGCACGGGUCCGGGUUUCGGGUACUUGGUGCUGUGACCGGACCCGUGCCCGGAAACUACCGGGCAUUGAAAAUCAAUGCCCGGAUCCACUUUUUUCAUGCAUGCGGGCCGGGUUUUACCCGGACCGCAUGUGCCGGGUCCGGUCUGGAUCCGGUCCGGGCGGACUUUUCUGCCAUCUCUAGACAGGGCCGAUCAUUAAAGUCAAAGCAACAGGUUACUGUAGAUUUCAAGGGUAAGACUUAAAGCACGAACAAAAUCGGAGGAUUUUGGAAUUAAGUGGGUGCAAGUGACCCCACUUACCCAAUGCUCCUUUUUUUCGCUGAAUUUAUGAGAGCGCACUCUGUUAAAUGUUGAUGAUUGUAAUUAUUUUGUUAGUAUUUUUUGUUCUAUUUUUAUUUUAUAUCCAUCUUUUAUUAAAUGAAGUUAUUUGUAUUCUUUAAAAAUAUUUUUAAUACUCAGUUUUUACCAUUUUUUAAUUUCUAAACUUUUUUAAUACAUUUUUUAUAUUCUAUUCUAAUAUGCAAGAAGUGAGUUUAAUUUGUAUGCAUCUGCAAUUUGAACUAAGGGCAUGUAAUAAAACAAUUUAUAAAAUGAAGGUUUUUAUAGCAACUCAUAGCAAAUUUUUGGAGCAUAAAUCCCAAUCCUUUGAUGAGGUGACAAAAUAAAUAAAAAAGGAUUAAGAUCAAACAAAUGGAUAAUUGAGAAAUAUUAUUAAAAAAAAGGGUAUAGUUACAAAGGGCAAAAAAUAUUUGAAACUAACUUAUCAGACAAUUGGAAAGCUACCAGUCCCAAACAGAAGCGGCUAUAGCUUCUACUUCUUCCUUUGGCUAUUGGAUUGUUGUUACUGCCUUUUUCUAAAAAGAAACUUAUUUUCCUCUCUUCAUCAAGUUAUAAUUACGUGAAUUUUGAUCGACCAAACAAAGAACAAGAGAAGGACUACUUCUAUUGUUUCAUUGGUAAUUAAUUGCGAGGACAAGCAACAAGAACAUACUAGCCAAGCUAGUAGGUAUAUGUCUUUCCCUUUGUUUUCUGUUUUACAAUUAUUUGAUUUUCAACAAGAACACAAAAUUUGUCAAAGGCCAAUUUUUUUAUUUUCAGUUUUUGCUUUUUAAUAGAUAUUUCCUAGCUCUUUGUGAGUGUGUUUUUUUUCCCUAAUAACAUGAGCUCUAAUGUAGCAAUGCCGUAGGAAUCAACAAUUGGAGCAGUAUUCUUCACUCAGGUUUUCUCACUAAAUAAAGUUGCCAUAAAGCUUGGUAUAUGCGACAUCGCAGGGCAAGAACAAUAUCUUAGCUUGGCUUAACACAAAAGAGUUUGAAGUCAUAAAUACUAAAGUCAUGCCAAGUGUAGCUCUAGUUCUUACAUUAAUAAAUUGAACAGAAAGUCAGUGUAGAAAGAGUAAUUUCAAAAUAAAACUAGAAUUGUUUGUGACAAAAUUAAUUUUCAAGCCAUAUAUUAUUGGAAAGAUAAUUUUGUUAGCUUUUCAAUAUAUUUAUAGAACUGAAUUUUGAAUUUUCUAGAAGAAGUUAUGACCAGUUCAAUACAACUUGUUCAGUUUUGAGUUAAAAGAAAGUUAUACGAGUUUGGACGUUUUCAAUUUUAUUUAUGGUCUCUUUUGUUGUGCUUUAAGUCUAUCAAUGUGUCAUUUAUGUCUAGUUUUAAUGUUGAUCAUUGGUCAAGUCAUUUAAAUGUCUUUUAAUUAAAAUUAUGUGUUGAUAGGGAAAUCUGUCAACACACUACCUCGAAGGGUGAGUGAAAUACAAGUUAUGCAACCCAAGUGGGGGGUGAAUUGGUAUUUUAAAACUUAUCCUAACAAAACCACACAACAAUACAAUCUAAUGUCUUAAUAAAUUCGAAAAUAAUAAAUUCAAUCAAGCACAAUAAUAAAUGAGUAAGGAAUGAGAAAACAAACACAAAUAUUUUUACAUGGUUCGGCAAUUCUCACCUACGUCCACACCUCCAACCAACCCAAGCUUGAGAAUUUCACUAUCCAAGCAUUUGAAGGCUUCAAAAGCUUACAAUUGACUUCCAAUGUGUCAAUAAUCAUUUACAACAAAGAGAUUACCUCUCAAUCUCUUCAACCAAGUGUUUCUCACACUUAUACACUCACAAAUUUAUGAGGAAAUGAAGAUCACAACAACAAAAAAACUCUCAUAAAGAGUAAAUAUAUGAAUUGAAGUACAAAGAUAAUUCAAAGUAUGAUGAUUUGCGAAAUGAGAGCUCAAUAUAUAUUGUGUACUUUUUGUUUUUGCUUGCAAGAGUGUUUGAAAAUGAAUUGGAUUUGAGUUUAUAUAGUUUGACCCCAAAAACUAGUCGUUAUGGGUUUUCUGAUGAUAAUCGGCUUGCCACUUUUGGAAUCCGGUUAGCCGCUUUUAUAUUACCGAUACAGCAAAUAUUUGAACUUUAGAACAUUCGACACGCCGCUUUCGGAAUUCGGUUAGUCACUUUUAUUUCAGUAAGCUACUGCCCAAAAUCUAAUCUACUGCUUGUCAAAUCCGGUUAACCGCUUGCUAUAGUGACUGCUACAAUGAAUUAUUUUUUAAAAUUAUAAUUUUACCCAAAACUUUAUACAAUUACGAUACGUCCCAAAACGUCAUAAAACUUUGCACAAAGGUCUAAUUUCAGAAUUCUAAAUAAUGUUUGUUUUUCCCAAAACUUUAUGAAAUUAUGAUAUCGCUCAAAACGCUAUGAAACUUUUCAAAUAAGUCCUCCAGAAUUCCAAGCAAUACUAGUUGACUUCAAAGUUUUCAAAACUCUUUCAAUUAGACCAUAAACUUGAAAGACAACCAAUUUUAUAAAAUUAUUUUUCCAUUAAAUAUAAAACCUUUAUAAUGUGAAAAUAAUGAUUUAUUUAAAAUGUAUAAAAAAUAAUUUGAACUUUUAAAAACUUAAUCAUUCUUAAUUUUAUUUGUUAUCAUCAAAAUCAAAAUUAUGGAUACAUAAAUGUUAACAAUCUCCCCCUUUUUUAUGAUGACAAACUUUUCAUAUAUGUAAAGAAUGAUUGCACAAAUUACUCCCCUUAAAUGUAAGCUCCCCUCACAAUUUGAGCUUAAAAGAUCAAUCAUUUUUAAUUUUGUUUGUUAUCAUUAAAAUCAACAUUAUGAAAAUACAUAUGUUAACAGUGAGGACCACUACAUGGGAAAUUAAGACCCUUCAAGGGUAGGAAUAUGGAUUGCUAGCUGGGAAAUAAAGAUUCUCAAGAAAGAAAACAAGGAAUCCUAGAUCAAGGCUAUAAAUUGGUCAAAACUACUAAGCCAACUAAGACAAAAAUAUUAGGAUAUAGCUUAGCAAUGGAAAGAACUAUUGAAGAAGUUGGCUACAAGAUCGCCAAGCACACGAAAAUAGGGACACAACCCUCACUCUUAAAACAUGCUUUGCUCUAUUCUCAAAGUGACCCUAAGGGUCAGAUUAUGCCAGCUACACCACAUCCCAUGACCUCCUAAAAUAUAAGAGAUGAAGUCAAUAGCUUUUUACACUCACAAAAAUAAGCGGCACCCACUCACUUAAAAUUGUGGUAUAGUAUAAAUACUUACUAUUUCAAAAAGAGGUAAGUUCACUAGAACUCCAAUUUCAUCAUUCAACUUAAAUUCUCUGGUCACCGACUUAAGCAUCAGAGUAGGAUCGCCAAAAAAACCCUUUUUUUUAGCCCUAAUUCACCACCUUUUUUUUAUUGUGUGUGCGCAGGCAUACCUUCAUUUGUUGCACUUGGUUUAACCCUAAUAGGAAAAAAAUAAAGUAUCAACAAUUUACACUAGAAGGAGGGCUUCUGCUAACACAAUCAUCAAUUAUCAAUUCCAAUGAUACAAUAAAAUUCACAUCAAUCGUCGAUUUUGCCAUAACAAUUCGUUUCUAACUUGAACAUGCCUUCUGAGAAAAAAAAAAUCAUCUUAAAGUUUGCCAAAUUUCAGAAAGAUUGAUAAAGAGAGACACUAGAAAUCUAGAGGGUUGAAAAAUAUCAUUCUCUAAACAAACUUGGUAGCAUGAAAGCAUAGAAAACAAACACUUAAUUGGGGGAAAAACAAGAGCUUGAAGCCAAUAGGGGAUUUCAAGAUAAAUAUUUUAGAAAGUAAAAGAUGUUAGCCUAAAGGGCUACACAUAAUGUAAUUUUAAUGAUAACAAACAUGUGUCUUAAGUAAAUUUAAUAAAUAUUGUAUUUCACAUUUUCACUAGUUUUUUAAGGAUAAUAUUUAUGUAAGUGAAAUCAAGUUGAAGACACUCAACGGAUAACGGCGAAAUCAAGAAUAAAGUGUAGAGCUCAACGGAUAAAUUCUUGUGAUAAAUUCUUGUAAAACCGGUAUGAUUUAAUUUAUGCAUGAUUUAACAUUUGAAAAGCUCAAAAGAUUAAUUUAAAUAAUUACUUUUCAUAAACUAAAAGGUUUUAUUUUUAUAAGAUAGAGUAUUUUGUGGAUUUGAGUAAUUUGGACUUAAAUAAAAAGUUUUGCAAUCUUUGAAUUUAAUAAGUAUUAUUUUGAAUUCUGGAGUUGGACCUUUUUGCAAACAUUUGAAAUGUUUUGGGCCAUAUUAUAAGUUUGAGGACCCGAAUGUAAUCCAAACAUUUGAAAUCCAAAAUUGGACAGAGAGUGAGCGGCUAACCGCUUGAGGCUAGCGACUUUUCGCCUGAGGAAAAUCUCAUAUUUUCAAAUUUUGGACUAAAUUGAAAGGCUUUGAGAACUUUGAAAAAUAUGGGUAUUAUGCUAAAUUUUGAAAAGGACUUUUUUGAAAAAUAAUAUUAUAUUUGGGGCCAUAUCAUAAUUUUAAAAAGUCUUGGGAAUAAUAAGUAUUAUUUAAAAAUUCUAAAAUUGGACUUAUUUAUAAAGUUUUAUGACAUUUUGGGCCAUAUCAUAAUUAUAGAAAGUUUUGGGCCAAAGUAUAAUUCUAAUGAACAAGGUUACUGUAGCAAAUUCAAAUUUAAUGGUAAUAUCACUGUUAUGAGUGGCUAGCCGAAUAAAUCAAGUGGCUAACCGUUUGGUUGCGGGAAUUUAUCUAUAACGGCUAGUUUUCGGGCUUUAACUAUAAAAACUCAACUCCAACUUCAUUUUAAGGACCAAUGCAAGUAUAAAUAAGAUCAUAUAACAUAUAUUGAGCUUCCAUUUUACAAAUCAUCAUUUAUUGAAUCAUUAUUGUGCUAUUAUUUGCAUAUCCGCUCUUAAAGAGAGUUUUUAUUAUAAUUUUCAUUUAUUAUCAAAUUGUGAGUGUACAAGUGUGAGAAACACUUGUGGUGAAGAGAUUUGGGAGAUAAUCUCUUGAUUGUAAAGGUUUAUUGACACCUCAGAAGUCAAUUGUAAGAACUUGAAGCCUUGGGAGGCUUGGAUAGUGAAAUCAUCAAGCUUGGUUGGCUUGGAGGCGUGGACGUAAGCAGGGAUUGCCGAACCACGUAAAAAUCGUUGUGUUUGUUUUUUCUUCCCUUACUCUUUUAUUAUUGUGCUAUAUUGAAUUUAUUAUUUUUGUAUUUGAUUAAGGUAAUAGAUUAAAUUGUUGUGUGAAUUGUUUAUUAUAAAAUUUAAAAUCUCAAUUCACCCCCCCUUUUGGGUUGCAUAACUUGCAUUUCAAAAGACGCACUUGAAGCCAAUCAAAAGCAUAUAAUUUGGCAACCCUAGCUUUUUCGGGAGAACAAAACUACACCAACUAGGAAAUUUUGCCACAUGGCCAUGCUUUGCCUUGGAAAGCUAAGUAUCGCAACCACAAUAGUGCUCACCAAGCAAAAUUAGGUUAUUUGACCUUACCAGAAGCCAAGGCUCAAUCAAAAGAAUGGAUUUGUGAAAUGAAGAGAACAUGCAAAAUUGGAAUAUAUGAGAUGUUAGAUGAAUACAAAUCACCUUCCACCAAAGAUGAUGUAGACAACCUCCUAUUACCUAAGAUAGGAAAAUUUGCCACAGAAUCAUACAGACCAAGGGAGAAGACAUCAAAGGCCUUUCAAGAGUCACCAAGUAUCCUUAAAGCGUACUGCAUACGACUAUUGUGCAAAUUUUAUUGCACUAAAAAGAGUAAAAAUCUAUUGUAGUAUGAUUAAUGGUGACGAGUGCCGAUCCCACGAGGAGGUAGAAUUAAUUAUGUAUAGAGUUAAUUCUCCAAGUUUGUACAUAAGUUAGUUGGAGAUGAUUUCUAGACAAUAUUAAUAUUUAAAAAAAUAGCGGGAAUAAAUUAAAGAUAUAACAAUUCAAAUUAAGCCCUUGAAUUUCUGGAUUCACACUCAAUAUUUCACCACAGUCAUAAUUUUCCUUUUUAGUUCUAAUUAAUUUACGAGGGUUAUUUCCACUCCUCGUAGUCCUCAUUAGAGUAAUUAUUGUUAACACGCAUAUUUCUAUAAUAUAAUGAUACACGCCACAUUGACGUGCCAAAGCUCAAUACCUACGAUGGUACACGCAAUGUCACUAUCGUAGACAACUUUCUCUUCGAGCUAGAGCAAUACUUUGAUGCCAUGGGUGUUCGAGAUGAGGCAUUAAAGGUAAGUACCGUGGUUAAGUUCUUAAAGCCACAUGAUGUUUCAAGCAAGUGUAAGAAUCUGAAAAAAAAAAAAAAAGGAUAAUCGUUAAUCUUGAAACAGUAAAUCAAUUAUAUAAGGAUAAAACUUAAUUUUGGUUCUAGAACUUAAUUCUAAUUCUGCAAGAUAAUGGUGAACCAUUUAUUAGAAAGUGAUUAACCGAUAAAAUCCAUAGAGCAAUUUAACAGAAAAUGGUGAAUUGUUUAGCACAAAUGGGUAGCCAAUUAUUUCUUGCAGGUUUUUAGAAUUAAACAGCAAACUGACAACUCCAAACAAUAAGCUGACUCUGAGCAGAUUAGUUAUUGGAAUUUAAUAAUAAACCGACAACUCCAAAUGGUGAACCAACUACUUAAAUUUCAAUAUAACGGUAACUUGGACAAGGUCAACACGGUGAUCCGAUAGUAGUCAAUAAUGAUCUGAUUAUGCCCAGAAAGUUAAUAACAACUAAUUUUCUUCUCCACCUAUAAAAAGGCUCAAACAAAUUCAAAUUAGAAUGAUUUUUGACAAUUUUCAUUGAGCUUGUUAUUGUGUAUUCAACAUCUCUUGUGCUUAAAAUUUGGUAGAUCACACUUUGAGCAUUCAUUUCGUAAACACCUACAUUAUGUAAAGAAAAGUAUUGUGUGACUUUUAUUUCAGCAUCAAAUUGAGUGUUUAAGAGUGUGAGAAACAAUUGGGUUAAGAGGUUUCAGAUAACCUCUUGUUGUAAAGGUUGAUUGACAUAUUGGAAGUCAAUUGUAAAGAUUUUGAAGUCUUAAGGUGUAAGGCCUGGUUAGUGGAAUCCUCAAGUCCGGUGAGCUUGGAGGCAUGGAUGUAGGCGGAGUUUGUCAAACCAUUUAAAAAUCUCGUGUUUGAUUCUCUCUUCCUUCUUUCUUCAUUUUUUUAUUAUUGUUAUUUAUUUUAUCUUUGCAAUAAUUUUUUAUUUAAAAUCUUCCAUAAUUUUUAGAAACCUUAUUCACCCCUUUCUUGGGUUGCUUAACUAGUAUUUCAUUUGAUAUCAGAGCAAGGUACUUUUGUUAAGACUUAACCGUCUAAAGUAAAAAAUUCAUUGCAACACAAAAUGAUUCUACCUUUAGGGAAGGUUAGUCAACUACUAGACCACCAUAUUUUAAUGGAAAUAAGUAUCUAUAUUGGAAAUUUUGGAUGAGAUUUUACUUGCAAUUUUUAGAUUAUGAGAUUUGGUAAAUUGUUAAUGACGGUCCUUUUAUGCCAACCACUAAAAAUGAAGGAGUAGAAAUUUUAAAAUCUUUAGGUGAAUGGAGUGAGCCAAAAAAAAAAAAAAGGCUUCUUUAAAUUCUAAAACCGUAAAUGUCUUGUUUUGUGCCUUAGAUAAGAAAGCAUUCCAUAGAGUAUUAGGUUUUUCUAACACAUAUGAGAUUUAUAAGAAACUUGAAGUAGUUUAUGAAGGUACAAAUCAAGUUAAAGAGUUUAAAAUCAAUAAAUAUAUUAGGCAAUACGAAUUGUUAUGAAUAUUAUGAAUACUCUAAGAGCUCUAGGAAAGACCUUUAAAUGACAAGAAGGUUAAGACAAUUAUUAUGUCCUUACCAAAAGAAUGGAGACCUAAGAGAAUUGCCAUUGAGGAAGCCAAAUAUUUAAACACUUUAUCUAUUGAUGAUCUAAUUAGCUCACUUAUCUCAUAUGAAGAAGAUUUAGCAGCUGAAAAAGGUGAUGAAGAUAAAAAAAAAAAAAAAAAAAAAAAGGAGUAUUACCAUGAAAGUUUCAAGAUCAAAAAGCUAUAAGGAGAUGACGAUAUGGCUAUGAUAGCCAGAAAAUUCAGGAACUUCUUUCAGAAAUCCAAUUAGUGAAGAAAGUUCAAGAACUUUAAAAAUCAAAAGAAAAAUAAAGAAGUAAUCAUAUGCUUUAAAUGCAAGAAGGCUGGACACAUAAAAUCAGGAUGCUUUCUUCCCAACAAGGCGAAAAAGAAAACUAUGGUGGCAACGUGGGAUGACAAUGAUGAGGAAACCUUAAAUGAGGAGGAACCACAUGAAAUGUCAAACCUAGCACUUAUGGAAAUAGGAGAAGAAAUUAAUGAGGUAAAUAAUCUCCCUUCUUAUGAUGAAUUAACUGAACCUUUCACUUAAUUGCAUAAUGAUUUAAAGAAGAUUGAAUGAAAAAUGUUUCUCUUAGAAAGAAAAAUGUAAAACAUUCAAGUGAGAAUGAAUCAUUAAAUGUAAAGGUUAAAUGUUUGAAUUAGAGAAGAGAUUGCAUGAUGAGACUAUAUCCUACAAAGAAAGCAUUGCAUUUGAGCAUGAAAGUUUACUUAUAAUGAUUUGAAAAAGAAAAAUGAAAUGCUUAAGAAAAAAAGCAAUGAGCUUAAUGAUAUUGUCUUAAAAUUUACAAAUGGGCAAAGGAUUUUAGAUAACUUGCUUGGCUCUCAAAAAUGUGUUUUUGACAAAGGAGGUAUUGGCUAUAAGUUACAAGAAUUACUUUGUGAAGGCUACCUCCAUUAAUGAUAAAGUCAUAUGCCAUUAUUGCAAUAGAAAUGGAUACAUGAGUCGUAAAUGUCUAGUUAAGAAAAAUGCAUAUUAUGGAAUUAAAUGUGUUUGGGUUUCAAAAGGAACUAUUACUAAUACUCAAUGACCCAAAAAGCUUUGGGUACCUAAAACUUAAGAUUUCUUCCGAGGAGAUCAAUGAAUAAAAAUAAAUGUACUUGGAUAGCGGAUGCUCAGGACAUAUGACAAAUACUUAUUUUUGGUUUUCGAGUUUUACCAACGUAAAAAAUGGUGGAGAAGUAUCCUUUAAAGAUAAUUCAAAAGGAAAGAUUAUCAGUAUUAGUAAUAUCGAUAAAGAUUCUUCUACCUUUAUUAAAAAUGUGUAUUUAGUUAAAAAUUUGAAACACAACUUGCUUAGAAUUAAUCAAUUGUGUGAUAAAGGUUAUAGAGUUAUCUUUAACAAAACAAAAUGUGUUAUUGAGAAUGCAUGUGAUGGCAAAAUUUUAUUUGUGAAAAAGAUGUAUCAACUUCUUGGGCAAGUGUAAAAAUCUGGACAAAAGCGGAUAAAUGUUAAUCUUGAAAUGGCAAACCGAUUAUCUAUGGAUAACACUUAGUUCUGAUUCUAAAAGAUAAUGGUGAACCGUUUAUUAGAAAACGAUUAAACGAUAAAUUCCAAAAAGUAAUUUAACUGAAAACGGUGAACGAUUUAGUACAAACAGGUUGUGAUAACUCUACGAAAUGAGAGUUAUCAUGUCACUUUUAGGCUCAAACCAAUAUUACAUAGAGAGUAAAUAAUGUGUUUUUGUUGUAUUUUAGUAAUAUUUUGCAUAAGCAUCUAUUUAAGUUUAAUCUUAAUAAAUUAAUCUUGUUUUAGAUCACUUGGUGCUCUGAUUAUGUGUGAUUGUAGAUAACCAAGACUAAAAAAGAAAAAAAAGUUAGAAAUUACCAACAAUAGAGUUGUGCUUGGGGAGUUUGGUUUCAUUUAGAUGGAGAUAACGGGGUAAAAAGGUCAGCAUAUAUACACUCAAUUAUCUAAAUAUAGCCUUUGGAAGAGUCAAAGGAUAAUUAAGAGGUCUAAUGUUGCUACUACGGAGAAUUCUGGUCAAUGGGUAUUAUUAUUUUAUAAUCAAGCGACAUCAAUUUGUCGCAAAUUAUCAGCCGUACCCCACAAUUGUACAACCUAAUUAUGAGCUUAUCCUUACUAAUUAAACUAAUCAAUAAUCAUUCAAUAAAACUUAUGAAAAUGAAAUGAUUAAAAUCACAUUACAAAAAGUUUAUUAAGAUUUUUAUUCAGUUCUCCUAACUAUAAUAUUUUUUAGUUACUUUUGAAGAAAAAUCGCCUCCAGGCAAACUCUAACUUUUGGUUUGAAAUAAUCUUAAUAAAUUAUUUUGUGAGAUUUCUCCAUUGGACAAGAGUUUUUGAAUGCUAGAAACUGUCUAUAAUACACAUUAUUUAAUUUUUACCUUUAUUUUGAGUCCUCUCAUAUUAUCACAUUAAUAUACUUGUUUAUUAAGGAAACUAGACGGUUAUUUGUACUAUAUCACGUCAAUAAUAUGUCCCCAAAAUUUAGUCAAGAAACAACUAAUUAACCAAAAAUAUAGAAAAUGCUUAAAAACUCCCAUAAAUUCAUUACAGUAAGAAUCAACCAAAACUAAAUAAAUCCGAAAAGAACUGCCACCAACUAUAGCUAUGGAUAUUGACCGCAUAGUUCUUGGGACCCCAAAAUGUCCAUAAAUUGCCUAGCUGUAUAAGCCAACCUGUUACUCUCAAUGAAACAAAAUUUUGGCCGCCCUGUACCUCUCUAGAGAGUCGUAGAUAAUCUUUACUGCUUCCACAAAACAAGCUCAAGCUCUCUUUCUUCGAAUCUAUUCUCAAAGUUAAAAUCUUCUAUUUCUUGGUUUUUGUCUCUUGGUUUUUCGUUUGUACAUGGCAGUAAGAUUGUUAUCGCUAGGAGUGUCAGACCUAUGCAUUGGAAAGCCUGCGCUGAGAUCGCUCUCGGUCAGUUCAUCCACCGUUGCCAUGCUUUGUUGGCUCUCAAGAGACUUAACGAGAGUUAUAUAAGCAUUUGGAGUUCUGAUCAUUCCGCCCGGAAAAGGAAAGCAGCCGCAGCCAAUAUUGAUGAUCAUGAGGAUUCAGCAGGAUGUAGUUGCAUUGGCAAAGUUUGCAUGGUUGAUAUAAUUACCUUCUUGUGUAAAGAAGAGAAUUUAUUGAACCCCUGUUUCUGUUCUUUUGCCAAGGAUUCUGGGAUUGUCAGGCAUUUGAAACCAAGUGCGAGGUUUGUAAUUUAGAACACUUGUUUUGCAAAAGCUUUUGUUCCUUUUCCAUAAUAUCUUGUGUUUCCUGCCCGUAAAUCUGAUCAUUUGCUGCAUGAUUGAUUUUCAGCUUAUUGGAGGCCGUAGACUUGUUACUGGGAGGCGUACAGAACCUUGUGAUUCUUCCCGCAGGAAUAAAGUUACAGCCGAAACCUUCCUUAAAAUCAACCUUUCACAACGACAGUAGUACUGCUGGCUAACCCAAGAAGAUCUUAUUCGUUAUUUUCUCAACUUCAUCGGACUCCUAAACCCUACACCAAACCAACCAAUCAACUCUCACAACAUCAUUGACGAUGCCGGUAUUCUUGCCAUCCAUUAUGAUGAUGCCGGUAUUCUUGCCAUCCAUUAUGAUGACCCGGCGGCCUUUGCAAUUCCCCUAAUUGCUCAAUCCCACAUUAAACAAACUUCGGUAGCCAUUGUUGAUGAGGAAGGCAGAUUGGUAGGUGAUAUAUCACCUUUCUCACUUAAUUCUUGUGACGAGACGGUAGCAGCUGCAAUAGCGACACUCUCGGCUGGUGAUCUGAUGGCUUAUAUGGACUGCGGUCGGCCACUGAAAGACCUAGUAAGGUUGGUGAAGCAGAGGCUGGAAGAGAAAAACAUGGUGGGUCUCCUGGUGUUGAUGGAAGAUGACUUGGAAAUUUCUUCAGGCUCCUGUUCCAAUUCAUCUUCAUCAGAUGAGGAGUCCAGCACAGGCUCGGCACGAAGUGCGAGGUCCGGAGGAUACUCCGCAAGAGUCGUGCACAGGUCAGAAGCAAUUGUUUGCUAUCCAUGGAGCUCGUUGAUGGUUGUGAUUAUGCAGGCACUGGCACUCCGUGUGAGUUGUCUGGGUUGUUGAAGAGGACUGAACCUUGGUUGGGAUUGUUACCUUUACCGGAAUGUUGAGGGUUAUCCAGGAUCGUUUGAGGUCCAUGGCAAAAGCUGAGAAUCCAAACUUCUGUCCUGUGCAGAUUCAAGCUAAAAAGCAACAAUUGUCUAGGGCGGUGAGGUCACACUGGUCAGUUUGACAGUUCUAUUUGCUAAACACAUGGAAAACCAAAGUGUCAAAAAAACAUAGAGGUAUUGUGUACAUUGAUUAAUUGCUCUGUAAAAGUUUGUACACUAUGAUAAAGUAAAAAUUGUUGUUUGAAUAUGGGGUGUGGAUUUUAAACCGAGACUGUUUCAGAUCUGAAUAAAUGGAAGCAGCAAUAACAUUGACGUAAAUAUGGUGUACAUUGAUCAAUUAAUGACAAUGUUAACGGGGAAAAUGAAACAUAGCUUAUAGUUCAUACAACAUACAUCACAAAAGGCCAAAUAUUUGUUGAUGCCAAUGUUAAAUGAGCAAAAUUGAGGUAAUCAUAGAGCAGCAAGCAAAAGACUAUAAUAAUAUACUGUUUCUGGCAAGGAAACACCUUGAAUCAAAUAAACCUAAGAGAAAGAAGUGAUGUGCCAUGGGAGAUCAAAUGAAUUAAUGGAAGUUUCAUGUGCCAAAAGAAAAGAUUACUCAUCUUCUUUCAUUUAUUAUGAAUUUAUAAAUUUUCAGAGUAAAAAAACACAAUAGAUGGCAGGAAAACAUCCAUCAUAGUUCUGCCACAUUUAUUGGAGUGUACAGGGGAAACAAGAACAUUAAAGAAUCAAAACAGAACAGGGGCAGUUUCAGGAACCCCUAAAAGAAGUCACCAUGGUUAAGUUCUGACAUGCAAGAUGACAACGCUUCUCUUACUUGGAGAUUGUCAGAGUUCAUGUGAAGUGCAUCUUGAUAUAGUCUCCUAGCCUGCUGCAGCAACUUCACCUUCUCUUUACUAUUUCUUGGCCGUAAGCGAGAUCUUUGCUGCAGCGCCACAGCCCAUCCAAACAGAGCUGUAACCAAUAAACGUUUAAAUGUCAACUGGAAUUUCAUACCUCAACAGUUAUAUUCAUUCAAGAUGUAAACAGGGAAUAAAUAUGGAAAAGAAACUGAUAGCAUAACAAUUAUACACUUCAUAUAGAAACUUUGGUACUUGUUUCCGAUAGACAGAGAAAGAAACUGAUAGCAUAACAAUUAUACACUUCAUAUAGAAACUUUGGUACUUGUUUCCGAUAGACAGAGAAAGAAAUUAAACAUGCCAUCGGGUGCAUAAAUAUUUCCUUUCAACAUCAUAGCAUCAAAAUUAUCAAUUGCAGCCGAGAAUAUUUUGUCAGCAUCAAAGCUGUUUCCUGAAAUUUGAAAGAUUGGAAAUGAGUUCAAAUGUCUCGUAACUACUUUCAAAUCCACACAAAGCAGCUUUAUAUCAACCAAAUUGUGAGAUAGAUAUUAAAUGAUCUUUUCAAAUCAAUGACAACUGAGCCCAAAAUUGCUAGAAGUUCACUCGACGGGCACUGAAAGCAAAAGAAAAUUCUGUGGCCUAAACUGAGUGCACUGAAUAGAAGAAACUUCUAUAGAGAUGAUAUAAACAAUCUGAGUACAUUGGGUUGGAUGCUUACUGGUCCAAUAUUCAAUUAGUUGCACAAGGAAGAAGAGUGCAAGACCCCAGUUAUAUAGGGCUCUCACGUCAUUCCCAUCAAUCGACAGAGCCAACCUAUAUUUUCUACCAGCCUUCACAAGGAGUUCUUCACACUCUUCACAAGCAUCGACAAGAAGAGAUGCAAUUUUAUCUUUAUUCGCAAACUGAUAAUCUAACCCCUUGAGUAUUCUUUUCUGUUCCUCAACAGAUAUGGCAUCACCUUCCAAAAGGAGUCUUCUCAGCUUGCGGCUAAAAUGUAGCUUUAGUUCUUCAUGAACAAGAUAUGUGUUGCCCAAUUGGUCCACAGCUAACAAACUCAUGUGCUGCAUAGCUAUGGCCUGAGAGAGUAACCUGGCAGACUAGUGCAAUAUCAUCUCUGCACGCUCCUCAUCCCAACCACUCCUCAUACACUCUUUUGCGUGUUUCGGAAGAUCAUUGGCUUCCGUGAGAUACCUAUCAAACAUCACAUCAUCAAUAAAUUUAGAAGACGAAGAGGAACUGAUCUCACUCUCACGAGCACGCAAGUGAUCAGUCAGAUGGGAAUCAUCCUCAGGAUUCACCUUCUCUUCUCUUAACAUGGAACUGUAAAUCUGAUUCUCAUCCUUCUCUCUGUUGUAUGAAGACCUAUAAACUAGAUUUUCUGAGUAUGUGCUCUUGUACAAAGGAAUCUUCACUUUCCAUAUGGUUCCAACUGACUCUAAAACCUACAGAGUCAAGCAAAUUAUUACCAGAUUCCCAUGUUUCACUUUCAUUUGUAUGACCCGUGUUUACAGAGUCACGGUGAUUAUUUGUGAAUUGCAAUCUUUUAUUCUGGUAACGAUACUCAUUGGUCUGGUCUCCAUAAAUUCUUUUUCACCUGCACCCAUCUCCCUCAUUCUUUCAUCCAGCAAAUCCAGCUUUAUUCCUCUAUCCCUGUCUUGAUUCAAAGAAAACUUAUUUAGAGAAUCUCGAGAAAACUGCGAAUUGCCAACGCCUUCAUCAUCAGAAAGAAACCUUUGCUCAUCUGCAGGACUUGAAUUAUUUACUUGACGUUGAUCAUUCUCAUGCUUUAUAUUAUCUUUAACUCUGUUAGGAUUUGAAUUAACAACUUUUUCUCCAGACAAAACCCCAAUAAAUUGCAGCCAAUCAAACCCAACAUCCCCAAUUUCUUUCCUCUUUUUACCUGAUUUUUGGUUCUCGUGUAACACAUUAUUACAAUUCCCCACGUUAACAACACAAGCCUCAAUGGCAUUUCUAGCAUUUGAAGCUGAUACGUUUAUUGAUCCUACUACAUUGAAAUACUUUUCCAAAUCACUAACUGUAACUUUAUAACAAUCAAUAGCUCUUUGUAUAUCGCUCUCAAGUUACCAACUUUACCUUCAAAACGUUCAAAGUAAUCCAAUAAAUUCCUCAAUUUCUCACUAUUAGGCCUAAAAAUUCCCUCUUUCAAUCUUCUCUUACUUGCACAUACUUCACUGAAGCUGCUACCAUGAACGAACCCAAAUGAAAAACCCAAUUGCAAAAGCCAAAACUGUAGCUGGAAACACAAUUAUAGACGACACCCUGACCCUAGAAAUGGAAAAGGCACAUAGAAGCCCUAAAAUAAACAUAAAGACAUACUUUCUAUCAUCUAUUCCAAUGGAAAUUAAAAAAUCACGCAACGGAGUUGACUCACCCGUGUCACUGAGUCUCAAAUCCUCCCACCCACCCUAACUCAUGGACUCGGGCGAUGCAACAGCUUUGAUGGGAGAUAAAUCUAGAGGUUUGGGAUCGUAAAAACAUUUCGAGCGGGAAAAGGGAAGGAGUGUUUUAUUUUUUCGAGAAAAUAAUCGAAAAUGAGUGAGAAAAUGCGGAGAUGAAAUAAUCAAUGGAUUUGAGUAAUUGCCAAUUGAGUUUACAAAAAUUAAGGUUUUCAUUUGGAAAUGAAGAGUGAUCGGAAGGCCGCUUUGUUUGUUCAAUUACGUGACUUAGGAUGGUAAUU
Molecule: long non-coding RNA, 90135 nt
Filed under: Citrus maxima (pomelo)
Lineage: Eukaryota; Viridiplantae; Streptophyta; Magnoliopsida; Sapindales; Rutaceae
Description: long non-coding RNA (CMAX_LNC001798)
Rfam family: Plant small nucleolar RNA R71 (bases 41969-42072)
Source: RNAcentral